AAAAAAAAAAAAAAAAAAGAAAGCCUGUUUAUAUAUUGAUUUCAAAACAGCCCCAAAAAUGAUAUAGAUGUCCAACAUUGGAUGGACAUCGGAGGCAAGUACACCUUGCGUCCUGUCCUAUCCGUACAAUUUGGUAGUCCCUCCAAAAUCUUAUUAAAAAAAGAAGGGAAAAUGAAGAAGGAAGGAAACAAAAAGAAACAAAAUUCUUGGGGUGGAGCACAUACUGUAAUUGAUGCCUCAACUUGGGAAUGAAGCAAAGCAAUUUCAAUUCAUGUAUAUCGAUAUCCGCCUCAAAGCUUCUUCACCUUUAUGUGUCCUACAUCCCCGACCCCAUCCGUAUUCCACUUCAUACCCUUUACCUUUCCCUAAACCCCACCAUCCAUUUUCCCUAAAAUGGUCAGAAUUCAAGGGCAUUCAUGUCUGCCCCAAGUCCCCACCCCAUGGCCCAUGGCUACGGGAUUGAAUUAUUUUUACCGCUAGUUUUAAACUUAGUAAUUAAUCACGACUAGAAACAGCACCAAUUAAGGGUGAUAAUUAAAUUAAAUAUUGUCCCCAACCCCAAAAUAAUAUUUCAACUUUUUUGACAAAAUUUCCCUCGCUUCUCGUCCAUAAAUACCACUCCAAACUCUUUGCCUUCUCCUCACACUCGCACUGUCACCCACAACACCAAGUCUUAAUUUUGUUUUUCUUGGGGGAGCAUCUUAUUCUUAAUUAGUUGGGUUGAAAUUAAAACCAAAUGGGUGUCGCUGUGGGCAUCAUUUGUAUUGUGACUUUUGUUACAUUUUCCUCCCUUAGUGUUGAUGCGAGAAUCCCCGGCGUUUACGGUGGCGAGGCAUGGCAAAGCGCUCAUGCUACAUUCUAUGGAGGCAAUGAUGCCUCAGGAACAAUGGGUACGCGUGCACUUAAAUUUCACAGUGAUUUAUUUGCGUUUUGCAUCAACAUACAUGAUUAUUUACCACCAGUCAACUGUUUCUGAUUUGUUCGGUUGUGUGUAAUUGUAUAUUUAACAAACAGGAGGUGCUUGUGGGUACGGCAAUCUCUACAGUCAAGGAUACGGCGUUAACACGGCAGCGCUAAGCACAGCACUGUUCAACAACGGGUUGAGCUGCGGUGCGUGUUUUGAGAUUAAGUGUGCGAAUGACCCUCAAUGGUGCCACGCUGGGAGCCCUUCAAUCUUCGUCACUGCCACCAACUUUUGCCCUCCGAAUUUCGCUCAACCCAGCGACAAUGGGGGGUGGUGCAACCCUCCUCGCCCUCACUUCGAUCUCGCCAUGCCCAUGUUCCUCAAGAUGGCCGAAUACCGCGCCGGAAUUGUUCCUGUCUCUUACCGCAGGGUCCCUUGCAGGAAGAGAGGCGGCAUCAGGUUCACCAUCAACGGUUUCCGUUACUUCAACUUGGUCUUGAUCACCAACGUUGCUGGUGCUGGGGAUAUUGUCAAGGCUAGCGUCAAAGGUUCCAGGACUGGGUGGAUGAGCUUGAGCAGGAACUGGGGACAGAACUGGCAGUCUAAUUCUGUUUUGGUUGGUCAGUCUCUCAGCUUCAGGGUCACUGGCAGUGACCGCCGUACUUCCACUUCUUGGAACAUUGUCCCUGCUAAUUGGCAAUUUGGUCAAACUUUCACCGGAAAGAAUUUCAGGGUUUAGUUUCAAGCACUUUCCCCCACUCCAUGUUUUGUUGUUUUUUCGCUUUUUUUGUUUUAUCCCGGAAAGUGAGAAAGAAAAUGAGGGAAAGUAUACUGUGUAACUCUGUCCCUGUGAGUGUGAACUUUUUGACUUUGACGGAUUUGGUUGGGGACUGGGUUUGGUUUCUGUUUUGGUUGAAGUGAAAUGUAAAAGCUGAAGUGGCUUCAAAGUAAUAGAGAGCCCGCAGCUUCCAAAGUUAAAUAGAUUCGGUUUUAUAUUAUAUGUUUACAGUUUACUUCACAUGAUAGUGAUAAUCAUCUACGUACAAGUGUCUUAAUUUAAUCUCAUAAGUUAUUCUUGUUUGAAUUUAUGACUGGUGAUGUGCAAGUGUUUCAAGUGUUUUCUUUCAGAGUUCUAACCAAAUUUGACCACAGGCCAUUGCCCACUGACAUCUACUCAAUUCACUUGCACUUACAGGUAUUUUAAGAAGAUUACAAUUGUAAUAAUUUUCUCAUUUUCAAGAAAUGAGUUCAUCACUAGCUACAAAGCCAGAAGGUGUGUGACGGUAACUCAUGUUCAGAGGUGAGGCUGUGAGGGUGGGGCUCGUUGUUCUUCUAAUCUGAUUACGAGGUUUCUCUCUUGUUCUGAUGAGUCCAUGAAGGUUUCAGUUCAAAUUACUAGCAAAAAAUGCAAAGAAAUCGCAUCAAGAAUGCGUAGGUUGCUUUAUAUUCUAACUGGGAAUGCUUAUUCUUUUGUCAACAUUACACUUGAGCUUGCAACCCACAAGCACAAGUUCAACCAUGGGAUUUCAAAUCAACCAAACUAUUCCAACCAUUCUUGCUAAGGUCAUUGUUUGAUGAGGAAUCCUCCAAGAUGGUCACUGUUGCCGUUGAGCUCUUCAAGUAUGGCAGAAUCAAAGGGUUAGCUUGGUUUGCUUAUUCCAAAUCCAACUUCUAUUCAGAGCUUCAACACACUGCACACUGGAACCACUCAACCCAAGCACCAAAACGACCACACAAUAACUCUCAACGGGCGUUUGCUUUGCACAAAGCUAAGAACUGAUCAAGCCACUGAUUCAGCAAUACUAAUAGGUACCACCCUCAAGCAAUGGCAACUGCAUCAACUAUCUACUAGUAGCAGAUUGCAUUAUUCUCUUCAAUCAAGGCCGUCUAAACUAAAAUCGCAGAACAUUUACAGCCCCGCCCAAAAGAUAAGUAAAUGAAGAAGAAAAUGUGAGAUGGAAUCAGUAGAUAAAAACAGGAUUAAAAAACCUGUCAUCUGUGGAUCCAUCACUACGGUUGUCUGGCCGCUGCCUGAUCACUAGCUUACUUCCAGAAAACAGAAUAAUCUGUUACUAGAAAACCAACUAGUGGCCAGGCUUUCAAUGUUGCACCGUUGUUCAAGCGAGAAAUCAGAAUCAAAAUCCGUUUUCUCGCAACAAACACAACAAAUGCUAAGCAAGUAACAAGAGAAAAUCACGGGGCUCAUAUCAAGUGUAAAGUUAUUCUUGUUUGAAUUUAUGACUGGUGAUGUGCAAGUGUUUCAAGUGUUUUCUUUCAGAGUUCUAACCAAAUUUGACCACAGGCCAUUGCCCACUGACAUCUACUCAAUUCACUUGCACUUACAGGUAUUUUAAGAAGAUUACAAUUGUAAUAAUUUUCUCAUUUUCAAGAAAUGAGUUCAUCACUAGCUACAAAGCCAGAAGGUGUGUGACGGUAACUCAUGUUCAGAGGUGAGGCUGUGAGGGUGGGGCUCGUUGUUCUUCUAAUCUGAUUACGAGGUUUCUCUCUUGUUCUGAUGAGUCCAUGAAGGUUUCAGUUCAAAUUACUAGCAAAAAAUGCAAAGAAAUCGCAUCAAGAAUGCGUAGGUUGCUUUAUAUUCUAACUGGGAAUGCUUAUUCUUUUGUCAACAUUACACUUGAGCUUGCAACCCACAAGCACAAGUUCAACCAUGGGAUUUCAAAUCAACCAAACUAUUCCAACCAUUCUUGCUAAGGUCAUUGUUUGAUGAGGAAUCCUCCAAGAUGGUCACUGUUGCCGUUGAGCUCUUCAAGUAUGGCAGAAUCAAAGGGUUAGCUUGGUUUGCUUAUUCCAAAUCCAACUUCUAUUCAGAGCUUCAACACACUGCACACUGGAACCACUCAACCCAAGCACCAAAACGACCACACAAUAACUCUCAACGGGCGUUUGCUUUGCACAAAGCUAAGAACUGAUCAAGCCACUGAUUCAGCAAUACUAAUAGGUACCACCCUCAAGCAAUGGCAACUGCAUCAACUAUCUACUAGUAGCAGAUUGCAUUAUUCUCUUCAAUCAAGGCCGUCUAAACUAAAAUCGCAGAACAUUUACAGCCCCGCCCAAAAGAUAAGUAAAUGAAGAAGAAAAUGUGAGAUGGAAUCAGUAGAUAAAAACAGGAUUAAAAAACCUGUCAUCUGUGGAUCCAUCACUACGGUUGUCUGGCCGCUGCCUGAUCACUAGCUUACUUCCAGAAAACAGAAUAAUCUGUUACUAGAAAACCAACUAGUGGCCAGGCUUUCAAUGUUGCACCGUUGUUCAAGCGAGAAAUCAGAAUCAAAAUCCGUUUUCUCGCAACAAACACAACAAAUGCUAAGCAAGUAACAAGAGAAAAUCACGGGGCUCAUAUCAAGUGUAAAAGAAUUUUAUAAUAUCUUUCAAUGUGGGUAAAAAAAAAAACCCAAAUCGAAAAUGGGAAAAAAAAGAAUUUUCUCCAACAAAAUUGAAUUGGGUUUUUUAUUUCUUGUUUUCGUAAAACUUUGAACCCACUCGAGUCCUCUCUCUUUGUAAUCAUUGCCCACAACCCUUCCAUCACUGAAAUAGUGACAACAAAAACAAAGAAAACAAAAUUUCAGAAAUCAGAGAGGAAAUUCAUUUGAAGCUUUCUUAGAUUAGAUGACCAAGCCGUUCGAUGUGCGAAAAGAAGACUCUUUUCUACUAGGGUUUUGGCGGACGAGGUUUUAUAUAGAGGAAGAGGAUGGAGGAAUGGUAGGCUAGGGUUAUAUCCUGCAAGCCCAUUAUUUCUAAUGAUCCAUGACCUCCAUUGCUCAACUCUUGUCGUACGGUUCUUGGAUAUGAGGACGACAUGUCACUUCUUGGCUACUUCGGAGCAAAAUGUUUUAAUUGUCGUUAUGACUGGAUAAUAUAAGAAGUAAGAGGUGGGCAUUCGGUUCGGUUUUGUAGAAUCAAACCGAGUUAAAAAAUCAAAUAGUUGAAAUGAUUAAGAACUAAUUGGUUCUUAUUUAGUUUGAUUUAAAAUUAAAUCGAAUUAAAGAAUUGAUCAGUUCACUGCUUAAAAUUAAAAAAAUAUUAUUUAUCUAUAAGAAUAAUAUUUAUUUAUUAUAAAUUUUUCUACAUUAAUAUUUUUAUGUAAAUCAUUAAUGGUAGUUAUGAUGUAAAUUUUAUCCCAACUUACUAGGUGAUAAUUCCAACUAAGAAUGACCCUCUUAGAAUUGGGCUUUCUCUUUAUUGGAUCCAGCAAUAAUGAAUUAAUCCUUUCAACUAAUUUUACUGGACCUUUGAAUUUUCUCCUAUGUGUCCACUUCCUUAGUAGAUGAGGAUAUCUUUUUUCGAUGAUACUUUACAAACAUAAGAAAACGAUCAGAGGGCUAGUUUCACCGAUGUAAACCAUCUAAUGGUCAAGGUAGUCACUGAAUUUUUGGAAAUAUGAAUUUAGAGAGAGAAAAUCAACAUUUCCCCUCUUGAAUAAGUUUUUUCUCAUCUUUCAAUAAAAAUAGAACGUAUAUAUUUAUAAGUCAAAUUGAUUUGACUUGUGUUCUAAUUACUUUAAUGACAAAUGUCAUUAUUUUUAUGUCAUUUAGCAACACUUGUCUUCUUGUGCCUGUGCUAAUUGAUACAUGAAUAUGCAAUCUUAUCUACGGAUCAAAGGAGGAAGCAUUUUAAUCUUAUGCGAUGUUUACUUAUUAGGAAUGGAAAUAAGAAUCAAGGAAUGAGAAUACAUGAUGUGUUUACUUAAUUAAAUAAGAGAUGGAAUGGGAAUGAAAGUGGUGAGUCCUACAUAAAAAUUGAGAACGAUUAUUAGAGUUCCCAUUCCCAUGGGAGGAGAUGGGAAUGAGAAUCUCAUUCUCUGAAUUAACCAUAUUACCUCCACCUAAAUCUUAAAAUUCUCAUUUUAUGAUGAUGGUUAUUAUUAUAGUAAUUUUGUUAUUAAUAUUAAUUAUAAUGAUUAAUAAUUAUAAUAGUUUACAAUAAUAAUAAUAAUAAUUGCUAUUAUUAAUGUUAUAAUAAUAAUUAUUAUUGUUGUUGUUGUUGUUGUUGUUAUGACAAUAAUAAACUAAGGACCGUUUAGUAACUUGUAACUAUUUAUUCAAAUUCCCACAACUAAAGUAAAUAAUUUAUUCUGAUUCUCAUUUCUUAUUCUGAUUCCACUCCAUUCCGAUUUCAAUCAAUUCCGAUUAUUGAUUAAUAAACACACCAUUAAGUUGUUUUCCUAAGAUCUUGGGAUCAUAAAAACCUUAGAAUUUAGAAGGUUUAUCUUAAGUGGCUUGUCCUUCAAACCUAUAAAGUUUAUUCUCAGAACUUUUCGGCCUUAAAAUCUUUCCACCUAGGAUAAACGCAGUCCAUCUCUUCAUAGGUUUAAUAGGGACCAAAUUUAUUUGGCCCUUCGCUGUGCCUAUUCUAUUUUUAACCCAAUAUUAAUGGUUACAAUUGAAUUGAAUUAAGAAAAAAAAAUCAAAUUUAGGUAAAAAAAUCCAAAAUUUUAGUUAAUAUAAAAGAAAAAUAAUCAAAAUUCUUAAAGCAAAUAGUAUUAAACCAAACCGAAUCGAAUCUAUGAUUCGAUUUGUAUUCGGCUCAUAUAUUUAUGAACCAAUCAGUUUCAAUUUAGUUUAGUUCGGUUUAAAAACAUAACCGAACCGGCCGUUUAGUGCCCACCCUUACUGGAGAGUUAAUAUUUUACCCAAACAAAACGAGACCAAGAGAAACAAGUCAUGCAAAUAAUGGUUUUCUUAUUCUUUCAAAUGAAAGAAGCCAAUUUGAGAGGAGAAAGCCGAGACGAUAUGAUAGCCAACGACUUUUCGGAUUUUUGUAUUUCAAUUCCAGUGCCAGUUUACGAACAAAUUGAGAGGAGAACAAUCACCGGCCAUCUUCUCCAUCUGCUCCGUACCGGCCAUUUGAAUUACAAAGCUUCUCUACUGAUUUUGCAGAGCAGAACCGAAUUCUAUAUUUAUUUAUUUACAAAAUAUAUCAACCAAUAAAGUGGGAGAUAAACAAUAUAUAUUCAUAACCGUUGGGUAUAUUAUUACAUGGGAUUUUUUUUUUUCGAGAAUUUGAGAUUUUUCAACGGGGAAGUGGUGGUGCAGGUAUGCUUACCAGACAGCACUAUACUACUAAUUCAUUAGCUGUUUGUGGAGCAUCAAUCAACUAUAAGUUUUGGAGACCAAUAUUCAUACGCAUAUGCAUGGGAACGGCACGGCUAUGAGUCAACGAAAUAUCCAAAAGAGCUUACACAAUCUUGGAAAACACUAGCGUCAUCAAUAUCCACAGCAUGGCAAUUAGCAGAAAACAAUCUUUAGCUACAAGCACAUACAGGUUCAGCUUCAAGUCUUAACAAGACUAUACGUGCUAUCUGCAUUUGCACAUCAGUCGUAUUAUAUAGAAUGCUACUGCCUGCACUGGAAAGCAUAUUCAGGCACAAAAGAAGCAGGUUAACUAGGAAAAAUCCCAUCUAAAUCUUCUGCAACCCUUAAAACAGAAAAAUGCCUAUAUACUUGAUGUUUUAAUUGAAAGGUGAAAGGUCUUUAUAUCUUUCUAGUUUAUACUAGCGUUGCUUCUCCUUUGUUAAGCUUUCUGCCCAAUAAAUGUGCAACUUCUGGCAGUGUCGCCACCUGGAUAAAAAUGACAAGUUAGUAGAACAUAAUCGACCAAAAAUCCCAGGAAGCAGUUACAUAGUUUUGCAGUGAUCUGCAUCAAAAUUGAAUUCAAAACUAACUUUAAGAUUUUCAGUUGUCAGCCUGAAUGGCCUUGCCUUCAAAUCCAACCAAGUGGCAGCAGCCAUUCAUUGCCUUUAUUCACAUACAGCAUGACACAAAACCAAGCGAUUCCAGCGUAGGCCAAUGCAUUAACUAUCCAGCUUAACUUAUUUCUUUUCAUCUUUCUUAAUCUCAUUUAUUCUUCACUUCAGAUAAUUGCUACUCUUUAUUGUUUCUGUAGCUCUCUUCACUUCUCUUCAUAGGACCAAUCUAAUGUUCUGUAAUUCACUUGGGCAACACAGCUAAUUCAUUUAAAGAAUAACCUCCUCAAAUAUGAGUAGAAACAUAUACAUUUUUCUAUGGCACAUUGACCUAACAUGAUGCCAAAUGUUGAUCUAACUGCAGCUUUAUUAGCUCACCAGCAGUUACACGUCUCAAGUUCCAGAUAUUUUUGUAAUUUCCGAAUACUACAGUAAAAUUUUACUUCUAAUGAUACUUAAAACUGCAGAUCUAAACAAAACAAUAAUUCUUAGCUAUUAGAAGUGAACAUGCAAGUCCAAAGUAGACAUUAAUUAACUACAUAUACUUACAUUUUGGUGCCAGCAUUAGGUUUAACUUCUUUUACGCUUAGGUCGCUUUGAUUUCGAGAAUAAAUAUUGAAUAAUUUCUUUCAAGGUGGCUCUCCUCCUCUCCUUCUUGUUCCAAACCUCAGGGACAGGAUACCGUGAACUUGGAUUAUAUUCAUUCAAUUCCAGCAAUGCAUUGGUUACAACUUCAUAUACCUCAGCAUGAUCAUUUUUCAGUUCUUUCAAUUUUUCAUCUUCAUCAUCUAUUAUUUCCUGCAUUUAUCAGGAAUUAAAUCAAAAUAUGACACAUAUUUCUGAUAAGUGGUUCAGGCAAACAAAAUUAUUCCACUGUCUUUGCUGCAGCAUCUGUGAAGACUGAUGACUAGGUUUGCUUCAAUGCAACAUAAUUAGUAAAUUGCUUCAUUGAGCUUACGAUAAUAAACAGUUAAGAAUUUUAAACAACUUCAGAGUCUGAAGUUUUACACUGUAUAUUAAGUUUUGCUUGGUGGCGACCAAAUUCCCGAAAGCAAGGCAAGUUCUUCCCCUCACAUGAUACAUUCUAGAAAAUUAUACUUUUAAUUUUAUGCAAGGCGCAUUUGGAGCUAGUCAAUUUUUUUAGAAUAAAAGGUUCAUAGUCUUUCAAAGGUAUCUAGUUAUCUUCAAUCCUUCUUGAACCCUAACAAGAGAUUAUAAUAGCAGGAGUUCAAUUCACUAAAGGCUAACAAUUUCAUAUAUUGUCACUCAUCUUUCCAAGCCCAUGCACACUACUCAUCUGUCAACUCAUUUUUCUAUUUCCCUUUUGUUUCCUUUUCUCUAAGUCAACAUGAAAUAUUUCCAGUACAAGCUGCAGUAUAAUAUGGUCCAAAAUAGUGUUAUUCACAGUACCAGUUGUUGGAGGGAAAAAUGGCACAGAACCUAGCAUCGAUAGCUAAAUAAAGGGGAAGAUUUGAAUUGCGUUGCUUUGUUUUUCUUUUGUUUGUGAGUUUGUCUUUAUUUUUUCUGGUAGCUUCCUGACCCAGCAAACAGUUGACAAAAUACUAUUUCCCCCACUACUCUCGUUCUUUGAAUUCAUGAUGUCAGGCAAGUGACUACUCCUGGCCCUAUAAACUUGUCAAGUAAGAAUGAUUUCAACCACUCAUUCAUUGAAUGUUUGCCUAUUUAAUUAUAUAUUUUUUUCCAAAAGAAUAGCUAGGAGUCACCUAAUUGUCGGCAUUUCAGGCAAUGUAAGAACUUAAUGAUGGUAUGGUUUGCAUAGCAAGCCAAUGACUAUCUAGCUCAUCCACCUUGUAGGUACAAGACUGGUUCCAAUUAAAAAUUCUUCCCUCUAUCCUUGUUUUAGUUAUAUUUUUUCAAUCAAAAUCCUUCCACUGAUCUCCUUUCAAAUAAAAAAAGAAAAAAAGAAAUUCCUUCCACCAAUCAUGCACUUGUUUAUAUUCUCAGACCCAUGUUAAAGUUUCAGAAUGGUAUGGGUAAAUAGGGGAAUAUACAUACUUGCCAUAUGCCUCCAUUUUUCACUCGCUUGAAAGGAUGCCAGUUAGAAUCCCCCAGAUAUCGUUCCCACAACGAACACAGCUCAGCAGAUAUCUCCUGCCAGUCUCCAUUGGAGUACUUCUCUGAGCACAUAUCAUCAAAAGCUUUUCUAUUAAUCUCCCCCAUUCUUUUAACUAAAAGAGUUGAGCGAUUAUUCAACAUAUCCAACAAACCCUGUAAGGCCAAAACUUAUUGAGCAUCUAAUAUUUACUACUUGACUGAAGAUGCAUUUUAGCCAAGUAGAAAAUAAUUUAUAGAAAAUGAUAGCAUAAAUUCAAAUUUUACUGAGUAACACAUGAAAAUUGAACUAAUAUACACUUAUUGACUCUUUGCGAGCAUCGUGCAACUCUUUCCUGGUGGUCAACUCUUUCACUGUAAGGACAUUGUUCAGGUUUUGUGAUUCCUCUAACUCUUCUGUUUUUUCCUUUAACUGAUUAGUAAGUGCUGAGAUCUGAGCCUUCAAAUUGCUAGCACCUUCUGAUGGAUUUUGAUUUUGCAACUUCCUUUUUAACUGCAUCAGUAAUAAUCCAAAUGGUGGGUUGCUUCACAAAAUUUCAUCUUUAUGAUUAUGAUAAAAAUUCAAGCAAUAAUUCAUUUUCAGAUUCAGAAUAAAGCAUCAAUCACUAUUAAUAUAGAGGAAAGAAUGGAGAAAAAUAGAAGCUACAAAUAAGCAAUAUUAGAAAAUUAAAAUGCAGGUAACUGAAAGUAAGUCACAAGCAGCUAAGCAAGCGUGAUUCAUGCUGUACACACACAGUGGCUCCCCACGAUACUGAAAAGUGAACAGGCCAAUAUUCUGACAUUGCAUGGAAUAACUGAAAGAGUAUUAGUAAUUGCUAUAAUUGUAGAUAUAAACAGAAAUGACUUAUUUCCAAGAAUGUCUCAGGCACAGAAAUUUUUUACAAACCUCUUCUAUCUCAUCCAUUAACCUUCUCCUCUCCAAAUCAUUCUGGGCCCUGCACUCGUCCAAUUCUUUGGUUCGCUGCUCAAGCUCUUUUUUCUGAUACAUCUGCAGCUUGAUAUUGAUGGACUUCUCCUUUCUGAUUUCUGACAAAUUAUGAUCACAAUAUUUGAAAGGACCAGUUGAAUGAAGUCUGGAAAAUACAAGCAGUGAUAUUCAGACAGAAAAAAACAUUUUUUAGUCACUUAAUAGCUACAGAUAAAGUGGGCACAUGUCACUGUUGUUUCUAUCUGCACUCUGUCAGCCAGUUCCUUUAGCAUUUUUCAGAAAAUACUGUCCAAACAAAGGAUAGUAAAAUCAAUCUAAAUGCUUGGCAAUUUUAAUCUUUUAUUAAUCUAGGAAGAUGUAACUCCAUAAGGCUGCAUUGCUUGAGUCUGAUUCUAGAAUAGAUGGGAUGAUAAAGAGAACUUUACAGAUCAAUAUCUCUAAACAUCAACAAUUACUUGCAAACAUACCUUCAAUAUAUUCUUCUUUAAGUUUCCUUUUCUCAUUCAUCAACUGUUCCACAGUUGCGGAUCUCUCACGGUACAUCUUCUCAUACUCAUAAUACAUAUGCUCAAACUCCAAUGAUCUUCUGUCACUUUUCAUAAGCUUCUCCAUAAGGCCAAUGACAAGUUUGCGAGCCACUGCAGAUGUGUCAUCCAACUUCUGUUCCAUCUCAGACAAUUGCUGGUUCUUGGAAUCAAUCUCCUGUUUAAGGCUUGCAAGCUGGCUGACUUUCGUCAGCUCCUCUUCAUAUCGUUGAUCAUCCAUAUCAACUCUUCAAUACAUAAGCAAUUAACUAUAUGGAUUAAAUGCAUACAUUAAAAAGAAAAGAAAAAGAAGAAGAAGAAGAGGAUGAUUAUCACCAUUUGUAUCUUAACAGAAAGUUAUCAAGUUUAAGUGCAAUUCUUCAAGUAUAUAGAAAUAAGAGGAAGACUUAACAUUUUCUUUGAGUAAUCUACCGUGCAGAUUGUUUGCGAAUCAUUGCAUUUUCCUCAUUCAACUUAUGUUCCAUCUUAAACAACUGCUGGUUUUUGUGGUCAAUUCCCUGUUUAAGACUCGUGAGCUGGCUGACAUUCUUCAUCUCCUCUUCACAAUCUGGAUUGUCCAUAUUAAGUCUUCAAUUCACAGAAAGUGGUUAAAAGGAUCAAUGGAUAUUAAGAAAAGAAAAGUAAAAAUUGAUAUCAGCAAAGAGAAAAAAAGAAGAAAAAAAACUAGAUAUCGGCAUUAUUAUAUUGUUAACAGGAAGUCAUCAACUUUAAGUGCAAUUCUUCAUGUAUGUGAAAAUAAGAGUAAAACUAUUAUUAUUUUGUAGGAAGUCUAAAAAAUAUUCUGUUAACAGCUUUUCCAUAAGCAUAAAAAGCUCUUUUACCCUUGGUCCUUACCAAUAAAACCCAUCGUCAGAACUUGUCCUCUGGAUCGGUUCAUAUAACCAUUAACCUUUUACAUAUUUAGUCUAUAAGGGAUUUUGGGCGCAUAAUGAAAAUAUGCUUACAUAGGAAGCACUUUUUUGGCAACGCCAAAAGCAGGCUCACAAAAUGCCUACAAUAUGUAUCUGUUACAGACAAGCAUGACAAAUCACGUAUUAUAUUUAUAAUUGUUCACAUACAUCAACAUUUGGUCCAUUAAAAUUCGAAAAAGCAAUGAAAUUAGAAACCCAUGAAAACAAACCCACAUUUCUUUAACAUGCAUAAAAAGAAAAGGCCAAUUAAGACACAAAAAACGUUAAAGAUUGGGCAACUGAGCUUACAUUGAAGAACUUUGACCUUUGAGUAGAUUAAAAGAUUGGAACUUUCAAAAUCAAAAUGCUGAAUGAACAUGUGAAACGCAGCACAAGCACAAGAAUGGUGUGCGAGUGAGUACUAAGCUUAGUCUUUUUCAGAGCGCCAGUACUGAGCUGCUCAGUUGAACGGGCAAAACUUUUUUGACAUUAAUUUACAUCGAAGUCCCUACAUUAAUCUAAAAUUUGAACAACCAUCUCUUUUUAAGAAUUCGUUAAUAAAGUCCUUCCUAAUUUUCAAACUAUUAUUCACGUAAGUCCUCGGCUUACUGUUAACCCAUUUAAUAGUUCGUGUAAUUGUUUUAACAGCAGAGGAAAAAGACUUCAGUUCUACCCACCGCAGAGGGUAAAAGACAACUACAUAGAGUGCAUACAAAUGAGUGCUCAUCAUAUAUUAGUAUCAGUUGUAAAUAAAGAACUCAAGAUUGAAUUACUUGUGCAAAAUUCACCACCCCUUUGAAGAGGGGCAAAUUGAUCAAUUUCCGACUACAAGUUGGAAGCGGCUUAAAAUGUAUAGAUUUAAAUAAGGAUAAGGUAAAAUUAACCUGCAAAGUAAAAAAACGAUAGUGAUUUUGUUUGGACAAAAUGUUACUCAAAGCAAAUAAAUAUACAAUCACUUCCCAAAAUACCCAAGUCCAAGAUUAUUGAUUAAUCAAACUCAAGUAAUUGUAGAGUUCUGCACAACUAAUAAGCAUCAACAAGCAUAAAAUGAGAAUCUUGUAGGCGAACAAAACACAAAUCCUUGCCUCUGCUUCAUUGUCCAAAUUUUAACAUCUUUUUGGAUUAAAUUAACAAUCAGCAUAUGAAAAAUAAAAUGAUUAAAUUUACAGUCAGAUGGUUCUUUCACCUACACUUUUUUCCCAAUACCACCAUAGAGUUUCAGAGAUACAUGCUAAACAUGAAUAUAGUUAUUUAAAGAAAUCCCAUUACACGAUACAAUAAUUUACAUGACCCAAUGGGGCUUUCGCUAUACCUCCCCAGUUUCCAGGUAUAAAGCUCCAUUUGAGCAAAUGAAAAAAUUCAUUUCCUGUAACCAAAGUCAGUAUGAAAAUAAUGUCAAAACAUUUAGUUUUUUUUGGUCACCGUAUAAUACUUAAAAUGAAACAUGCAAACCUUCAAGCGAUGCCUCCCUUGCGGUGAACUAAUAAUUUCCAUUGUUUCAUUAAAAAUGCUACUCCCUCUUGUAGAGUAGCCUUUCUCCCUUCUUUAUAAUUCCACAACUCCGAGGUUAUAUACCUCCCACUUGGAUUGUAUUCAUUGAUCUCUACCAAAGCUGUGGUCACUGCAAUGUACACUUCUUCACCCAUUUCUUUCUUCAGACCUUUCAAUUUUUCAUCUUCUUCGUUUAUUAUUUCCUGAAUGAGUAGCAUACUUUAUGAAAACUAUUGCACAUUUAAAGGGAAGGAAAGUGAUGUUGGACAAGAAAAGGCAUAUAAAGAAAAUUAAAAUAUAUCUUGAAUUUGGACCAAUCAAAUAUUUUUCUCAUUAAAUUCACCAGAGCAGUUCUUCAUAAUUAUAUAUCAAAGCACACUUUGCCAUCUAAGACAUGGAUAUCCAUCCAUAAAUACAUUUAACCAGGCAAAGCAUGUCAAGAACCAACAUAAAUGAAAUGCACAGCCAUAACAAUGUCCAACUGCUGAAUUUUUUGAAACAAGAGACAAAUUUGAACAAUCAUCAUUGCAAAUAUAUACAAAGAAGAGUUCGGUACAAAUGUUUUUGUGCAUUUUGUUUGAAAAUACACGGAACACUGUGAGAGAGAGAGAUCACUAAAACUUUGAAACUAUGAUACAAGUACUCUGACAGUUUCAUCUCUUCUCAAAUGCUUGAAAAUAAAAGUACAGUGUUACAACACAAUAAAAGUUCCCUAAUAUGCUUGGAAAAUCAAUUCCAGCAUUCUGGAGAGAUACUCUGCUAAACACCUAAGGAAAUAAAUAGAAAAAUAACUUAGAACAUGGACAAAUCAAAUUUUGAGAUCAAUGAAAUGCACACCUUAUGUUUCCCUUCAGCUGUAAUGACUUUGAAGGGAUGCCAAUCUGGAUCCUUAAGAUACUCCUCCCAUAAUGAGCACAAUUCCGAAGCUCUCUCUUCCGCUUCUUCCUCAUUAUACUUUCGAUUCAUUACUUCAAGAAAAGGUUUAUUGUCAAGUUCUCCCAUUCUCUUGAGACCAAUAUGAGCACGACCUGCUAAUUCUUUUAAGGCCUAUGAAAAGAGUCGAUCAGCAUCCUCACAAGCUAGGGAAACUUGUAGAGAGGGUUAAAAAGCAUUGAGCAGACUUAAAGAACCAAUAAUAAGUCUUAAACCAGCAUUCACAAAUCAUUUAAAGAUGAACAUUGGACCUCAUCAUACACCAAAGAAGGCAAUUACAUAAAUUACUGACAGUGAAAAUCCUUCCAGCAUAAUCAUAAUUUAAAACCUAGAGUUUUCUGAUUUUCUCAUUCACUCAUGAGUUACUGAGUCACCUCACUUAUUUCUCCCAUCAAUUACAGAUAAUUAUCUAAUAGCACAAGAACAGAUACAGCACAGUGAUCUAUUCAAAUUCAUUUCUUCAGUUCAGAUCUAUCAUCUGCAGUACUGUGAAAGAUCAGUUCGGGUAAGUGAAAUAAAUUCAGAAAUAGAAAGAGGUCAAGAGUACAUUAAAAAUUGUCACGAUUUGUAAGCUUCCCAAGAUUAGGGGAACCAUCUAAAUGGAAAUCAUACGGCUAACUGCUGGAGUAGAUAUCUAGACUAAUGGAAGAACAAAUACUCACAUUAAUCAAUUCUUUACGAGCAUCCUGCAGCUCAUCAUUACUUUUACGUUCUCUUAUGAUUAGAGUCUGGUUCAAUGCUUCCAGAUCAUCAAGUUCUCCUUCCUUUUCUCUCAAAUCUUUAAGCACAGUUUCCAUCUUUUGCAGAACCUCUAUAUCACCGUCAUCUCCCAUAUGCUUCAUCACAUUUAAUGAGCCCUUCAGUCGCUCGAUUUCCAGUGCCAGUGCUUGUUUUGCAUCCAGUUGUUUUUCCAGUUGAAUUAUUCUGUUAUGAAGGUCUUCUUUCUGCUUCUGUAUGAGAUUAAAAGUUGCAAUGAUAGUCAUCUAUUGUCUGGCUUUGAGUAAUUGAUAUGCAUGAAUUGUGGUUACAACCAGAGCAUUUAAGGAAGACAAACCUUCUGAUCUUCGGCUAGCUUCCUAACAUUUUCAUCAGCCUUCUGUUGUACCAAUGAAGCCAAUUGAAGCGAAUUGUUUCUCAUGGCAUUCUAGAAGAGAAUAAAAUUUGUUUACAACCACACCUUUUAGCUUUUUCCGACAUGACAUAUAAGACCAAAAAACAAAUACUCAAAGUAACAGCAUCAGUACCUUUUCAAUUUCCUCGGCCAGAAUUUUUCUGUCAUUUUCAUUCUGCGUCUCUCGCUUUUCCAGUUCUUCGCCACGUAACUCGAGCUCUUUUUUCUGAGACUCCAAUUGCAACUUGAGUUUUUCAUGGUCAGUAAAAAUUCUCUGAAAGUGGUCUCGUGCGCUAAGUUGUAUCUUCUUUAUCUCUUUGAAUUUAUAAAAAGAAGGGCAUAAGUGAAUGAUACCACAAUUUCAUGGUAUCAAAAAUAACAAGUACAUGUAACAUUCAAAAGAAAAGAAUCUCAUGUACUCUUCCUAAUGGUCAAAGAAGAUAUAGUGAUAACAAUAGAAUGGCUAAAAAAUUAAUUACUUAAUGUCCUAGGAUAUUCAUGAUUAUUUCUAGAUAAUUAUUAAAUUCUAUGACAACCGACCUUCAUUAUAUGACUGAAGAAGCCUAUCUUUCUCUUCCAUUAACUUCUCAACAGAGUUCGAAGUCUCAGUGAAUCUUUCCUUCAUCUCUUCCAAAUGCUUGUCUUUGACCUCAAUCAUGUUUGUCAGAUUAGAAACAAGAAGAUUCUGCUUUCGAGCUUCUUCCUCCAUCAUUUCAGAAAUGGUUUUAAGGUCUCCAAUCUUGCGCAGGUGAUCUCCAAUGAUGUUUUUUAAAUUGUAGUCAUCAGAACGGGCAACCCACGCAUAAAGACCAGAUUUUUCUUGAUUACUAGCAUACCAAUCCUUUUUUCCAUGAUGAUCUGCCUCAUAAGCUUUCUCAAAGGACAUGGCAUUAUGUAACCCUGGCCAAUCUUUGUGGAAUUCUACAACAGCGCAUCCUGAAUGGCCCCGAAAGUUCCACAGUGGAUGAACUCUUGUGGGGUUGAACCCUCUCCUAAUCAGUUCAUCCCUCAACUUGGAUCCACUUUCUCCCACAGACCGCCCGUCCUCUGCCCUUCUAGUAGGAAUAUUCACAACAAUACCUGUCCAAGGCCACACAAACUUCUCAUCAUGGCUACAACCAGUCAGAGGAUCACCCUCAUUCACAGGUUUUGAAGGACUGCCUGCGUCUCGUAGAUCUUUCUCCAAGUAUUUUGCCAGAGCUAGAUGAUUUGCCUUUUCUUUUGCACUUCUUUUAUUUGAAGUACUAUUGCCCACCCCAGAAGCAUGUUGAAGGAGAUCCUUAUAAAGGUAUUCUUGCUUUCGUUUCUUGGGACAGUAUGGACAAGUAAAAGCUUCAUCUGAGAUUUUCACACUGUGGUUUCCACUCUUUAAUUUUUUGUAAGAUUUAUCUUCGUACUUGAGCAUUUCAGAUUCACUUAUGUCUGAAUCCUCUUCUGAGCUGUGUUCCAUUGAACUUCGUGUUGAAUCUCAGACGGCACCUGAAUUACAAUAUAGUUGAGAAGUGAGUUCUGCGCACAUAGAGCCUAAGGAACCGAGAAACAAAAUGACAACAUUUUAUCCAGACAAUUUACAUUCUUUAGAUUUUAUGUUAAUGCCAUUAAAUAUAAAACACAAACUCCAUAAAGAAUUAAUAAAAUCAUUCAAUCAAGUCAUUCCCCAAGGGAGGAGAUUGAAAGCAUAAGAACAACUUACCAUAGAAUUCACUAGAAUAUACAAGGAAUUCUAAAUAACAACCAUCUAAACUGCCCUAGACAAAACUUUUUGUACUAGAGGAAAAGUAUGAAUAAAGCAAGCAAAAUUUUCCAUCAAGUGAAUAAAUUAAAUCAUCGUGAGACAAAAAUACAAAAACUUCACAGAAAUAUUCCACAUGAACAACGCAAUAUAGAAUGAUCAUUCACUGAUCCCACUACCUGCCCAGCAAAUAAAGUGAAUACAUUUUUUUUCUUAAUAAAAAGACGAAACAUUUGGGCAAUGCUUGCAAGUUGAAUAAUAGCAAUGUCAUUGUGGAAAUAACUCCAAUAAUCACAUGAAUAAUCUAAAGUUACCAAAAUAAAUAGCAAAAGGAAAAAAAAAAUCAAUAGACAUUGGACAUAGACACAUACCUGCACUGACUAAAAUUUCCUUCCUAAAUAGCGAAUUAACAAAUAACUAUAUUUACAGUGAGCUAAAUCACAAGAGAGUAAAAAAAUUUUAAAAAAUAGAAAAGUAUUUAAAAACAAAUAAACAAAACUAAUAUCCAAAUGAGUAGAUUAUAAUGUUAAAAAUAUGAAUUAGAAAAAUAAAAGCGUGCAUUUUUUUUUUAAUGGGUUUGAAGAAACUUACUAAAAUCAGCUGAAAUACGAAGAAAAACAUUAAAAAUAUAAUAAUAAAUAAUAGUAUUAAUACUGGAAUUAGCUGAAUUGCAAUGUACGAGCUGACAGUCUUCCAAAAUAACAUGAAAUUGAGUACAUUUUGACAAAAAUGCAUGAAUUUAAAACGAAUUUAGCUAAAAUAAGAGUGAGAGAGACGCUGACUUACUCAAAAUUGGAGUUGGAGUUGGAGGUUGAGCAGCUGAGGGCUGUGUAACUAGCACUGGCUUGGAGCGGUUAAAAGAUUAUGCAUUUGUGAGAUCUGAUUUGAUAGAAUUUGGUGUAAUUAGUUAUGACAAUUGACAGACAUAGAGAGAGAGGGAGAGAGAGGGAGAGAGAGCGCGAGCCACACACUCAAACACACUAGGGUGGUCUAGGGUUUUCACUGAUUCUGUUAAAGCUGCCACUGACUUCACUACUGUUUCAGUGUGUUGGAUUCUGUGAGCUGCGACUCGGUCUCCCUACCUUCAGAUGCUCGUUGCGCUCUCUCACGCGCACGCCACCAGCCUCUUCAGGUGUUUCCCCCCCCCCCCNNNNNNNNNNNNNNNNNNNNNNNNNNNNNNNNNNNNNNNNNNNNNNNNNNNNNNNNNNNNNNNNNNNNNNNNNNNNNNNNNNNNNNNNNNNNNNNNNNNNNNNNNNNNNNNNNNNNNNNNNNNNNNNNNNNNNNNNNNNNNNNNNNNNNNNNNNNNNNNNNNNNNNNNNNNNNNNNNNNNNNNNNNNNNNNNNNNNNNNNNNNNNNNNNNNNNNNNNNNNNNNNNNNNNNNNNNNNNNNNNNNNNNNNNNNNNNNNNNNNNNNNNNNNNNNNNNNNNNNNNNNNNNNNNNNNNNNNNNNNNNNNNNNNNNNNNNNNNNNNNNNNNNNNNNNNNNNNNNNNNNNNNNNNNNNNNNNNNNNNNNNNNNNNNNNNNNNNNNNNNNNNNNNNNNNNNNNNNNNNNNNNNNNNNNNNNNNNNNNNNNNNNNNNNNNNNNNNNNNNNNNNNNNNNNNNNNNNNNNUUCCCCCCCCCCCCUCUAUAUUAUUAUUAUUAUUAUUGGAAAUGUUCCAUUUAAUUGCUAUUUUUACUAUUAAAUUCAUUUAUAUUCUUUGUAAGAUGUAUUUCUAGAAUUAAAUAAGUCAAAUAGCUUAAAAUUAUGAUUUUAUUAUGGAAUAAUUAUAAUUUACGCGAAUGUUAAUCAAACUAACAUUUAACGUCUCAUUAAACAACUUUUCAUCUUUCGGAAAUUUCACUAUUUUAUAAGCAUAUAUGACUAAUUAUAUAUUUAUUUACUAAACAUUUAUUUCAUUCGUAUGGUUAUGUGACUGUAAAAAAAGAGCUCAUCUCCUUAUUUGUAUAUACUUGAGAUUGAAUUAAAUUCUUUUCUAAGUGUUAUAUCUCUUAUUUGCUUUUUUUUUUUAUAUAUAUAUAUUUCUCUUGCUAUAUUGUUGUGCUCUUAAUUGAUAAAAAUUUAACAGAUUUAAUUGAUUUAAAAAGUUUAAUAUUCAUGUUUAAAUAUUAUAAUAAAAAUAAUAUUGAUUCAUGUGCAUGACAAAAUUCUUGAAAUUAUUAAAAGACCCAAACACCUUGAGUUUUACUUGAAAAUAAAUAUGAUAAUGAAGUAAAAUUUCACCUCACUUUUUUGAGAAGGUGUGAUAUGAAAAAAAAUAGAAAUACACACCUAAAUAAAUAUAUGUAAUUUUUUAUUAAACACAAAAUAUUUAAAAUUUUAUUUUAUGUUUAAGUAUUUUAAUAAUAUUUUGGUCACUUAUUGUCUUGAUUCAAAUGAUAUGUUUCAGUUUCUCUUUGAAUUAGUGCCUAUCUAGAACUUAUCUAAUGGUAUAAGUAUUUAUUUAAUUCUAUAAGUUCUUUUUAAAAUUUUAAUCGUUGUUUGGUUGUCUUUUGAGUAAAGUUUUUAAAAAUUAAAUAAAUUAUUUUUUCUCAACUAGGAAAAGUUUAAAUUUUUAACUUUUAUCUAAAAUAUAUUUUACAAUUUUAUUCUUUGACUUAUUUAAUAAAUUUAUUUCAUUUUUUAAUGGUAUAACUUUAAAAAACUUACUUAUUCAAAUAAUUUAAUAACUUUUAAUAAAAGUUCCUCUUAUCAAUCUAACAAUUAAAAUUAUUGUUGAUGAUAUCCCACUUAUAAAACUCCAAUGACAAAAAUUUUAAUUAAAUAAACUAUAUUUAAAAAGUUUUAUAAAAAGGAGUCUUAAAUGAUAGGCUCAAUAAUUUGUUUCCAAAAUAGCUAAGCUUGGGCACGCGCUGGAGGAACUGAGUUAAUAUCGAGCCGUGGUAAAUAGUAAAUAGAUUCUCUUCUGCAAGACUGCAACAACAGCCAACAUGCAGAAGCAACAACAGUAUCGUAGUUUGUGUUCUCUAUCUCUGUGUUUUGACUUUUGACCAAAACAAGUUCUCAGGUUAUGGGCCGGCGACGAGCUUCGUGUCGUUGGGCUAAAAAUGGGUUAGCCUUGAGUUUUAAGUGAAUGGACCGUCGACCAUUGGACCCACCAAUAUGCACCAAUCCAGUUCAGCAAGCAGCCACCAAAAUAUCCAAACCCGGAGAGAAAUGGCAUCCUUUCCCCGAUCCGGGCGUGCUUCUUCAACUUACCAAACAGAACUCAUCAUCUCAUUCUCCGUUCCUCGCUGAUUCGUUCAUUCACAACUGAAACUGAGGUCGACUUGAAUCACCUUCACUUCAUCAUCUCACAAAUUACAACGUGUAAGUAUUAUUUAUUCGUAAAGGAAAAAAAAAGCAGAUAGCGAAAAGAAAGAAAAAAGAAUGUUUCCGCAAUUUGCCGGCACAUCAGAGACACUGAGCAAGGCGGCGUCGUCACUAGUUUUCCGAAUUGGUACGGAUGCUCACCUCUACGACGAUCCUGAAGACGUAAACAUCGGUGCAUUACUGGAGAGCCGAUUCGAUUCCGAAAAGUGCGAGGCUCUUAAGCGACUUCUCGCGCUCAUUGCUCAAGGCUUCGAUGUCUCCAAUUUCUUCCCUCAGGUUUGACUCCAUUGACUAUUUGAUUUGGUUUCAUUCAUAUUAUGUGUUGUUCUGUGACCCUGCCACUGCUUGCUUUUAUUUCAUAAUUCGAAUUACUUGCAAAUUACAGGUGGUUAAGAAUGUUGCAUCUCAGUCCUUGGAAGUAAAGAAGCUGGUUUACUUGUACCUCUUGCAUUAUGCUGAAAAGUAUGUUCUUUUGUAGUAUUCAUGCUGAUUCUUUUUUGUUCAGUUUGAUGUAAUGAUGUAAAAUUGUGUAGCUUUUUCAGAUGAUUCACUUGAAUUGCAUUUGUGUUCUCUUGAUUAUCUAGGCGCCCCAAUGAAGCUUUGUUAUCGAUCAAUUGCUUUCAGAAAGAUUUGGGGGAUCCCAAUCCAUUGGUGAGAGCAUGGGCUCUGCGUGCCAUGGCAGGAAUCCGUCUACAUGUAAUUUCACCUCUUGUUCUUGUGGCUGUGGGAAAGUGUGCUAGAGAUCCAUCCGUUUUUGUUAGAAAAUGUGCCGCCAAUGCUCUUCCAAAGUUGCAUGAACUACGACAAGAGGAAAUUACUUCUGCUAUUGAAGAGGUCUGGCGAAUAUCCAUUUGUUUAACUUUAGAGCAAUUCUAGGCAUCCCAACAUUUAAGUCUUAAUUUGAGCCGCAACUGAUGUGACAUUCAUCCAUCGAAUGGUGGUUAGGUACUUUUAUAAGUUGUGAAAUCCAUCAUUUAAUAGAUGAGGAGAACAUAGCGUUGGGACUCAAAUUUUGAGAUCCUUAACAUUAUUGUUUGUUAACUUCAACAUAGAAAAUGUUUCUUUUUAUUUAUUUAUUUUAAUUAAUCAGCAGUAUAUAUUUUAUUAAAAAGGAUGCUUCAUACUUGCUAGUUGCUGUGUCAUUCAUAAGUGGCAAUGUUUUAGAACCGGUAUAGCAUAUUCAAGAUUAUACAAUUAUGUAUACCUGAAUUGUUAAUAUUGAUUCGCUUGAUAAACAUAAAAUGCAUUAUCUUAUGCAGAUAGUGGGGAUUUUGCUAAAUGAUCGUUCCCCUGGAGUAGUUGGAGCUGCUGCUGCUGCAUUUGCUUCAAUUUGUCCAAAUAACUUUACAUUGAUUGGGAGAAAUUAUAGAAACUUAUGCCAAAUUCUUCCUGAUGUGGAAGAGUGGGGUCAGAUACUCUUGAUCGAGAUUCUUCUUCGUUAUGUAGUUGCCAGUCAUGGGCUUGUAAAAGAAUCAAUUAUGUCUUCUUUGCUUUGUAUAGAGAGUUCCCACUCCGAAAAGGAUGUUUUUGAUGUCAACGUUGCACUCGAAGACAAUGGGAUCCCAAGUAGGACAUACGACUCUGAAUUAGUAAAUUUGGUCUCAAGGUCUUAUAUUGAAGGGUUAGGUGAAUACUUAACAAGGUCAAGUGACACCAAUGCACGUUCGUCUGAUUUAAAUGGUGCUCGAUUUACAUCUGGCAAGACUAAUGACGAUGUGAAGCUCCUACUUCAGUGCACAUCCCCAUUGCUAUGGAGUCACAAUAGUGCAGUGGUACUUGCUGCAGCUGGUGUACACUGGAUUAUGUCUCCAAAGGAGGAUGUCAAGAGAAUUGUUAAACCACUAUUGUUCAUUUUGAGAUCAUCUGGUGCUUCAAAAUAUGUGGUAUUUCCUUUAUUUAUUUAUUUAUUUUUUAUAUAUAACUUGUAUUCCCUAUCUUCUGGUGCAUACUUUGGUAUGCGCAUAUGCAUUAUUUAUAACUCUCUAUUGAGGAGACCUUGUAAUGUUCCGUUUUAGUGAAUUUAUGUAAAUCAAAGUUUCAAGAGAUUAGUUUUUGAGCUCCUAACACUAGAGUACAAGAAAUCCUAUUAGUUUUUGAGCUCCUAACAUUAGAGUACAAGAAAUCCUUAAGAUAUUUUGGUUCUUUUAAACAUCAGAAUGUGCGGUUCUUAAACUAUUUCCCAAAAAUCACAUUUGAAAAAAGAAUUUAAGUGGAUUUCUUUCUAAGCUGGAUACACAAAUGCCAUAAAUGUCUAUCAGCAUGUAGUAUUUUGAUAUGGUUUUGAUUUUUGAGUGUUGUUAUACCCAGUUCUGCUUUUUGUUAUGUUACUGUGUCAAAAUUUUAGAUGAUGUGUGUGAUAUUGGGGAAUGUCCUUUGAAGGUUCACAUGAAACUAAAAAAUUCUGUGAUUCUUGUAUAUGUGGCAAUCCAUUCUGCAUUUUCCAGCGCUAAAUUUUGGAUAUUGGUCAAUCUGCUGAGGAUUUGCCAUAUUUUCAGUAUAUAUUUGGUAACUGGUAAGGAUGAUUGUGACUUUUGAUCGCUGCAGGUUCUUUGCAACAUUCAAGUGUUUGCUAAAGCACUGCCUCAUCUCUUUGUGCCACAUUAUGAAGACUUUUUCGUAUCUUCUUCAGACUCAUAUCAAUCUAAAGCUUUGAAGCUUGAGAUACUGUCUUCUAUUGUUACAGAGUCAUCCAUUUCAUCUGUUUUUAAAGAGUUUCAGGUAGUAUUUUCUGUUUUCAUGGUUUUCUUUCUCAUUACUUUAAAAAGUUGGCUGCCUUAUGUAUGGAUUUCUUCAUUCUGGGAACUUUUGGAUACGUACAUACAUACAUGUGAAUGUCUUUAUGCUUAUACAUCUGUUUUGUGUUUGUUGAUCAACUCCUAGACUUGUCUUUAUGUACUUACAUACACACUUACUUGCACUGAGAGUAUGCAUGCAUGCACACAUAAGAUUUACAUGUUUCAAGUGCUUGGAUUCAUGCUUAUCUUAAUAGUGUGUUGGUAGGAUUAUAUUAGAGAUCCAGACAGGAGAUUUGCUGCAGAUACUGUUGCUGCCAUAGGUUUAUGUGCACGAAAGCUUCCGAAAAUGGCUAACACGUGUGUAGAAGGGCUGUUAGCCCUGAUUAGACAAGGUCUGUCAUAACUGACUUGUUCUGUAUUGAUCUAUUCUGGUUUUGUUUGCUUAUUUUCCUGAGAAGGCUCAAAAUUGCAGAAUUGCUUACUAGUGAUAUUGAAUCUGGGAAUGGAGAAGCUGAUGUUUUGAUUCAAUCAAUAAUUUCCAUUAAAUCAAUUAUUAAGCAAGAUCCAUCCUGUCAUGAGAAGGUAUCUUCUCUUUUACUCUAUCUGUUAAGCUGCUGCUAUACAUUUCCAGUUGGCUUUUUUAUGCUUAUAAUACCUGAAUCCUAGAAAUGCUUUAGAAAGGGUAGAAGUAGAAUAAAAAAUUUGGCUUUCACAUUAUCUUAAAAAAGAUAUAUUUUUCCUUGUUCUAUAUUCUGGUGCUGCUUGUGUAUCUUCGCUUUGUGUUGCAGAUAAGUGAUCUCCUUUUAUUUUGAAGGUUAUAAUUCAGUUGUUUCGUAGUUUGGAUUCAAUCAAGGUGCCUGAAGCACGUGUGAUGAUUAUUUGGAUGGUGGGAGAGUACAGUUCUGUAGGAGUGAAAAUUCCAAGGAUGCUGACCACUGUACUCAAGUAUCUAGCUUGGUGCUUCAAAUCAGAGGCAGUUGAAACAAAGCUUCAGAUUCUCAAUACCACCAUUAAGGUACUCUUAAGAACCUGGCAUUUGAUUAUACUAGAAAAGUGUUUCAGGUCUUCUCAUUGUUCCACGUUCCCAAAUUACCCUUAUUUUUUGAUUUUAGUGACGGUUUCAAUCAUUUGGUUAUAAUUCGUACUUAUUAUUAAAGUCAGUUUGUAGUGUAAAAAAAUCAAUUGAUUCUCUUUUUCUCUGCAGUGCCCGUGCUUUCAUAUUUAGUCCAUUCCCACAUGUACUGUGCUUAAAUGUUGGUCUCCACCUCUGCUUUAUUGGGUAAAAGUUCUGCAGUAUAUUGUAUUUUUCUGAUCUCUGAGAACUGAAGUGCUCCUGGCUUGUGAGAGCUACUGCGGGUAGCAAAAAUUGUCUUUUUUUUAUCAAUUGUAAGGUUCAAUGCUUGAAUGGAGUAUUGACUAGAAAAAUACAAUUGGCUUCUGAGAUCAGAAUACCUCAUAAGAUGUUAAUUCAGGAUGUUUCUUUGAGAGUGCAUCUUUUGCUGUUUCCUUCUGAUGCUGAAGCGAAAUCAUGGCUUUAUUCUUUCUUUUCUAACAGGUCCUAUUAUGUGCAAAAGGUGGAGAUAUGUGGACAAUUACAAGACUUUUCAGCUAUCUGCUUGAACUGGCUGAAUGUGAUCUGAACUAUGAUGUUCGUGACCGAGCACGUUUCUUUAAGAAACUUUUUUCACAUAAUUUAUGUUCUCAAGUGCCAGAGGAAACAAAUGCUCUACAAGAAAAUAAGGACCUGCCUCAUGUACUCGUGGAAUGCAUUUUUAGGAAACAAGCAAACCUAGCAGCUUCUGAACCUAUCAAUGACAGGUUUUAUCUUCCUGGAUCUCUUUCGCAAAUAGUUCUUCAUGCAGCUCCGGGAUAUGAACCUCUUCCAAAACCCUGUAGUUCGCUGUGUGAUGACCUCGGUCAGUUCUCAAACUCGAUUGACAGGACAACUGCAUUAGGGGAGGAAUGGACUGGCAGUAGCUCUAAUGGAACUGAUGAUCCUGACACAUCUGGAUCUUUGGAUGGGGAAAGUGGUUCAAACUAUGAUUCUCAGCAAUCUAUCCCUGGCUUAAGUGACAACAGUGGUACUGGUGAUUCUGCAAGUGAAGGUGAUAGAAAUUGUGAUCCACUGAUUCAAAUUUCAGAUGCUGGAAUUGCUUGUAGCAAUGAGAAUGGAGCCUCUCAUUCUGGCUUUCCUGAUCUGGAGGGAAUGAUGUCAAAGAGGGCUCUUGAGUCAUGGUUGGAUGAGCAACCUGGUUCAUCAAGCCCGAGUGCAUCUGAACAAAUUCAAGUCCGUCAGUCUUCAGCAAGAAUUUCUAUCGGGAAUAUUGGACGUCAAGUUAAAGCUAAAAGCUAUACACUCUUGGAUCCUGCAAAUGGAAAUGGCUUGAAGGUGUAUUAUUCAUUUUCAUCUGAAGCUUCAACCAUAUCUCCUCAACUUGUAUGUCUAGAAACUUUCUUUGAGAACUGCUCUUCAGAAACCAUGUCAGAAGUAACUUUGGUGGAUGAAGAGUCUCACAAAGCCUUAGAUUUAGCUGACCUAACAUUGGCUACGACUGCAAGGUGAUUUUCCUUUUUUUUUAAUAUAUUUAAACGGUUCAAUAUUGGUGAAAUUUUGGUCUAAUUGUUGAAGGGCACUGUUUUGUGAAGUUUUAGUAUCUAGGUCCCAUGGAUAUUUUUGGUGCCAUUUCUCAUGUGCAAGUGGCAUCAAAUCUAAUGUCACACCCUUUGGCUGGGAUUUCCAGAGUCCAGUCCUGGAAAAUGUAUGGACAUCGUGACAAUCUGAGCAUGUCUUUCUAGUUUGUUUGUAGUUUGAGAUGAGUGAAAAAGAUCUUGCUUUGUUGUUCAUGGUAGACAUUUAGAUGCUCAUUUGGCUUUCCAAUGGAUGUGUUAGAGUUCUGAGAUUAGCUGUAAUUUUGAGCACAUCCAUCUUCAAAGUAGUAUUUUAUAUUUUAAGUGACACAACGAACUUAAGUGACACAACAAACUCUUAUAUUUGAGGGGAUCUACUUGACUGAAUUUAAGUGACACAACGAACUUCAGUUUCGGGACCAUUGGUUGGUAUCUUAUAUUUCAAUUAUGAUGCUGCAUGACAAUGGUAGUUGUUGUGUCAACCUUUAGAAGAAUAUUUGAUGUUGUAUUUUGUACACUUUACAGGUCAUGGUCCAUGUUUUGCUAAUAUAGUCUGCAAACCUGCUUGGUUUUCUGUUCAACAUAGGUAGAUUUUCACGUUAGCGUUUCCUUCGGGAUGCUGUGUCUUUGCUGUGUUUCUUUGGUCUUAAUUACUUUUACAAGGAUUUUGCUUCUUACCUCUUUGAACACUAAUUUUCCUGACUCCUCUGGAUACUGCAGCUCCUUGACACCUCAGAGCGAUUUGCCAACAUUAGUUCCCAUGGAGGAGAUUACAUCUCUGGAACCUGGGCAGACGUUGAAAAGGAUACUUGAGGUUCGCUUCCAUCACCAUCUACUGCCUCUAAAGCUGGCCCUACAUUGUAAUGGCAAGAAGCUUCCUGUUAAGUUGCGGCCUGACAUUGGAUAUUUCAUAAAACCCCUUCCAAUGGACAUGGAAACCUUCAUAGCAAUGGAAUCCCGUCUACCAGGAAUGUUCGAGUAUGCAAGGAGGUGGUCUCUUGUUUAUUGAACUCAAUGUUAUUUUUCUUAGCCUGAAAAUAAUUUUUCUUAGCGUUUUAUUUCCUGCAUGAAUCCUGUUGUCCUUGGUAUCAUUUGUCAUGUUUUGAUAUGCUUGACUAGAUUUCUUGUAAUUGUACAGCUGCACCUUCACUGACCACCUUGGGGAGGUAGAUAAGGACACGGAUGAGAGUUUGUUACUGAAAGACAAAUAUCUUGUAAUAUGUGAAAGCCUAGCAUCAAAGAUGCUAAGCAAUGCAAAUAUUUUUCUUGUAUCUGUGGAUAUGCCGGUUGCUGCCAAGUUUGACGAUGCAUCAGGUUUGUCCUUGCGGUUCAGCAGUGAGAUCUUGGGCAACUCCGUUCCUUGCUUAAUCACCAUUACCGUUGAAGGAAAAUGCUCCGAACCAUUGAAGGUCUCUGCCAAAGUCAAUUGUGAAGAAACUGUAUUCGGCUUAAAUCUAUUAAACAGAAUUGUGAAUUUCUUAGUCGAAUCCUCUUUGAACACCUAGUCGUUAAUAGGAGUGAAAACGAAUACUGGUAAUUAUUUUGUCGCAUUUUAUAAUUUCGUUGGUUAAUUUAUGGCGGUUGUUCUGAAUUUUCCGGUUGUUUCUUAUAUUGUAUGGUGCACAGCACGGCAGCAGAACAAUAUCGACUCUCUACUUUUUCUCGGGUGGUGUUAUUUAUUUUUGGUGUUCUUUUUAUUUUAUUUAUAAUUAAAUGACUUGCAUGUGAUUAUAUUAUGUCUAGUUUCUUUUUCUUACUGGUUUUCCGAUGUCUAUGCUACUCGGUAUUAUUUGUCUAAACUCCUCUAUCAAUCGAAUAAUAAUAUAACCCAAAUAGAACACAUCCAUGUUACAAAGUCGUGGAAAUUAUGACAACACAAAGGUUGUGAAACCAAACUGUUUUUCCUUUACAAAAGUGCUGUCACCAAAAGACGAUUGUUAUUUGUUCUGGUGUUCUCUUACCGUCAUUUCAAAGGGCAGCAGAUAGCGGAACUCAGAUUCAUAAGGUUGAGUUUCCACCAUUUUUGAUACAGGAGUUUUCAUUUCUCCUUCUCGGCACUCCAUAAUCAAUCUUUUCAGUGAUCCAGAACGCGGCAAUUGGCUGUAAAUCCAUUCCAGAAGUGAUUCCAUGUCGUCUGAAAAGUCUUUCAUGUGCCACUUCAGGAGCUUUGGUACCAAAAUCUUUCUCUUGCUUGUGACUCCCACUGAAGCUUCCAAGUAUUCCACUUUCGCUCUUUCCAAUUCAUUCGCUACUUCACGUGGAGUAUAGACUCUUAACUGCAUUUCAGACAAUCUCAUUUAAUUCAAAACUCCUUUCCAUUACAACACUUGCAAUACACUCCUAGUGCGUUGGUACAAGGGGUACAAAUACUUACGGCUGGAGAAGACCAGCUGCCUCUGCAAAGUGCGAAUGUGAUGUUGGGUUCUGGAUAGCCCAGUCCAUAUGCAUGCCAUAGGAGCAUUUCCUUCUGGUAUGAAGGAUCCUGUAAACAAGAACAGAAUUGAGCAGCUAAUUUAAAAGAAGCUUGUAGAGUAAAAUGUUGGGCAGGAAGAAUUAAUGCAUAAAUUAGAAAGUAGCCGACAACUGUCUUAACUUACAGAUGCAAAGUUGCUUGGAUGCCGGAGAAUAAAAUGCUCAAUCCCCAGAGCGUUCAAUACUAUGCCACCCACGUUCAGCGCAGCCUGGACCAAAAUAAUUUCGUGGUCAUCAGCAAAGUGAACUGGAAUUAAACCUCGUUGAUGAUCGAUCAAUUGAGAGAGCAAUGGUCUACCUUGUUCAUAAGAGCCAGCUGUUUAUCCUGUGUCGAAGGCAACCCGUGUUCUAGAAAUGCCUGGAAUUUGAUAAAAAGUAGAGAGCUGUUAAGUUUCUUCAUGUAAUUGUUAUCUGAUUCUGCUUAAUAAUGAAGCUUCAAGAUGUUUUAUAUUACAUGCAUUAUGCAGGCAUUGUAUAUGUUGAUCCAGAAUGCCAGUUUCUGCUUAUAAGUCAAGAAUGUCAGGUCCACAUCAGAUAGUUGAUCCAUCAAAACCCUGCAACAUAAAAUAAAUAGAAGAAAAUACAAAGAUGAAUCCUUUCGGUCAUAAAUGUUUUAAGUGACAAUAUAUUGUUUGUUUAAAGAACCAGGAAUCAACCUCAAUUUUCUCAGCGCCGGCUUACAUUCCGUGAAACGAUUGAUAUCCAAUGAGCUUCUUGUGAUCUGAAUUAGAUUCUUGUAUGGCCCUAUGUCUCUUAUUCUGCCAUCUAAAUCUGGCAAUAUCCCAUAAGGAUCAAGCUUUGAUGCGUUUUGGUUGAUAGCAAAGCCUUUAGAGUUGAUGCAGGAGAGACCAAGCUUUGGAACAACGGCUGAUCCUUCUCUAUCAUGUGAUGCUUGGUUUAUGUCUAGAAAUAUUCCUAUCAAGCAUUUGAUCAGUUCUUCUGAUAGCACAUUUGGUUUCUCACUGCUGGUUUCUUUGUCAACACGACAAUGUUUUGGGAUUCUACAGGUUUGCUUCCUUGGCUUUUCAUAAAACUCUUCUGUUAAGAACAACCAAAACCACAGAACAAAACAAAACAAAGCAAAAUUAUGUUACAAUUUUUUCCCCCUGAUUCUUCUGUUCGAAGCAGCUUAGAAAAAAGCCUACCAGAAGAAGCUGCAGGGGUGAAGCUAAGGAGCUCUGAAGCAGAACCUGCAGAAGCUCUUCGAAAACUCUUCUUUCUUUCUCUUCUGAAUUCUUCAUAAUGUUGUGAUCUAGUUCUAACUUGGAGAUCCUUAGUGAGGCCUGAAGGACUUGCCUGUCCACGUAGCAAGUGAUUUGCUCGUGGCAAUCUACUCUGGUGCUUCAUUUUCCUUUCCUUGGUUAGUUUCUUUUCAUGAUACAGUCCCAUUUUCAGCUCUUCAACUUUUCUCUCUAGCCAAAUUAUCUCUUCCUCCACCAUUGCCAUUUCAGCAAGAAGCGCCUGAACCUGCAUUUGCAAUUCCGCCUAGUCUUUGUAAUCUCCAUUGAAUUGACACUAAACCUUUGAAAGUGUUGUUACCUGCGGUGGAAGCAAUGAGGAAAGACAAGGAUGUGACAUGACAGGCCCAUGAAGUGCACAUUGCAAAACUUUAUUGAGUGUCACUUCACCAUCUAAUUCUGCUUGCAAAUUCUCAACCUAUAUUGACAUAGAGUAUGUGCACUCACUCAUUAGUAAACUCAACUAUAUAUAUAUAUGUAUAUGUAUAUGUAUAUAUAUAUAUAUAUCAUAACUCAAAAACAACCCAGGUAAAAAAAAUGGCCGAUAAUUUUCAUUUCUCACCUGCUCCUCAAGUUCAAGCCUUUUCUGCUUCUCAUCUUUCUUUUCAAUCAAGAAGUCUUCAAAUUUCGUCAUUCACACAAAUUAAAGAGAAAAGAAACCCAAAACGGAAGCCGAAGGAAAGACAAAAACUGAAUUUUUUUUCAGACCCUUUCCCCCUAAUUCGAAUAAGGAAAAAAUUUAAUAAAGAAAACAAAUACGCUUAAAGAGGGGACCAAAUACAAAUAGGGACUCUUAUCUAACCAAAAAAAAAAAACGGGGCAAAGAUCAAAACUCUCUUAGAAUAACAACAUCAUAUCCUUAUUUCAUAAAAAUCAAAACCUCUCACUCACUUCAGCUGAACUCAGUGGUCAAUGCCGCCUAAUUCAUCAGAAACCAAAUUUACUGCUAAAAAAUUAAAUUAAGCAUGAAGUUGGGACAUGGUAAUAGCAGAUACCAAGUAUAAUAAAGUGGGGAGAUGGUCGUUUGUAGGAAAGGAAUGAAAGAUCGUGGGUGGUAUUAGAAGUGCAUGCAUAUAUGUAUUUUGUAAGAGUCACAUGCAUGCAUGACUAUGAGCUUCACAUAUAACAGAAUUAAACUUGCGGUGGAAGGAAGGAAUUGAGAAAAUGAGAGCUGUAAAUGAAAUUUAAGUUGGAGUUAGUGCAGGGCCAUCACAUGAACCCUGCUCUGGAGGUGGUGGUGACGUGAACCCCAUGAACAGUUAUAAAACGUCCAAUUUGUUUAUUAAUUUUGGAUGCCUUUUCAUUUUUAAUAAAAUUUAAUAAAUGACCAACAAUUUUUGUUUCCAUUUUAAUUUUUGUGGAUAGCCACAGACUUUCUCAUAGCCGGAUUCAAUCUUCAUUUUUUUUUUUUUUUCAAAUUCUGGCAGACUUUCAUUUACAUCAAAUCAAACGAAGCAAAUCAGAAUCCGACAUCCGCUGUCUUUCUGUGGUUAAAUCUAGAAGCCUCCCUCUACCAGGCACCACCUGAGUUUCGACGGGGCAACAGAGCAUGAGCAGCGUUUCAGAAUCGAUAAUUUAAUAAUCCCUAAUGUCCAUUUUGGACCAUUUCUAAUUAAAAUUUAAACACACACUCGAGGAAAAAAAAAUUAUAUAUAUAUGAAAAAGCCUUGGCGAUGACAAGAUUAUCAUAGGUGAUUUUAUAUCAUUGGUUUAACAGUUCCCAACGUAAGGUGAGUUUAUACAGGGAGGGACACAUCAUAUAUGCAAUCACAAAAAAGGUUCAUUGCACAUUAUACAAGCAAAUGCAUUUCAGUUUUCUUGACAUAGAUCAUAGAUGAUAUAGGCACGUAAGAGAUUCAGGGAUCUCUGCAUAAAAUUGCUAACUUUAUUGAUUUUAGAUCAACAACAGAAGAGUUGCAUAGCAUUCUUCAGAUUCACAACUAAUUCAAGCAUCUGAACUUGUAGAGAAGUUAAGAGAGCUAAAAAUCACUUUCCUUCCAUCCUCCAAAGUCUCUGUCAGUUUCCACCUCGACCUGUUCGAGGAAACAACAACAUAUGAACCCACAAGAGAGCAAAGGAAGAAGAAAAAUUAAGAACCCUACCAAAUAAAUAUCCGUCACUUUAGCUCAAUUUUCCAAGGUGUGUUAUGCACUAAAAAUAACCACCUUUUUGAGAAUUCAGCACAAUUGAUCUCAUGUCAAAUCAAAUAACCACCUUUUUGAGAAUUCAGCACAAUUGAUCUCAUGUCAAAUCGGCAUGCAAUAUUCGUAUGGCCAUAUUGUAAGCUACACAAAUGGAUAUGGUAUACGUUGAUGCAUCAUGCAUGCCUUGUCCAACAUCUUGAAAGAGAUGGAUCAUGAAAAUGUUAAAGGUACCUUGUGGGUCAUACUCAGACCAACUUGAAUCUCUCCAAAGUAAGUUCCAUCAGCUUGAACUACACUAUAUUUGCGAGAAUGUAGUUCAGCAGUUCCAUUCUCCAUUCCUUGUGCCAAAAGAUCCUCCACAUAGAUUCUAGAAGCGGAAAAUCAAUGUACCACCACUAUUUAGUCACAUCAUAAGAGAGAUAUUGGAUUGUUUGGCAAUGUAUAUAUUCUCAACAAUAUAAGUACUAUGAUUGUUUUUGUGACAGGAAGUCUCAUAAAUAGGACUGUGAAGAAGCCUUUCAUUGAACAUUAUGGUGGCUUUUAUUAGUGUGGUUUCACGAAAAUCAAUUUUACUUCAAAUAUAUUGACAAAGACAUAUUGGUGAGGUCUGAUGAACCUUACCAAUAGUUUAGUUAAAAGUAGUUAUCCUCACCAAUGAGUAGUGUAUAGAUCAUUCAAGUGGCGUGAUACUUAGUUAUCUAUCUCAUCUUCGGGAAGGAUUUAGAAUGAUUUUUGGAUAAACUAUUAAGUUGACAUAUGUAAAGCAAAUUUAGGUAAUCCUAAAGGACCAAAUGAUAGAUGGAUAACUAUGUAAUCCAACACAAAGAGUUUGCCUUCAGUUGUGACACGCAAAAACAUCUAGAGGUCAAACAGAGCUAUGUGAUCCUCUCAAAUCAGUUUCUGUUCAGCUAUAUUUUACCUUUUGCUUGGCAUUACUCAGCUAAAUAGUUGGUUCUUCUUGUUAUUGGAAUUAGUUAGCAGACAUAUUUGUUGAAAAAAGGGAUUUAGUGCACAUGUCCACGGGAAAGAUGCCAUUUCAUCAAAACCCAAGACAGAUAUCAGUAUCAACACCAUAUAGGAAACCUCCAUGUUAUAUAUCCAGGAGGUGAAUAAAGCAAGUAGAUUAACACAAAUGAAAUUUUGCAGUGACUGUAAGUUGAACAUUCUCUUUGGGUAGUGAAAUUAUGUACAAAGAAAGAAAAGAACAUACCCAAGCUCAAAACUUUGGACUUAUUUAUUCAUUUUUUGUUCCAAAAAAAAAUAUAUAUAUAGUGAUUUUAAGACUGAUAGUAACAUGGACUUACGUGGCUUCACCAAGGAAGUCAUCCUUAGUAAAGGUAUCCUUGUCCAUGAUUUUGAGAAUGAGCUUGUACUGGCCACCAGACCCUGGAUACUCCACCCUGAAGGUGAAUCUUUCAUUCCAUGUCCAACUCCCACCACGACCUACAUUAUUUGUCAAUAUGCCUUAUAGACGAAGUUCACACUGAACUAGAGCCACUAUGCAAUCCUCAACUCUUCUUUUCCAACACAAGUAAAUCCAUUUGCAGUUAUGUUGCGCACAGUCAUAUUGAAUUGACACCAAGUAAAUUAUAAACAUAAAACAAAAAGCACAUGAAAAGCAGUUUUGGAUAUCUAUAAGUGCUUUUGACAGAACCCCGUGUCAAAACCCCCAUCCAAAAAAGAAAAAAAUCCUGAGAAUAGAUGUAGGGUAAUGGUGUGAAUUGAACUAACCUUGAGCCACGCUGCUUGUGCGCUCUUGGGUUUUGUAUUGUAUUAUAACAUAGGGAUCAAUAUCACCUACCAGCACAGAUCACAAGCAAAUCAUAUCCCAAAAAAAAAAAAAAAAAACUUUAGUUCACAUAUUAUAUUUUGUUGUAACAGACAACAAAAACAUUAUAUUCAAUGACUUGACUGGUAAAAUUACAAUGGAAUGGCAUCACAUCAUCAAUAAUGAGUUUUGAAGUACUCUCACUCACUCCAUGAACAUAAGUACAUAACUAUAUCAGCUGAAAUUAAUAGGCAAUUUUUCACAAAGACAGCACUUUUAAUAAAUAAAAAUAAAAUAAAUCAAACCUUUUGCAUCAGAAGAGACAAGCAAGAAGUAAAUUACCUAAGAAAUCGGUGUUGGCAAGACCUUUAGCACUCUCAAGAAGUACUUCCAACAACCCAAUAGCCAUCUUCUUCCUCAGCUAAGCCAAAGCUUUCACUUUUCACUUUUCAAAAUGAGAGAGACAGACAGACAGACAGACAGAUGCUUUUUGGCCUUUGAAAUUCAAAUCAAAGGAAGGAAGAGUCUUCCGACUCUCUUCUCUGUCUUGGCUUGAAUCAAUCAACGGUAUUACAUUCACAUUUACCUGCCGUGGUGGGUUGAAUCUGAUGAUCCAACCACCAAUGACCUCUACUCAGUCAAUAUUAUUCUUUAUUCACUAAUUAUUAUACUAAUACGAAUGAACAGCGAAAGAUCACCUUAUUUGCCAACUCAAAUUCGUGCGUUAAUUCCUCAUACAUAAAUAAAUACAUAAAUGUGGUACAUUAUAUAAUCAAUAAACUCAUUAUCAUUUAAUCCUUCCCUCCACCGUUAGUAAACGUAACAUAUGUAAUAUAUAGUGGCCUCAUUCGGCUUCACGCCAUAUUGGCUUCUUCCUAUACAUAUAUUUGACUUUGAGAAUGGCUUCUUCCUUCUUAUAUUCAUAAUAUUAUGCCGCGUUUGACGUUUUACUGUAUUAUAUUAAUAUUGUUGUUUUUAAAAGUUUAUAUGAUUAUAUAUCAUUAUUAAUUAUAAAAAUUAAUUUUUUAUUAAUUAAAAAUAUAUAAAUAUAAUAUAUGUUAUUUACUAUAAUAAUAAUUAGAAUAUAAUGAAAAUAUAUUUAAUGCCUGAGACAAAAGUCGGAACAUAACACAAAUCCAAGGUCACCUCAAGUUCGUGCAAUGCAACAAAAUAGCGUAUUAAAUUGACGAAUAUAGGUCGGUAAUAAAUUAAUGCGAUGCCAUACUCCGAGCACACACACCCUAAUUAGCUAUUUUCUCCCCUGAUCGACCAAUUGCUCAUAUUUGAAGGUUAGAGAUACGGAUACCCGAUGUGUGGCUUCAACCAUAAAGAGAUUGAACAAGCCUUUGGAUGAUUGGAUCUCUCAUUUUUUCUGGACUGAUUCGCCGGUCCUGCCAUUGCCGAAGCCAAGUGCGGUAAACAAAUCACUGAAAACAGAGCAAUGCUCUUUCUAAAACGUGCAAUAAGACUACAUAUCGUACGUGAAGGCCCCUUUCAUUAAAUAAGAACUAGAAAAUAUGACCCAUAAUAAUGUGAAUAUUUCAUACUCCAAAUUAUUUCUUUCAAAAAGUUCCACUGCAAUAAAUCUCCUUAGAAGUAACACACAGCUUUUCGGGAUCCAUUUACAUGCUCUUCCACAUUACCACAAUCACAAGAUAUAGUCCAAGAGACAUGGUACAUCGGAAACCUAAAGACAUAAAAUGCUAGCCUUCACAUUCAACUUGCCUGAUCCUAUCUGGUAUGUCUGGGCGACAGGUCGGCUGACCUAGACCUAGAUCUAGAUCCAGAGGGAGACCUUGACACUCCACCAGGUGGCGGUGACCUCCAGUGAGCCUGUGUCUCCUCAUAGCCAGAUUUCCUACAACAUUUUUGCAUUAAGCACUUUUCCAAAGAAAACAGUCUUUCAAAGUGCUAUCAACAACAAUAUUAAAUGCUAACAUCAGAACCAAUUGUUAAAUAUCAUCAGUAAAAUAGGCUCUCACUUACUCCCCAUAACCAUUGCCAUUUGGGUUACGACGAUCAGCAGAAUCAUCAUAUCCAGGAGAAUAUGAUCUACGACUGUAUUCAGCACCUCGCUCUUGUGGAGGACCUCUUGGUGAUCCUGGGUGUUCUAUGUGCCUUCUCCGAGGAGAAAUUGAGUAAUCUUCGUGUUGUCUUGGGACAGGAGUGUAAGAUCUGACAAAGUGGUCAGCACACAAAUUAUGCAGCCACAGCAGCAAUCAUAGGUAGACAAAAUGACAAUUCAUAACCUUCGUUACAUACCUAGAGCGGUACCGGCUUCUAGAACCUUGAGGAUGAUGAGGGGAACGUGAACGGGAUAGUGAACGGGACCGAUAACGUCCUGGAACAUAAUGAGUAUGGAAAAGAGAUUUAUUACAAAAGGAUUCAACUCAUAUAUACCUAAGGAAUAAAGGAAAGCAUGCAAAUUUAUCCGAAACCCAUUGUCACUCAAGUAAAUUAAUAAAUAAAUAUAGAAAAAAUUGAUAUUAUAUCUGCAUAGAGCUUCAUAACCUUCAAUACCUCCAAGUUUAAGCUUCCUAAGUUCCACAUAAUCUAACAAAAUUACUUUGGUUAUUGAUUAAAAGUUUAAUACAAACACGUUAGAGAAGGACAACAGCAAUGUUGGUCAAGAAGGUGAUAAUUACUUUUCCUAGGAAGCACAAACGUACAUCGACAGAUACCAACUUUAAAGUACUUCUUUCAAGGGUCUCUUUGAUAUAGUAGAGCUUCUUCAAAUUGUCUAGUGCAGCUUUUACUAGUGUAGCUUUUAAUAAAUCUUUGAUUGUUUGGUUGUCAAUCACCAGCUUUUAACAAAAAAUUCUAUAAUUAACUUAGUAGAUAAGCUUUUUAAGGUUAUGUUAUGAGAGUGAAAUAAAAAUUGUGAAAAUAAAAAUAAGAGCAUUUAAUAUUUAAUUCUUUGAAAGAGCUCUACACCAUCUGCUCUCAAAACCCAAGUUUUAAGCUUCUCUCAGUAAAGGAAAAAUAGCCUUAGCAGUCCUUUAUGAAUUCUACUCAAUUUACAACCAAACAAAAUAUAUAUAGACAUGGGGACGUCCCCACCUGAGCUCCACUUAAUAUUAGUAUAUAAUUUUCAAAUAAAGGAAUCCCUUAAUUUAUUUAGCUAAAAGGCAGAAAAACACAGAUUUCAAUACACCACAAGAUAAAAUACACUGCAUUGAAGUAUUUUUGAAAAACACAUUUCAAUACACCACAAGAUAAAAUACACUGCAUUGAAGUAUUUUUGUUGUCUUUUAGCUUGUAUCUUUCUUAAAGUAAGAGAUUCCCUCAUUGUAAAUAUAUAUACACGGGAUGCCAAAUUGAAGCUAUUGGAUUGUUUUUUAUAGUUAAAUCUGCACAUGGUGAGGCCUACCAUGUAAAAAAUUUAUAUUGCAAUUGGUGCAAAAUGUGGAGAUUUUAUAUCACAAUUAGAUUUGAAUCCAACGGCUCCAAUUUUGUGUGUGUGUACAUGUGUGUACGUAUACAAUUGGUGCAAAAUGUGGAGAUUUUUUAUCACAAUUAGAUUUGAAUCCAACGGCUCCAAUUUUGUGUGUGUGUGUGUGUGUACACAUAUAUGUACACACAUGUACACACACACACACACACAUAUAUAUAUAUUGAAUGGUCCUUUUGGCAUAAAAAAGAUGCACCUUUUGGCCAGUAAAGAAGCUACCAAAACGGUACUUAAUUAGCAACCAUCAUUAGAGAAAAAUGACACUGAAAUUUAAAAGUCAAGAUCCCCAUCAACCCAUGAAGACAGCAGUAAGAGGAUUCGGUGACAAUCAUCAAUGAGGUCUGCUGCCAUGGAGACUGUUCAAAAACUUAAACAACUCCAUAGCAGCAAGAACUAUAACCCAAAAAAUAGCCAUGAUCCAGAAACAAAAACCACCUCGAGGCUGACCUAAUUAGUGACAGAAGAAGCAUUUGAAAGAACUGAAGUCUGGUUCAAGCCAACAAACCUUAGUUUACUGAAGUAUUUUGGACACUUUUUUCAGACUAUGUGACCUGGUACAGUGUCCAUAUAAUUAUAUCUAUCUACAAAAAAAUAAAGAGACCUUUAAUCAUAUACAUAAAUUACCCUAAACACUAAAAGUAACCUAUAAAUAUAACUAGGUGAAACCAUGAAUUAAUCAUAGAUAUUCUCACAUAAAAUAAGAAAGUGGCAGGUCUUCUAAAUGACACGUAAAUGAAACUAGUCACAGCGAGAUUAGAAGCAGGGCAUGGAUCAUAUUGCGUCAUUUCUUCAGAAAACUCAUAACAUACAAAUUAAUUCUGUCCUUCAAAGAAAAGAGUUAAUAAAAAAUGUAAAGUGCAAUUGAGCUGUGAACUUCAGAACCUUUAGUAAUGGACAUACUAUUUCUCAUAUAAGAAAUGUAAUAUAUCAGUAACAGCAUACCAUAAUAAGAUGAUCGCGGUCCUCCAUAGCUCGACCCUCCUCUACAGAACGUAAAACAAAUCAAAGAAAAUUCUAAACAGACACAGAGAAAAAGAACCCUAACUUUUAACCAUAGGAGGAAGGGAAGUGAGAGGAAUGAGUAGAGAGAUGGGAAGAGAGGCACAAAAUGUACCUAAACCUAUGUCUUUGCCGCAUCUCCUCCGGCCUUUUCCUUGACUCUGCAGCAAGGACUACAGAUAUUUCCCUCCCAGCAAAACGUUUCCCAUUCAUAUGGUGUUGAGCUUCAGCAGCUUCAUAAGGAUCCACAAAUUGCACAAACGCAAACCCUCGAGGUUCCCUGCACAUAAGACAACGAAGUCUUCAUUUAAAGUAUGUAAAUUUGUUCCUGAACAAACAAAAAUUGCCUGAGACGAUUGCUUGCCCAAAUGAACAUAUUAAGUUACAGCCAAGUUUUGAUUUGAGAGACCGUCAAACUACCAUAUGUGUCAGCACUGAAUAUGUAUUAAGCAAGCUUAGUGGCUGACCUUUUCUUUUAACACUCAAGAAUGAAAGGCAACUUGAAAAGUGCACUUGAAAAUUCUUCACAUUCUUGUAAAUAAGUACUUGAAUUCAACGUUUCCCCAAAAAAUUAAAAUCGCCCCAUGUAGUCUUCAACUGGUCAAGAUUCAAUCUUCUUCCUCAUCAAACUUCUAUUGGUUGUGUAAUUAUAUAGUUUCUCUCCAAAAUAGAAACACACUUCAUUUGAAAAUUAUCUUUAUAUACUUCAGACGACUAUGUUAGCCAUGACAAACAGUAGGUCUUCAAAUGUGAAAACUCUUCAUUUGAACAUUACCCUUGAGACCAAAAAGUUAGGCAUGAUAAAGAGUAGGUCUUCAUCAAAUAUGGGGCUUCAGGCUUGUUUUACAUAACUUCAAACCAACAUACCCCCUGACAAACCAGUUCAAAAUUUAAUUUGUGAUGAAAAGGAAAAUCUGAGCCGAUAAACAUUUCAUAAUGCAAUUCACAGGACAUCUUCUUUUUUAUUAACCCCUAAUUUCAUUACAUAAGAAGAUAUUACGAUGAACUUAGAACAUAAGUAGCAAACAGCAAAAGUAGAACGAAUUAUCAACCUGAGCCACUACUAUUGAUCCCAAAAUUUAUGCUCUAUAUAUCUAGCACAAUUAUAGAAAAAGUAUGGAAGUGACAGCUGCAUCAUCAAAUAUUAUGCAUGAGUGCUUCCUAAGCGCUCUCAGUCAGCCUGACAGGCUUAGUAAAUGGAAUUAAUGCUCAUCUUCGUUGGUUGCAGUUCACCCAAUUGGAGGACAAAGACAUUUACGAUAUUGAAAAUGUAUUUCAUGUAUAAAAAAAAUAAAAAAAUUAAAGUUUGUUAACAAUAUAAAUUGAUAAGGCAAACAAAAUAGUCUAAUCACAAAGUAUAUCUUUCACUUAUUGGCAACAGAGAAUUAGGUGUGAAACUGUGAAACAGAGACUGGGGCAAAAAUCAUAUUAGCCAAGUAAAGAAACCUGAGAUUAACCACGUGUACACAAACCAAGUUUCAAACUUAACAUCCGAGAUGAGGGUGAAACUCAUGCUCAAUCGAAAUUCAAUCACAAGAAAGAUUUUACCACAUCAUAAGCAAAAGACUAAUAAAAGAGAUGAUAUACUGCAGCUCAAAAAGAUUACAGGAAAAAACAAACAGAACAGUAGUAUUGGCUUGAUCAACUCCCAGACAGAAAUUCAGAGAAGUUGCCUGCUCUUUAAAAUAUACAUGCAUACACACACACACUCCCAAAACAGCAAGCUCACCCAGUGUAGUAAUCCUUAGGAAGGUAGACAUCCCUAACAACCCCAAACCUCUCAAACGGAGCACGGAGUUCUUCAGGCCUGCAAGCAAUAGCAACAACAGAUAUUUGAGCACACUACCACGGGUCAGAAGUCAACACAGACAAAAUAAAGUUACCUGCAAUCAAGCGGAAUGUUUCGAACCAAAAGGCUACCAUGAUUCUGUUCCUUGCGUCUUCCAUAGCCUCCUCCACCGCCACCGUAUCCUCUUCUCGGAGGACUUCUUCCUCGGCCUCCGUAUCCCCUCCUCGGAGGACUAUAGUAUGGUGGACUGUACCUUCUCAUAGCACUGCCUUCCUCCACACACAAUAAUAACAACAAUAAUAACUUAAGAAAUUAACUAAUAAUUAUAAUUAUAAAAUCAUGAUGUACAACGAAAGACAAUAAAUCUAAUUGAUAAACAAACCUAAUUAUACUACUUCGUUGACUUAACGAAGGGAGUUUUCAGUGGUUCAAUAUAGAGAUUUUCGUUCAGCAUCCGAGAAAAUCGCUAGAACAUACCCAUAAAUUAGAAGCUACUUUUGUGUUUCUUUUAUUUUUCCGGCGAUUUCUCAGCAACCAAACAGAAAAUAACAGAUUCAGAUGUCUAUGACCGUGCGACAAACGGAUACAAUUUAGUUGAUUAAUUAAUUACCUGUACGAGAAAGACUAGAGAGGAGAGGAGAGAAGACUUUGCAACUAGAUUAGGUUAGAUCAGAAGAUGAAGAUUUUUAACUUGUUAGAUCUGAACUAGCACCCUACGCCCCGAUGGAAUAUCAUUUUACCUUACGUAAUCGUAGCUUUCAUCAGCCCUGGAAAGUGGGACCUAUUAUUCGAGGCCCAGCCCAACAUGACCCCAAGUUUUUUUAAAAGUCUUGACAGGUUAGUCCAUUAUAAAUGUCUACAGGCAUCUGAAUCUGAUUGUAAAAACAUAUUAGUAUUAAACAAAAAUUCCCUUAAGGGACUUAAUGAGAGAUUAGAAAAAGCUUUUAGAAUAUAAGUGAAAAAAAUAAGAUAUUAUUAGGAUCUAAAAACCUUGAUAUUAAAAAAAAAAAAUUAAUUUUUCGAACUUGAAUAACCAUCCAAAUAAAGUUGCUUAAAAACCACUUAGCCAAGUCCUAAGAAAUUAAUUUAGGUUUUGUCCACCCCUUUAAAAAAAUUAAAAUUAAAAUCCAAAGUAAAAUCAACUAAUCUAAAUAAAAGAAAAGGUAUGAUGUAGUCCGGUGAUUUAUAGAGUAGAAUUUAUGAAAAAAGUUAUAGUAAUAACUUUUAAAAUUUUAUGAUAAUAACUUUAAAAAUUUAUGGUUACGUAUUUAAAGGUGAGACUAUUUAAACUUACAAUUUCUCUCUUAGAACCCACUUACUCGAUUUACUCAUUAUUGAAAUUAAAAGUGCUGAAUUUUACUCUUUAUAUCCUCCAUAAUCCCAAAAAUAACCUUCCAUAGUUACAUAUCCUCUCAUUUUAUUUAUUUAUUUUUUUCUUUGGCUAAGCUAUUAUCUGCACCCACAACUAUUUUGUCUCACUAUCAUUUCUCUGCGUCUGUUGCCCUAGGAAAUCAUAGAUCCAUGUUAAGUGAAUAAAAGCUAAUUAAUUAUGACACAACUGGAAGGUUUAACAUCAAUAUAAAAUUAUUUCUACUGUAUCAUGAAAAGAAUACAAUGCAGACUUCUUAAUGCAGACUUCAAAGUGCUUCAUUGCUCGGUAUUUUGGUUCACAAACAAGAGAGAAAUUAAAUCAAAAUCCAAUAUAACUACCUUUUUAUUGAAAGAUUAUGAGUUUGUGUUCAUAUGUGAUGUUGUUACUCUCCGAUUCUUUAAAUCCAAAUUUGUUUUUUGGACUGCAUAUAUGCUGUCCAAAAAAACAAGACCAAGUUUUUAUUUUCUAAAUUUGCAAAAACAAAAUUUGUGCAGUAUGACAUUUGAUUGAUAAUUUAACAAUAAUGACACAGUGUAAAAGCUAUGUUUGACAUUAAUUGGAGGAAAAAAAAAAAGAUUUUACUUACAUGUAAUAAAUUUAGAUUAAAUGGGUUUAAAGAGUAAAUGUCUUUUAUUUAUAAAUUUUAGUUUGUCCUUUAUUGUAAUUUACUUUAAAGAUAAUUUAGUAAUAUAAAAGAUGAUUAAUAAGUGGGUUAAAAAAUAAUUUGAUUCAAAUAAUCUCCCCCGUUAUUAUUACUACUUUUAAAAAGCAAUCCCUUAUUGCUUUUUAAAGUUAUAGUACAAAAACAAAUUAUAGAAUAAACCAUUUUCAAAAUAUUUACCCAGCGUUAUUUUUUAUUAAAAUAUAUAAAAUAAGUAGUUUUAAACGUUAAAUUGCAAUGCCGGAACAUAAAGAGUCCUAAUAAGAAUGAUAAUUUUUUUUGUUGGGAUGAGAUUCUACGGGAUCCCUCCCAUUUGGGAUGAGAUUGAGAUAUAUUUUUGCCUUAAAAAAAAUAAUAAAAAGACAGGAAUAAAACUUUUUUUUGUCUCAUUUGCAUAUACGAGACAUGAUUGUGAUUGACAAAUCUUGUUCUAUCCCUUUUCAUUACCAACCCUAGUUGUUGGUAGAUAUGACAAUUUUUUCUAUUAGGAUAAGAUUCAAUAAUUUGGAACGGGAUUAGAACAUAUUUUUACCCCAAAAAAGUAAAGCGACGACAAUUAAUCAUUUUUUUUCCCAAUUGCAUAUACGGGACAUGACUACGGUUCAUAAAUCUCGUUCCACCUCAUCCCAUUGCCAACCCUAAGUCCUAACAUUAUGCGACAUCACAAGUUUUAAAAUAUAUUGAGAUGGUAAGAAAAAAAUAAAUAAAAAUCCCAAUUGGUAUAAAAUAGAAAAUGAAAAAACAUUAUGGAUCUCAUGGUCAUUAUCCUUGUAAAUAUUGAAAAACUAGGGGUGUUGGACCGUUCUGUUCAAUCCGUCUAAUUCGUAGAAAUCCGAUCCGUGAAUUUGUGGAUUAGAUUGGAUUGAAAAUUUGAAAAUCUAGAGUUGAUGGAUUGGAUAUGGAUUUACUUCUGUGAAUUCACAAAAAUCCACGAAUCCGCAAAAAAAUAAAAAAAUAUUUAUUUAAUAAAAAAAAUUAAACUUAUAAAUAUGAUAUUAUACUUACUAAUAAAUAAAUAAGUUAAAAUAUAGUUACAUUAACACCAUAUUAUGUCUUAUCUGAUAAUAAUAUUUAUUUAAAUCUUAUUUAAUUUUAAAUUUAAUCAGUAGUAAAAUUAUUUUUAUAUUAUUUUUUUAUUUAACUAGUUCACGAAUAGGACAUGAUUAAAAAUUUUUAGCCCACAAAUCAAUCCGUAAAAUAGUGAAUUGCAUAUGAAUUAAGUCAAAUCCGCAUCUGAUCCGCAGACGACUGGAUUGGAUUUGAAUUGAAUUUCAUCAACCCGUAGAUUGGAUUGGAUUAAAAAUUUAUAAUCCCCAAAAUCGUGGAUUGGAUAAAGAUUGAUGUCUAAUCUGCAAAAUCCAAUCCGCAAACAUCCCUAUAAAAAACUACCUUGUAAAGUCAAAUAAUUACCAUAAUGCAAUUUUAUUCCAUACACCUUUAUCUUCAAAUAUUACAAAUAGAUAAGAACAUUUGUCAAAUUUUCAACAAAGGCUACAACCACCCUCAAAUUUAGAUAAAUACUUCAAAUUCAUCUCAAGAAAGAAGCAUAUCAAUUACAGUGGCAAUAAUUCACAACAUCUGUAAAGCUAAAUUACUAGAAGUAAUUCAGUCACACAAACCGAAUAAUACAAUUGUUGACGUGUCUAUAGAGAGAUCAAUAAUCUUCACUCAUUCAAUGGUAAACAUACAUUUGUCAUCGUAAGAAAGUGAACCAAUGAGACAAGAUUAAUAAUCCUCACUCUUAUCUUUGCCCUAGCAUAUGUCCUGUACAAAGUAAGCACAGAGACUCGCAGCCAACACAAUGAGUACCGACCAUUCUAAAACUAGCUGUGCCACAAUCAGCUUCACCAACAAGCAUCUUUCGGGAGGGUGGGGGAAAAGCUCUGUUGUUGAUAGGGAAGAGAGAAUCGAGGUGUAUGGUAUGAAAGAAUCCACAUUUGCCAUCAAGAAGCUACAGCAAUGUCUGAUUCAGAACUUGAAUUACUAGAGUCAAUGCGCAAAGGACUCUUCUGAAAUUCAUUUCUUAGCUGACCACAUGCUGCACUAGCAUCCAGUCCCCUUGUCUGACGUAUGCUAGUGGUAAUUUUAUGGGAUUCCAGAGCACCUGCAAAUGCUAGCACCUGGAAGAUGAAAUAUAAAAAAUUUAUGUAAAAUAGACAACAGACUGAAUCAGGAGAUGAGGAUUAUAGUUGAAAAUGCGAGGGAUAUGGCAUGGUCAUGAACAAACCGCCUUUUUGUAAGGGCGUUGAUAAUCAGAUCCUUCUAUUGGAUUGAAGGGUAUGAGGUUCACAUGAUGACCACGUCCCCACUCAUGAAGUAGCUCUGCAAGUUCUACUGCAUGUUCUACUUGAUCAUUGACUCCAGCUGCCAAUAAAAUAUAAUAGAAAAGGGUCAAUUUGCAUUACUUUUCAUGUUUUCAGCCUUUAUGUAAGUCCAACAGAGAAGGAAGGGGAAAUAAGUUCAUAUCAAGUAAUGGUGUGCUUACUAAUCAAGAAAGCGGAGAGCUCAAGCAAACAGGAAGGCGUUCAAUCAUACACAAAUUGAAUAAUAAUAAUCACAAUUAUUAUUAUAAAUAAUGACAGAAGGUCAUUUUAGUAUUUUGCAACAAUCCAUUCUGGUUUCAAGUCAAAGUAAACAAGAAUAAAAACAACAACAACAACAACAAUAAUAAUAAUGAAAACAAUAAUUAUAAUUUUAACAAUAAUAAUAAUUUAAUUAAUAUUAACAUUAUUAUUAUUGUUAAAAUUAUUAUUACUAUUAUUAUUAUUUUAACAAUAAUAAUAAUUUAAUUAAUAUUAACAUUAUUAUUAUUGUUAAAAUUAUUAUUACUAUUAUUAUUAUUUUAACAAUAAUAAUAAUUUAAUUAAUAUUAACAUUAUUAUUAUUGUUAAAAUUAUUAUUACUAUUAUUAUUAUUUUAACAAUAAUAAUAAUUUAAUUAAUAUUAACAUUAUUAUUAUUGUUAAAAUUAUUAUUACUAUUAUUAUUAUUUUAACAAUAAUAAUAAUUUAAUUAAUAUUAACAUUAUUAUUAUUGUUAAAAUUAUUAUUACUAUUAUUAUUAUUUUAACAAUAAUAAUAAUUUAAUUAAUAUUAACAUUAUUAUUAUUGUUAAAAUUAUUAUUACUAUUAUUAUUAUUUUAACAAUAAUAAUAAUUUAAUUAAUAUUAACAUUAUUAUUAUUGUUAAAAUUAUUAUUACUAUUAUUAUUAUUUUAACAAUAAUAAUAAUUUAAUUAAUAUUAACAUUAUUAUUAUUGUUAAAAUUAUUAUUACUAUUAUUAUUAUUUAAUUAAUAUCAACAUUAUCAUUAUUGUUGUUGUUGUUGUUGUUAUUAAUUUUAUCAUCAUAAUAGUAUUAUUAUUAUUGUUGUUGCCGUUAUUCUUCUUCUUCUUCUUCUUCUUCUUCUUAUUAUUAUUAUUAAAAACAACCAUUAUAAAAAUAAGAAUAACAACAAUAAUAAUAUUUCAAUUGAGGACAAAAGUGGAAUUAUGAAAUGAGGGUGGGGUAGAAGGAGGAGCUUAAGGAAUGAGAACUCAAUUCCCAACCCCCCAUGGAAAUCAAGUUCCAUUCCUUAAUCCCCAAAACUUGUGGACCCCACAUGCUUCAUUCCACAUCUCAUUUCUUUAAACAAGUAAACAUCAUCAAUCAUUUCCAUUCCAGAGUCCGAUUCCCCAAUCCGAGAAAUAAACACAUCAUAAAACCACUGUACCUAAUAGUGCAUACUCAAAGGACACCCGUCGACUCGUUUCUUGGAAGUAAUCCCUGCAAUCCUUCAUGAUUGCUUCAAGAGGAUAGGACUUUGCACUUGGCACAAUUGAUUCCCUCAGUUUCUGGUUUGGAGCAUGUAAGCUGGAGCAUAGGAGAAAAUAUAUGAAUAAAAAUAAAGUUCUCAUCAACUGAAAAUAUGGUCUGCUUCAAAAGCUCAAGAAAACUAAAGGGCAAACUAGUAAAACAUGAGAACAGAGCAAGGAGGAGAGAAUAUUCCAUACAAACAAUUGCCGAGUCAUCAGAACAAAGAUAUCUAUACUUUAGUGAAGAAAGAUGUGAAUAAUUCAGAAACUUAUUGAGUUAUUGAAUCAUAAGACUGAAUGCCACAGACACUGGGACACAAGUUUUCAUCGGCUAUUUGAGAUGAGAUUUCCGCAUAUUCAGGAUGCUGAAUCUUUCUUGUGAAAAGACAAAAGCUACUUUUUAGCGGAAAGAGAACAUUUAGAUACAUGGGCUAGUCAAAGGGUUCAACACUUAUGAAUUUGAGAAAAGUUGAGGUCAGUUUCAUGCUACUGGCCAAGUGCCAGAUGUUGAGUCAAAUUCAAUGAGUUUAAGAACAAUCAGUUCUACAGAAGUAGCCUAAAUACUCAUGAACACCACAGUAUCAGUUAACAAAUUCUAUACAAGAUUACCAGACCUGAUAGCCAAUGUUGACUGAAGUUUGUAAGAGGCCAACUUUUUAAUUGUGUUCGGAACCCCCACAGUGGAAAUUGUAAUCAUCCUUUGUCCAAUUUGCACAUCCUACAAAAAACAAGAGCAAUCGAAUACACAUAAGCUUAACUUCAAAACACACAUAAAGACAUGCACACACUAUGAAAAAGAAUUAACAGAACGACAAGAUGACAUGAACAAAUAGUUGUAGAAGCACCUUAUUCAAACAUCGAUGUGCUUCAAGCACAGACUUUAGGUUCAACAUUGGCUCGCCCAUUCCCAUGAACACUACGUUUGUCACCCUAUGCUUGAAGAUCUCUUCAAUUGCUAACACCUGAAACAAACUGCAUCAUGCUGAAGAAACAGAUACUAGCUUGGAUAAAAAGACAGGAUAAAUCUCAUCACACUAAAACCACUUUAUUGUCAAAUAAUGUAGCCAAUGAGAUUAUAUGGAUUUUGAUGUGUCAACAUUUAAAAACUUAAAAAAGAAGAAAUGAACCUGCCCAACAAUUUCAUGGCUUGAAAGAUUUCUUGAAAAUCCUCCCUUUCCAGUGGCACAAAACGAACAACGCAAUGGGCAACCUACCUGAAUACCCAAAGGAUAAGACAAUUUCUUAUGCUCAAUCAAGGAAUAAUCUUUCGAAGAAGAAAAUUUUUCAUUUGUCAGUAAUGAUGCAUGAAAAACACCUGCGAUGACACACAAGCGGUAAGACGCAUGGGACCUUUCUCGUCUUCAACUGGUAUGCCAACAGUUUCAAUCAAUCUGUUGUCUUCCAGCUUUAUUAGCAACUGCAAAAUCAGCACCAUGCAUAAAUAAUUAAGUAAAAUCUUUCCCAAUGUACAUCAUACAUUAACAUUUAUAUAAUAACUACCUGAAAACACAUGCAAGGACAAAAAGAUGAAAUAAAAAACAGCUAAUGUAAUUAUGUAAAUUUGAUGUAUUUAUAAGUACUUUAACAGUUCCAUCAGCUGCAGUGACCGUGCGAAAAAUCGGCAAGCGACCAACCGUCCAUCCAGCUUCUUGGAGAUCAUUUCUGAAGGACUGAGGCACUUUCAUUACAAAUUAUAGCCAAAAAAAAAAAAAACCGAAAUUUAGACACCAAAUACGCAUUAAUAAAAUAAAAAUUAACAAAAAAGGCAACAACGUAAUGUACUCACGUUGAAUAAAAUUUUCAAUUUCUUUGACCUUUCUUUUGUAAAUUAGAUGAUGAAGCUGCUUCCCUCUGUAACUUUGCUAAAUUAUAAAUUUCCAAAAAAAAGAAGAAUUUUUAUUUAAUAAUAAAAACAAAAAAUGUUUCCGUUUUUCCUUUUAAUUUGGUUGGAUUGUACCUGGCCGAGGUCGACGGCGAGUUUUUGAAGCUCCUGCUCGGACAUGCCAAGGAGCACGUUGGCGUCCACGCGAGGGGCACGUGAAGAAGAAGAAACAGAUAACUUGCGCCGCGGGGUCACAGAAACUGCAAGGCAGGAGCGAGAAAGCACCACCGCAUGUGCUACGGGAGCAGAGAUCACUUGCCGAAGCAGAGUCAUUGAAACGGCAAUUAUCCUUUCCUUCUCCUCUCUCUGUUUUCACUAAAACCCCUGCUUCGACGUCUAUCUCCUCUCCUGCUAAAACCUCCGCACCUCACGCUCCGUUGCAAAGACAAAAAUAACCCUCCAGUUUCGAAUUUCUUUCUUGGUGAAAAAUACAAUUCAGUCCUUAUUGUUUUUACUAUAUACUGUAAUGUCCAACUUGUUUUGCAUUGUGACAUCAAGGUACAUUCAGUAUCAGGUUGCGGCGGCAGACAGUGAUUUUAAGUUUCUGCUACCAUGCAGGCUGCUGUAAAAUAGCACAAACAGACACGAAUGCUUACAACAAUACGAGGAGAAACAAGAAAAUACAAAAGAAGCAAAUAUCAAUUUAAGAUUCUGUAGAAAAACUGUACAUAGAUUGUGACUUGUUAUUACAAUGCUGGUCCAAGAUACAUCAAUGUUUCAUACAUAAAGCAAAUAGAAAAAAUAAAGCAUGCAUCAAAUAUAUUAUCUAUCUCCUCUCAGAUGGCCUAUGAUGAACGCUAGCUUUGCCUUGGCCAUUUUCAUUGAGACCUUUUCUUUUGUAUGUACUGCGAUCAGAAUUCUGGAGGGAUUCAUCUCGAGAGACACCUGCAUCAUUGGUAUCUUGAAUUUGUUCCAAUGCUUUUACCACCUCAUCCAUGGUAGGCCUGAACUUUGGUUCAUUUGAUAGGCAUUUGAUUGCUAGUACAGCUGUUUUUAGUGCUGCACCAAGUGAGUACUGGCCUUCAAUACGAGCAUCCAUAACUUGGAAAAUUCUGCGUUUGCUUUGAAGGUAAGGUUUGGCCCAUUCAAUUAAAUUAUGUUCUCUAGAUGGUCUGUUCUUGUCAAUUACUCGUCUACCGCUUAACAUUUCGAGGAGAACAACCCCAAAACUGUACACAUCGCUUUUCGCGGUUAGAUGUCCUUCAAAAAAGGAAAAGAGUGAGGAUUGGAAGAAGUUGAGAAUGCCUGCAUACUGAUAAAUUCAGAAAGCUAAUUCCAGAAAAUAAACAUUUACACAUAAGCACAGAGGAAAAAGGAGUAACGUUCUAAUAGAGACAGAGUUUAAAGCUUAAAAUCAAGUGAGAACUGUAUGAGUUGGAAUUUGAUAAUCAAAGAAUUUUCCAAGGAGAAAGCAAUAAUAAUGACCAAUUUAAGAAUCUCGAAAAUGACUUGAGGGGUGGCUUAAUAGAGCUUACACAUGAUGCCACUAUGAUAAAGUUUUUAGCUAAUGACAUUAAUUACCCCAUUUGGAAGCUUCAUGUUUUGUAUAUGGUUAGGGCAUAAGUCAAAUAAAGCACACACAUUGGAAGUUGAAGGAAAAAGUGGAACAAACUGCACUCAAAUGUGAAUAACAGCAGCGCAAGUUGAAAGAUACCUGUGGCCAUAUAUUCUGGAGCUGCAUACCCAUAAGUACCCAUGACUCUUGUGGAGACAUGGCUUUGGCUCCCUGUCGGUCCAUCCUUGGCCAACCCAAAAUCAGAGAGUUUAGCAUUGUAGUUCUGUCAUUUUAUGGUAAGAAACAGUAUGAGACACCUGUAAGCAUAAUGAGACACUAGCAAAAGCCACAGAAUUCAAAAGCUAAAUAUGCUUCACUCACUAAAUCAAGCAGGAUGUUGGAAGUUUUGAAGUCUCGAUAUAUCACUUUUGCUUUAUCACUAUGAAGAUAGGCUAGACCCUUGGCAGCACCAAGGGCAACCUUCAUGCGAAUGGUCCACGAAAGCGGUUGAAUGUAAGAGGCUCCUGCUUCAAUGACAAUUUAGAUAUCUAAUAAGUAAUGAUUCAAUUAGAAGAGAGACAUGUUAGUUCAUAGACAAUGAGAAGUUGAAUUAAAAGACUACAUUACUAAACAGAGGUGAUCUUAAUAGACUCACUUCUAAAUAGAUGAUUUUCUAAGCUGCCCUUGGGCAUAAAUUCAUACACCAGAAGCCGGUGGUCAUCCUCUAAGCAAUAGCCGAUCAAUUUUACAAGAUUAGGAUGAUACAAUUGUCCCAGGUGUUUGAUUUCUGUCUGUAGAACAAGUGGAGCUAAGAAAUUAGUUACUACUAUCAAUAGGAAGAGGGAACAUCACUCAACUAACAAGGGAAAUAUAAAGUCCAAACACUGAAGUAAGGUCCUAAGAAAACUAAAAUUGCAUUGCAAGGGGGUAGAAGUGUGAUGCUCACCAACCAUUCCAGAUGACCCUGCAGACUCUCUUGAUUAAGCCUCUUCACAGCUAUAACCAUGCCAGUCCCAGGCCUGGCCGGUGCAUAUGUAUGCUCAUCAAUCCACCCCUUAAAGACACAACCAAAUCCACCUUCACCCAAAACACUAUCUGGACGGAAGUUCCUGGUGGCUGUUUUGAGUCCAUUGAAGCUGAAACUCUUUAUGUUAGAGCCUAGCAAGAUCUCACCCUCUGUCCGAGGAACCACUGAGACAGAUGAGACCCUGCUGCUUGACCCACUAGUACCAUUUCCGUCUUUUCUGCUGCAUUUUGAAUUUGCCCCUAUAGAUAUCAAAGCCAUAUAUAGCUAUUUAUAAACAAAAUAGUCAAUUGAAGUUUUUUUUAAAAAAAACAAAGCCAAUUUUGUAAAAUAGAUUCAUAUUGCACUUAAGCUGAUUAAAUGUUCCAGACAUAAUUUUUUCUGGGUUCAAUAAUGAUCCAUGACCAUAAUCCAAAAAUCAAAAUCCCAAAUGUUCAUUUAAACUAAUUCCUCCUUUUUCUUGGCAACCAACAUAACAUAGCAUCAAUCAAAGUCACAAGUUCCCGUUGAAAGAAAGAAAGCUAAAGAAGACAAAAUCAACAAUCAAAAGUAGCUAAAAUAUGUAUGUGUGUGUGUAUAUAUAUAUUACACAUUAAAGAAAGGGUAACAAGCGCAUAACAAGCUCAAAUAAGCAUUAAGAGAGAGGAGAGAGAUGAUCGUAUUGAUACCAUUGGGAAGAGGACUGUCAGUUUCAGCGCUGAAGCAAGAACCCAUGAAUGCAAAAGCUAGCUCGCUCAAGUUUCUUAGUAACUAGCUCCUCCAACAGAACCCAGUAACUGUUAUUUAGUUAUAGAAAUAGAGGAAGAAGAAGCAAGCUUUUAAUUUAAUUGAAGGUAUGCAUAGCUGAAAGGUAUACAUAGCUGGUGAAAUGAAAAAAAGAAGAAUUGUCAAGUGUGAAACCAAAACUUUUAUACGUACGUAGAAGGUGUUAGCUGUCAGGCAGGACCAAGACUGUCCAAUUGCAUAUUUUGACUGAUUAUUUUAAUAUUACAAACAAGCUAACCUAGCCUAAACUAGCAUGGCAAGAAAAAGGGCAAGCAAAAGGAAAGAAGGCGUUAAUAAAAUGGCAAAACAAAAGGUGGGUAGAUUUUGGAGUUACGUGUGUGGUUGGAUUCUGGGAAACUUCUUUUUUCUAGAGCUUCGGCUUUGGACAAAACUAGGUGAACAGUUGACUUGUUCGUUGUUUAUGCAAGUUGAAAUUACAGAGAAAUACUAUUGCUUAGAAUUUUUUUUUUGAAAAAAUAAACUUAUUCCAAUCUGAAAUUUACUAGACUCUAGGUUUAAAUAUUUGGGUAAUUUUUAAAAACCCCCCCUGAGGUUUGAGGCUGUUGCAAGUAGACGGUGAAAAUCAUUUUAUUUAUAAAAGACCCCCUAUCGUUAGUUAAAAUUUUCAUUGACUAACUGUUGACUUUAAAAAGACAAUAUUACUCCCAAUAAUAGUUUACCUCCAAUAAUAGUUUACGUCAGUUAAAAUUUCCUUAAAAUCUUAAAAAAAAUAAAAUUACAAACUUAAAAAAAUUAUAUUUUUAUAUCAAAUAAUUAAGAUUUGUAAUUUUAUUACAAACUUAAAAAAAUUAUUUUAAGAUUUGUAAUUUUAUUUUUUUAAGAUUUUAAGGAAAUAUCAAUAACUUGAUCAUGGUGAAAAUAAUUGUUUUAAUUACUUAUGAAAUUGUAAAUAUUUAGAAUUGUAAAUAUUGGGGGUAAUAUUGUCUUUUCAAAGUCAACAGUUAGUCAAUAAAAAUUUUAACUAACGGUAGGGGGCCUUUUACAAAUAAAAUGAUUUUCACCAUCUACUUGCAACAGCCUCAAACCUCAGGGGAGGUUUUUAAAAAUUACCCUUAAAUAUUUUACUGUAAUCUAGAGGUCUACCGAACAUUAAACUUAAAAUUUAAUCCUAGAAAUAUGUAGGAAGAAAUCUAUCCUUAUUUUAAGGGAAGGAGACCGAUAGAGAUUGAACUUAUUUUCUCAAUAUAUGCUGAGUACAUGAGUGCCACUAGUUUGAAUCAAAUAAAUGAUUCAAUUCAAUUUGGAUUUGAAAAAAUUGAAUCAUUUAAUAAAUGGGCGAAUUUGAUUCGAUUUGCUAAUUAAAUGAAUUGAAUCCGGGUUUAAGGACAUUGAUUCGUUUAUUCGUUUAGAAUUCGUGUAAUAUAUGGAUCAUAAACGAAUCAAAUAUGCUCCAUUCAUUUAGUAUUCGUUUAAUUAAAUUACUUACUUAUCAUUAACUAUGUGUGAAAAAUUUUAAUGUCUAAAGGUUGAUAUAGUAAUUAUAAAUAAUAAUAAAUUUGUAUUUUGUUGGAUGUCAAAUUUGUGGUUUUUUUAUAUUUUAUUUUCUUAAUUUUUGUUUAUUAGUUAUAUAUUUAUAAAUGAAUUCAUAUUUAAUUCGAUUCAUUAUAUGAUAAAUAAUUAGUAAAAGAAUCCAGAUUCGACUUGAUUCGUUUAUUAAUUCUACUAAAUGAAUUAAAAGAAUUGAACCGAAAUAUUCAUUUAAUAAACUAUUCGAAUAUGAAUUCUGAGAUUUCAGUUUGUUUAAUAAAUGAAUCGAAUCCAAAUCAAUAGAGUUUUUACCUAAUUCAUUCAUGAUUUGAUUUGAAUUCGAUUUGUUUAUUUGUUUUUCCGCUCAUAAAUUUAGAUUUUAGAAAACAAUAAAGAAAUCAAGAGAUCAGAGUGGCAAUACCUACAUACAUACAUAUUUUAUACAUGUUGAAAUAAAAUCUCUUUGUCCCAUGUCUUAUCUACAUUAGUUUUAAAAUGAGUAAUGAUACAGCCACAAACUCUUGUACAAACUUAUUUUGUACAAACUGAUGUGGCAUGAUAAGAUUGGUUGAAUUAAAUAUCACUUGGCUCACAUGAUUUGUUUUUAUUAAUUUAUAUUUUCAUUCAACCAAUGAAUUAAUGCCACGUCAGUUUGUACAAAAUAAGUUUGUACAAGAGUUUGUGGCUGUAUCAUUACUCAUUUUAAAAAUAUUAAUUUGGACCUUGAAAAUAUUACUUAUUUAGUUUAAUUUUCUUUUUAAAAAAGGUAGAGGAGUGGACAAAAUUUAAAUAAAAAUUUCAACUCCCUACUCACUCCAAAAAAAAAAAAAAAAUGUUUCGAACCCACCCUUAAUUUAAUACUGAGUUACAGGUUAAACCAAUUGUCAAUCUUCAAAUUCACAUUUUAGUAUCUCCGGAUAAUUUUCUUUGAAAUGAAUCAUUAAUAAUUAUAAAAUAAAAGGUAAAUUAAUAGCUGGACAAUUGACUUUAACAUUAUAUACAAUAUAAUUAAAGUAACGUACAAUCAACUCUAAGUAUAAAAUCUAAUGGAAUUAAAGCCCAGCACUUCCACUGUCAUUAGGAAAAUUUAAUUUCCCCACCUUAAAAUUAAGGAGAGAAUGCAUUUCAUUGACCUAACCAAAAAGUUAUUGACUAACAUUACAAUUUUAUUGUAACUUUUAACAAAUAAAAUCUUAGUUACCUUAGGACAAUCAUAUAUUCCAUUAUGAUUAACAUCAAGGGUGUGAUAGCAAAGAAACCCAAAAAUUGCUUCUUCUUUUUUGGGCUCUAUUAGGUUUUUAACAUCAUGAACAUAAUAGCAUAUUAGAAAGUAGGAAGAGGAAGGAGUGAGAAACAAUAUUAGAAACCAAAAUAUCAUUCUCGAUCGCUACAUCAAAUCUCGCAAUAACUGAAGAUGAAAAUUGUAUCCAUUACCAAUUUUCAUGAUUGUAUUUCUCAUUUGUUGUUUUAGCGGACUUCUCACACCACAGCUGUUUAGAAAAAAGAAAAAAUGAAAAAUCAUUUCCUGUUCUGGUCACUUGAUAUUAAUGGAUUAGCGUAUGGUAUUGUUAAUUAACAAACAGUUAGUCCGACAAAUUGUUGUACAUUAUUAACUAUUGCCAGCGUGGUGGCUGGCUGGUCAAGUGAACCUCCGCGGUUUCAAUUUCAUGGACCCUACCAAGACAAAUCAACAACCCUUUUGAUGUAUUUUAAUUUUAUUAAUUAACAAUGUGAAAGUUUAUCACAUCGUUUACUUCGUUUAAAUAUUAGCUUCAUCAGUUUGAUUGUUUCUUUCCUUCUAGAUGGGAGGCAUAAUUCUCAAUGUACCAAAUCCAAACACCUCUCAUUUAUCAUCUUGAUAACAUCACAUUAUCAGUUAAUGUAAACUAGUACAAUUUGUAAAUGCUGCUGCAUAUAUAAUGUGCACGAUAUAAAACAUGGCCAUGCGUCAAUUGCGUGGGUGGGGUUGUUUAAAUUGUAGGAAUGGUCGCAUCCUCAUGAUAGCUUUCUAAAAUUCUACUUACGAGUGGAUUAUGAAAAUGUGGUCGCCCUAAAUUUUAGAGGUCGUAGCAACGUAAUAGAAUCUUUUUAUUAUGAAGUUGAACGUUAAUUUUAUGAAGCAAAAAGGCCGAUAAUAUAUUAACAGGCAACUCAUAUUGUCAAAGCUGAUCUUCAUGAAAUGAUCACAAUAUUGAUACGCCAACCUCAGAUAACUGUCAACAAAAUGAUUUUAUAAAAUCGAUUUUUCGCAAGUAUAGAUAGAUUGAAAGAAUGAUUUUCCCGCCUACCAACACCUUUCACAAAAGGAAGGUCGACUCUCACUCUCACAUCAGAGAUCAGACUUCUGGGCAGCUAAACAAAAAUAAAACAGGAGUUCAAGGCGUUGGAUAAAUAUGAUAAUAUUUUUUAAUUAAUAAAUAUAAUUAUUUUGACAAAAUUGUAACAAUUUGCCAGUUGGGGAUUCCUUUAAAGGUUAAAAAUAUUUUUGUAGCGAGCGCGCGUCAUCUGAUAUUCUCCCUACGAAGGUUAAUCUUAUGAUAAAGAAGAUGGUGGGGGAUGCAACAUGUGAGUUAUGUCUUACUUUGGGGAAGACCAUUGUACACACUCUGAUUACUUGUCCACAUGUUCAAGAGGUUUGGCAGCUUAUUUUCUUUUUCUUUUUGAUACAUUGGUGCAUGCUCCUGGUAAUGAGUUGUGGGAUGUGUUUGAUUACCCUAAAAUUAUGUUCUUUGUGCACGACCUGAAAUUUUUGGUUACAAUUCGGUGGAGUAUUUAGCGGACUCGAAAUUAGGGGCCAUUUAACCAUGUGUUUUUAGAACCAGCGAAAAUAUUUGAGAGUGCUAGCCAGGUAGUUUUGCCUCACGCUUCUCCUAAUGGUGUUGCUGGUGUGGUGAAUUGGGAAUUACCUCCUGAAGCCGCCCCGGGGGGGGGAAUGGGGGUGUUUAAACUUAAUGUUCAUGUGGCUAUUGAUGCUAAUAGGGGUCCGGCUAUUUAGGAUAUAAUAUCUCUCUCUAAUAUUAAAGUAAGGGUCAACAUUUGAACUAUUUUAUAAUAGGAAUAUUAAGGAGAAUCUCAAAUGAUUUAUGAUUGUAAAUACAAGAAGAACUCUGAUUGUAAUAUAUUAAUAUAUAUUAAAAAAAUAAUAGAUAACAAUACCACUUGAUUAUUAAUGAAUUAGCUUAUACAAUGUGUCAUAUAUUAUUUGUUAAAUUAACUUAAUCAAUAGAUGAUGAUGACAAACUGUGUAGAUUAAUUUGAAUUGCGGGCGUAUAUGGUGGCUGGCUGGUCAAGUAAACCUCCACGGUUUAAUAUAAUUGGACCCUACAAGCUAAGACAAGUCAACAACCAUUUAAUGAAAGCUUAUAAUUAACAUAGUUUGACUUUGUUUUUAUAUAUUUAUACGUGUGUGUGCAUCGUUUGACUUUAUUUAUAUAUACAUGUGUGAGUGCGUGCAUGUGCGUGCAUGUGUGUGCAUGUGCGUGUAGGUGUAUGUGUGUGUGCGCGCGCGUGUGCAAGCGUCUUCAUUUUUUUUUUUAAUGUGAACAUGCUCUUAAAUUGUGCAGCUUAAGAGAGUUAAAAACUAAGGUGGCGUUUGUUUUUUUAAUCUAAAAUUUGAAUAAACUUAAAUUAGUCUGAAUAAUGUUAAAUAUCUAAAUGACAUGUUUUUUUUUUCAUUUGAAUCACUAAAAAUAAAUAUUACAUUGUUUUGUUUUUUAACUUAAAAAACCAAAAACCAAUGUUUCUUCAUCUGUACCCUUACAAAUUAUAAAUGUUAAACAAAUAAUAAACAUUUCAAAGAACAUCAAUAAGUUAAUAUAUUAUCAUAAUAUAAUCAUGUUCAAUUGAAUACAAUCAUUUAAUAUUUUAAAUUAGUAAAUAUUAGUCAAAUUUAUUGUUGUUUAUGAUGCUUUAUAUAAAAAAUAUUUAUUAAACAUUAUAAAGACAAAUAAUACUAAUUUGAAGAAAAUAAAAAAGAUAAAAAUAAUAAUAGUCUACCACUAUAUUAUCGUAAGUUAUAGAGACGGGUAAUAGUGCUAAUUAUUAAACUUGUUUAAGUAAGUAAAAUAAUCAAAUAGAAAUAUUUUGGAAAAUUGAUAAACCUUUGUAAUCAAAAGUGGAAAAUAGAAAAAUUCUCAUGACAACUUUUUUUGAAAAUAUUAUAUGUCAUUAUAUUAAUAUUAUAAUAAAAAAAUAUGUCGAAACCAGUUUUAAUAAACACAAUACUGAGGAGUAUAACCUAAAAUAAACCCUAAACUUACAGGCAUUUACUCAAACCACAACUAAUAGAGAUUAGAUUAAAUCACUUUACGUAAAGUUAUGAAAAGAAUGUACGUAAAACAUCCCUAAUCAAUGAGUAGCUCUCUCAAAAUUUAGAGACGAUUCAUUGUAGAAGAUAUUCAUAAUAUUCAUUGUAGAAGCUAUUCACAUGAGAAACCAACUUGUACAAUCUGAUAAACAAAAAUUCAAUGGAUUGUUCAAUUUUCCUGAAAAGGAUUCACAUGUAGCAAUCAAUAAAAUUUCGAGUCUUUUCGAUUUAAUUACUCUGACCAAUAGCCGGUAGUAGUUGAAGACCCAAGAUAUCAUAAUUAAGCUUUUUCUUUAGUUUCAUUUUCAAUCAUAUUAAUUACUUCUUGAUCACAAAGAAAAAAAAUUAUAUAUUGAUUGCUUAAUUAGUUAAUUAACUAAUGGGUUCAUAGACAUAAAAAGAAAAUGACGUCAUUAAAUAUGUCAUGGCCUUUACUUCAUAAUGAUUAAGAACCAAUUUAUGAAUGAUAAACCUUUAGGGUUAGCAUUUAUAUGUACUUAUGGUGGCCAAAUCUAACGAAUAAACAAAGAAGAUCGAUGCUUAGCGAUCCGGCAAUGUUCCAUUGUUUAUAUUUUAACGGACACUUGAGCUCGGCCACCUGCACUUCAUACUUUGACUUUUAUUGCUAUUAUUAUUAUUAUUAUUUUAAAAUUCCCAAGUGGACAAUUUGAGUAUUUGACUCUCUUUCGAACUUUCUGAAAGAUAACGUUCAUACAAAAUUUCAGAUUAAAAGUGCCCAACAAUUCCAGAAGUCAAAAAUUUCAACAUCUUUCUCUCAACGCCAUCCAUGCACGAUCCAACUAAUUCUCGUAAAUUUUUACCAAAUAUAAAAGCAUGAUCUUAAAUAUUGUGAAAUAGAGAAUUAUCAAGUGCCACUUGAUCUUUAAUUUUAGCAAGAAUAGUUAUUAUCUAUGGUUAGAAACAGUGGUGGUGCCAGAAAUUUAAUCUAGCAGGAGCUAAAUUUAAAUAAUAAUAUAAUUUAAAAAUGGUCAACAAGUAACAAAUACCAAAAUAAAAAUUCAUUAAUAUAUUCAAUUCAAUACAUUUAUAACUGAUCUCACAUUUGUUUUUGUUUUCAUAUGUUAAAAAAAUUGAAGAAUAACCUUAUCAUCUAGAAUACAAAGUAAAUCUUUUUCUUUAUAUACAACAAUAAUAUCACUCAAUCAUUGAUCUCUCAUAUGAUUUCAUAGAUGAUUUUUCACAAAAUUCAUAGCCAUUUUUUUUUUUUUACUAUAGUUAUGAGAAUUAGUUAAAACAAUAAAUAAAUUAGUGAAUAUAAUUUAUCCUUUUUAGUAUCAACUAUUUUUCUUAUUAGCUUAUCAAUUCCUUUCAAAUUUUAAAAAUUUGUUAUUAGAAUUCACUUCUACAAUGUAAAUAUUAAGUUGAAUUUUAAGUGCCAUAAGACUCAUUAAAGAAAAAUCAUUUGGAUAAACUUAGUGAGGUGAAAUAGUUUCUUUUUUGUGUGUGUGUGUGUGUGAGGAGAGUUAGGGCUGGAAAAACUUCAAAAUACAAUGUUUCUUUGUGGUUGGAAGUGUAAAAAUAAAUACUUAAUAUAUUAGUUAUUUUUAAAUUUUAGCAAGGACUUUCUUGAUAAAUCAAAUUCAAAAUGGGACAAAUAUCUAACUAAAUUUGUAAAUUUUAAAAAGUCAAGGGGGGUGAAAUGUAGCGUCGUGCCGCCGCCACUGGUAAGAAAUAUUAUGCAACUUCAUAAGUACAAUAAAAUUGUAACCAACAAUACAUCUAAACACUAAAAAUAAUUGUAGUAAAGUAACUAAACAAAAAAUGUGAACAUAAUAAAAAAUUAUAGAAAUAACUAGAGGCUUGUACUAGAUAGUUUACUUAAAAUAACUUUGCCACCUAUUGUGGGAUGCUUGAGGUUUAGGGAUGGCUAACUGGCCAUCCAAAAUAGAUGUUUAUAUAUCCGGUCCAAUUGGAUUGAAUAAUAUCCAUCCAAAGCCUUUUGGACAUGGAUAUUAGAUGGAUAUCCAAUAUCCAAACCAUUUAUCCAAUUUUCAAACUAAAAGUGAAUAAAUACAAAAAUGUCUUAAAUAAAAAUAUUUAUUCUCGAAUAUACCCUCACAACAAAAAUAUAGAAAAUAUUUUAAUUUUAGAAAAUUAAGAAACAUUUACUAGUGAUUUUGUCUCAUCGUCAGCAUCACUGUUCCGAUGGCGGCGCUGUUGCCAGUGGCUCUUCAUAUGGUGGCGAAUUUAUUAUCAUCAAACUCGCCACUUCAUGAUCUAAGAAGUAGAUGUCACUUCCUCUUCCUUCUCAACUCUCAUUCCUUUUCUGACCUACGGCACUGAACGUCAACCCCUCUGGCCUCUGCAUUAGGAGGGAUAGCACACAUUGUUUUUGUGUGGUGUGGAUUGUAUUGUAUAUAAUAAUAUUUUGUAAUAUCAUUUUAUAUUAAUAUUAAAAUUAGGAUGUACGGUACAGCAGGAAUAAUUUUUUUAUAACAUAAAAAUAAUUUUAUAACAUACUAUUAUCAAAUAGUAAAAAUGAAAAACAUUACAUUACAUUUUUUUUAAAUAUUAUAACAUAAUAGAAUAUUAUAAUAUAUUUUAUUUCUAUAUAUCACUUAUCAUAACAUAAAUGAAAUUCAUAAAUUAACAUUAUAUUGUAUUAUAUUAUAAUGCAAUAUAAUAUUAAAUUUUCAAAUUAAUUUUUUUAUUAACGUUGAAUAUAAUUAUUUAAUUUAAAUUUAUUUUCAAAUAUAUUAUUUUGAUAAGUAACAAAUGAUUAAAAUAAUUCAAAACUGCUUACAUAUUUAAAGUAAAAUAAUUAAAUAAAAUAUGAAUAAUGUUUUAAUGCAAUACAACCUAAACUCUACUCAUGGGUUUAUUUUAUGCUCUUUAUUGCAUUAGAUAUCUUUUUAAUGCAAUGCAAUAAAAUUAGAAAUUACAGUUAUACUUAUACAUAAGUUUGCAUAAUAUAAAUUGCCAAACACACUCUUACCAUAUACCAUUGGGUACUUAAUUAAGCUAGCUGUGUAUAAUUUGUUUGUAAUUUCUUUUUGCCAAAUGAAAAUGCAUGUUAAUGAAUCUGUUUAAGGUUUGUAUUGUAGGACCUGAAGUUGACUACUUCUAGACAUACGUCAUUUAGAGAAAUUAAAAACUUUGAAGAAUACAUGCUGCUUCCUUUUUCUUCUUCCAUUUCUAUUUUUUUUUCUUUGAAAAAAAUUAUUAUUUAUUAAUGAUAUAAAAGUUAACGGCUAUAGUUUUUAAACAUGCUAUUAGAGAUAAAUUAAAAAAGCCACAGGUAGUAAAUUUAAUUUUACCAACCUAUCCAACAACUAUUAAGGUAAAGUUUACUUUCCGAAUUAGAAAUCACGGGUAGCAAUCCUGAAAGAGUAAGACUAGAAGUUGUUUAUUUAUACUAAAAUGAGAAGAUGAAAUAAAAAUUAGAAUCCCAUUUAUUUGUUUACAUUAUUUUAGAUUGGGAAUGAAUUGUAUUUUUAAUUACAAAGUAAAUAUAAAAUAUAUUUAGAAAAUAAACUAUCUAUUUUAUUAUUAAUUUUAAUUAUAUAAAUUAAUAAUUAUUAUCUAAAAUUCUUAAUUAUGUGAAUCAUAAUUUUUAUUAAUUUUAAUUUUAGUUGUGAAAAUUAAAAAUUAUUAAUAAGAACAACACAAAAGAAUCAUUACUAUUAAUAAUAUAGUACAAAAUUAAUAUUUCCUUAGAAUAAACUAUUUAUUAUUAUUAAUAUUAAAUAAAUAUAAUAAUAUUAUAUUUUCAAAUAAAAAUAGUAUACAAUAAUAUUAUCAAUUCUCUAUGAAUAUGAUUAUAUUAUUUUUAAUAAAUGUAAUUUUAUUAAAAAAUAUAAUUAUAUUACUUAAAUAAAUUUAAUAUUAUUAUUUUUAAAUAAAUGUAUCAUUAUAUAAUUUUAAUAAAUAUAAAUUAUAUCAUAUUUAAUAAAUGAAGGAUAAAAAAAGAAGAGGUGAGAGUGGAAAAUGCGAGUGAAAAUCUCACUCCUUACCUAAAAUAUGAGUAGGACCCAUAGAGUAAAAGUGUAAAACUCCUACUCUACUCCUCAAAUGAAUAAGAAAAAACUAAAGCGGAGGAAUCUACACUCCCAACUCCCAUUGCAGCAGGUAAACACUACAUAAGACUUAUUCAACUCCAACACUUAGGAAACAAAGAUAAUUAAAAAAGUUUAAAAAAAGGUUUCAGUUGGUCGCGCUUAUCAAAAACAAAAGUAAUUCUGAAAUUAUACCAAACGUAUUCUAUAUAUCCACAAACAGUAAAUACUUCAUCAGCAAACUGCCCUUGAAAUAAAGCUCAAGAAUUUUACUUCAGCUCAGCAGAUUUGAUGAUGUCAAUGAACUCCGGCUGAAAACAAAAAGAGGCACCAAGUAUUAGCACAAUAAUACUAAAGCAUACAAGGAACAGACGAGAAAAAUCUAGAAAUGCCAGCAAUACCUUCAACGAAGCACCACCAACCAAAAAUCCGUCAACAUCAGGCUGUGCAGCCAAUUCCUUGCAGUUUGCACCAUUUACGGAUCCUUAGAUAGUUAUGCAACGAAAAAUCCAUCAACUUUGGUUAAUGCAAUGUUAACAAAUAAGUUUUACAAGCAUUUAUUCUAUUUGCUGCUUUCUUUAUAUUUCAAUUUAAGGGGAUGAUUGAAGAAUUAAUAAUUCAAAGCGCAUAUUGCACAUUAUAAAAACAACCGAAUGACAAUAGCAAGUGGACUAGAACAUGGGACACAUUAAUAGAGAUACCUCCGUAGAUGAUCCGUGUUGCUGCAGCAAUUUCAGGACUGGUGUUUGCAAAAAGCCAUUUCCUCAGUUCAAAAUGUACCUAUUAUACAGAACAGUAAAAUUAGUAUGAAAACAAUCACCACUACCAAUUGAUAACUUUUUAGGAAAUCCAUCUAGCACAAGAAAUCAGCAUAUUAACUAUGACCUAAGAAUUGAUAUGGUAAAAUACACAAAGAGGGUAGUGGAAAAUAACUGAAAAGAGUUGGCCGAGAUGAGUGGGCAAUCCAAAAUUAGGCAAGGACAAAUAUACCCAAUUAUUCUAAAAAAUGUAUAUAUCCCGUUGAUAUAUGAUAAUGACUUCAACAUAUAAGCUGAAGGCUGAGGACUUACUUCUUGAGCCUGCGCUGGAGUGGCAACCUUCCCAGUUCCAAUAGCCCACACAGGUUCAUAGGCCAAAACAAUGUUUGACCAGCUUGAGACUCGAUCUGGCACCAGAGUUGAAAAAUGAUUGAGGGAGAUAUAAUUAGUAAAAAAUGAGAGAAAAAUAAAAUCAUCACUAUUAUAUAUUAUCACGAUUAGCAUCUAAGUUGAAGCUUGACAGCAUUCAGAAACAUUUACAUGCAUUUAAAUAAUGAUUGAGAAAAUAAAUCAGUGUAAUAAUAAAAGUAAAAGCUGAAGCAGAUUUCAUUUAGCAUACAAUAAAUAUCAUUCAUCUGUAUAGUGUCAUGGCCAAACAAAAGAGCCAAUACAAAGACAUAAUUUUCUACAUAUAGUGCGCACCUCUAGUAAAAGCAUUAAGGAUAAACCACUGAUGUGCCAAGACAAUUGAAAAACUGUAGAUAUGUUGAUAUGAUGAAAUUAUGAUGAAUAAGCACCAAAAUGCAAGACUGAAGUGUUAGAGCAAUACAAAUAAACAACCGUUCCAAUUUAACCCUUGUGAUAAAUACCAAACAAGAAAUUUCUCUUGAGAAUCUGCACAACACUAGAUCAUGAAAUAUGGUGCAAUGAGAAAUAAUUACUGAUAUUCUUUGUUGAAAAGAUAAACAUGGUUGAUUGCGUAAGGACAUUUCCCUCAAUAAUAAACUUUGAAGAGGUAGAAAGUGCAAUUAUCAUAUGAAAAAAAAAAAAAAAGAAGGUGAAUCCACCUAACACAUGUAUUCCCCUAAAACAUAUUAAAGUAAUAAACAAUUUAUUCUUUUACAAGAAACAAAUCACAAAUAAAGUUAUAAACAAUUUCAAAAGACCCUAUGAUGGCCAUGGUUUGAAAUUGAAGAACAUAAAUGUUUAAAACGGCAGACAGCGAGACUGCACAAGAAGCUCUGUGCAUGGCAAUGAAAUAUGUACCUGCGAUUGCUUUAGUUUGUGCAGCAACAACAUCCAUAGUAGAUCCUGCUUCACGCUGCUCAAGUGUCUCACCAACACAAGCAAUCACCUUCAAACCUUGAGAAAGUGCAUAUGCAACCUUAUCCCCAACAAACUAAAAGAAAUAAAAAGAGUCACAAAGUCAAUGUUAUCGUAGCAAAUGUUAAGAAAACAAAGAAUAGUAAAUGAAAUGCAUACUGCACAUACAUGAGUUUCCUUUUAGAAUGACAAGAAGAAGGGUUUGAAAUCGUAAUUAUCAAACAGUAGGUAAGUUUGGAACUGUGUCAUAAACCAUAUAGCUUACCUCAUUUGAUUCAUUCAAAAUGAGUCUCCUUUCAGAAUGACCAAGAAUGACCCAAGGAAUACCCAAAUUGACGAGCAUUUCCGCACUGCACAUACAUGAGGCAAUGAACUGUAAAUUUGCAAUUAAAAAAGUUCUUGUUUAAAAAUGCCAUCCUCAGAAAGAAAAUAGAAUAAAACAAAAUGAAACGCAAUGACUAAUGAAUAUCAUACCUAAUCUCACCGGUGAAAGCACCUCCCUUCUUGACCCAGCAAUUCUGUGCCGCAACAUGAAAAUCAGGCCUCAACGAACUCUUCACCAGUCCAAGAAACAGAAACGGAGGGCUAACAACGACCUCUGCAAUUGCAUCAAAGUUAUCAACACUUUAAAUUAUAGAACAAACAAAACGCCAUUUAAAAUUAAUCUUUUAACCCAUAACAAGAUUUCUUUAAAAAAAAUUUUUACAAAAAAAAAAGAGAUAAAAAAGCAGUAAAUAUUUAAACGACAUAACUUACCAACGACAUCAGAAGAUGGAACUUGACCUUCAUUGAGUACGCUCACUAUCUUUUUCACUUCUUCAGGUGUUCCAUUCUACAUUUUUAGAUUCGAGCCAAAAUUUACAAAUAAUUCAAUAAUCACACUAAUAAUAAAUUCAGCUCAACAGAUCUCAUAAUUUCAUAGAUCAAAUUCAGCUCAAACUAAUAUAACGAACAAUAGCAAGUGAUCGAAAACUUACGCAUUUCCAGUUACCGCCGACGAAGAACUUCCUGCCCAUGUUCGACGAGUGCGUGUGUCGGUGUGUGUGUUAUGUUUUAUUUUCUAUUUGUUUGGGCUUUCGAACAAAUAUCGAGAAGUUAAUAUGAAAUUUUUAGUUAAUUUCAAAUUACAGUUAUGGCCUGGCAUUUGGAAUAUGUUUUUUUUGGAGUCUUGAGCAAAUGAGCAGCACACAGGAGGGUAAGUCUGUCAAUGAAGGAGAAGGAAAUCGUCUAUCAGAAUCGGAUAGCAAAUGGUUUUUGUGGCCCACGGGUUUGUAAGGCACGGAAUGAGUGGGUGGUGAGAAGAAAGAUCACGUGAUGGGCUCGCUUAUCUCUGUUUGCUUUCAUUUGUGCUACUCGUGAGUCGUGCAUUUAGUUACUAUCGCAACACGACUCAUGUUCAUAAUCAACAAUAGUCAAUAAGCGAUUACUCACACUUGGAGGUAGAGAAAGGGCCGAACGGCACGUGAUACGAUACGGAAAUGACACGUGUUCGUACAAUACGAUACGGUACAAAUAUAUUUUGAUGGGAUAUGAUGUACGAUAUGAUAAGCACCGAAUUUAGAAUUUUAGGCACGUACGACUUAAAAGCACAGUAUGAUUAGAGAUGAAUUAAAGAAUGACACGAAAAAAAAAAUACAAUAAAUACGUCUUACUUUUUAAUGAAAGUUAACUUAAAGUUUUAUAAUUUUACAAAUAACUUGAAAUUGAAUAUUUUAAUAUAUUUUAUUAGUGCAAAUUUUCUAAAUUUAUUUAAUUCUUAGUUAAAAAUACUAUAAUUAAUUUAUGUUUAUAAUUUAUUAAAUAAAAUAAUUGAUAUUAUGAUUUUAAUAAAUAAAAUUAUAAAUAUUAUGAUUUAGAAAUAUGUAUUAAUAUUAUUAUAAACUAUAAUCUAUAACUCUAUAUAAGUCCGAGUUAAAAAUUAAAUUAACCCUUAAGAAAAAUUUAUUCUUAUUGUUGGUAUUAAGUAUUAAAAAAGAAUUCUAAUAUCGUAUGGUCAAAUUUAAUAAUUAACAUUACAUUCUCUUACUAUUAUUAGUUUAUUAUUAUUGAAUAUGUGCUUGAGUUUUGAAUUUUUGAUUUUAUCAAAUUUGAAUAAAAACACAUAAACCCAAAAAAGUACAUAAACUUGAAAAAGUACGCCAACAACUUGGCAUGCGCUCUUAAAAAAAAAGCUAAUCAUGUUUUUUUUCUUAAGUAUGACAUGACAUGGCCCACGAUAUGACAUGAGUGAGCACGACACAUAUGUUGGGCUAGGCCUAAGCAAAACAAAUUAGGCAGGCCAUGGUACGACACGAAACAAAUAGUGGGCACGGAAUGACAUGAUCAUGAGUGCGCAUGGGCCUUCCUUUAAUGGGCGGGGCCGACAUGGCACAACUCAUUGGCUAUCUCUACUCACACCACUUUAUUAUAUUUUACUUUUUUUUAAUAUUCUCAUGGAUUAUUUUAAAAUUCUUUUUGUAGGACUUUCUUUUUUUCUUUUUCAAAUGCAAAAUUCCUUAUAAUGACGAGUUAACAAGAUCAAAUACCUAGAGAGUAAUUAUAUAUUUUGUAUAAACCUUUCAAUUUUUAUUUUUACAUGAAAAUGAUAUCCAAAUUCCAAACCCUUAAAAGUAUCCAAGUGUAUGAAUACACAAACCUUCUUAUAAAUUAGGUUGCUGUGAUUAAGAGUGAAGCUUACUUUAAAAUUGUAGGUAGGCCAAAAUUUUAUAAAACUAAACUUAUGGAGUUAAAUUUUAAAAAAUAUUGGGUUAAACUGUUAAAUUAUUAAACUUACAGGGUCAAAUCUUAAAAAAAAAUUAUUUUAAAAACUAAAUUUAUAAAGUUCAUCUUAUAUUUUUUUUUUAAGACCAACACCUGUCUUAGGACAAUUCCUCUCCUAACUAUGACUAACAAGUCCAACUAAGAGUAGUAAAAUCCGGAUCCAGAUCCAAAUAUAGGUACAUCAACAUCCGGAUUCGCAUUGAUAUUUUGUCAUCUGCAUUCGUAUCCAGAUCCUUAAAGAAGUAUACAGAUCUGGAUGUGGUAAUAUUGUGCGAACUGCAGGUAGAUUUGUUGGAUAUCUAGAUCUGCAUAAUGCUAAAUUUAAGUAUAAAAAACUAAAUGAGUUUAUCGAAUAAAAUCUAAUCAUAAUUCAACAACCAACAAUUCAGUAUCUAGAAUAACAUAUACCAUUAUAAAAAAUCCAAAAAAAAAAUAUCACAACAUAAAUCAAACAUUUAUAAUAAUAUGAAUCCAACUAUCCAAGUCUAAAAACAUCACAAAUUCACAAAUAAAAACACCACAAAUUUACACAGAUUCCAAGCUGCUAUGUUUUACUUCUAGGGCUAGGUUUAUCAUAUGUACUUAAUGUUCAUAUAAAAUCUUAAUGUCGAAUAUGAAUUUUAGUUGAAUGUAAAGUUAUAGAUUUUAAAAAUAAAUUAUCUAUUUUGGAAAAGAAAGUUGAGGAUAUAUACUUGGCUAAUAGUGCAACCACACGCAUUAUUAUUCAAGAUAAAAAAUAUUUCUUUGAAAUAAAAUCAUCUAAAGAAAAAGUAAAUACUAUACCUAGUCUGACAGACCUAUAUUCUCGAUCACAAUUUAUACUUGUUCAACAAUCUAACAUUUCCUAUUACUCGCUUUUGGUUGUGCUAUGCACAUUUUUAUAUAAUCUCCUCAGUGCAAAAAGAUGAGACAUCAACGUCAUUAAGUGAUUUAUGUCGGUUUCAACUCACCUUCAAUAAUUUUUUAUCUUGAACCCUUAACUGGUGACCUUUUCACUGUAGCUUUUAUGAAUUCUCACUUUGAUGAGACAAUGUUUUCAUCAUUGAGGGAUAAAAAAACCUCUGAAAGUAAGACAUGAACUUUCUUUAAAAGUUUUAACUCAUUUAAAUUCUCGUACCAGUCAAUGCAAAGAUGAAGUAUGAAGGAUAGUACAUUUGCAACAAAUUGCAAAUCAAUUACUAGGUGUAUCUAGCGAUAUAACAAAAGUAACAAAGCCACACAAUCAUGCUCCUAAUACACCAGCUCGGGUGAUUAUUCUUGUUGAACAAUCAAGUUUAAAAGCAGCAACUGAGUUAUCUGUUAUAUGUCAGACACGUAAUAGACCACUUGGUUUCAAAAUAGUGCUCGUUAAAAGAAGUGAAUGAAAAAUCAGGAUCCUAUUGAAAAUGAUAAUUAACCUAUAAAUGUACCCACAUCAUUUGGAUCACCAGUUCUAGAUGGACUGAUGAUCCCUGAAGAGACAUAUGUCUCUGAAGUGAUAGUAACUCCUGAAUAAGUAUGAAAGCACAAAAAUGAGAAAAAAAAAAAUAAGAUUAUACCUGAAUAAGUAUGAAAGCACAAAAAUGAGAAAAAAAAAAAUAAGAUUAUACUUAUACAAGGAAAAUGUAGGAUAAUAAUAACUAAGCUUUGACAAUUUAUUUUUAUUCACAGUAAAAACUGAAAUUGAAAAUGAUUUUGGGACUCAAACUGUCGAUGAAUGUGGACAAAGGGAUGACCGUCCUUAAUGGAAAAAAAUAAUUCAAGCACAACUGACUUUUCUAGCUAAAGGUAAAGUUUUUUGACCUGUAGUUCGAAUAUCUAAAAAUAUAAUUCAUUUGAUAGAAAUGGAUAUUUAUGAGAAAACGUAAUGAACAUAAUAAAAUAAGUAGAUACAAAGCACAACUAGUUGCACAAUGUUUCUCACAGAGACAUGAUAUUAAUUAUGAGGGUAUGUAUUAUUCAGUAAUGGAUCUUAUUACAUUUUAAUUUUUAAUCAUUUUAGCAACUCAAACAGACUUGAUAUACGUCUCAUGACCGUAGUGAUUACAUAUCUGUAUGGGUCAAUUAGCGCUAGUAUUUUCAUGAACAUCCUUGAAGGAUUCAAAAUAUCUGAAGCAUAUAAAUUAACAAAUCACAAUCUGCGUUCAAUCAAGCUACAACAGUUGUUAUAUAGAUUGAAAAAAAUUGAUGCACGUGUACAACUGUUUAAGUGAAUAUUUGAUUAAAGAAGGGUUUUAUUCACCUGUGUGUAUUUAUUGAAAAAUCUGAAACUAAAUUUAUAAUUGUAGUCGUUUAUGUUGAUGACAUGGGCUUAGUUGGAACUCCCAAAGAGUUUCUUAAAGCUGUUGAAUAUUUAAAGAGAGAAUUUAAAAUUAAACAUUUGGGGAAAACAAGAUAUUGUCUUGGUCUGCUGAUUGAUUAUAAAACAAAUGAAGCACUUAUCUAUCAAUUUAUUUAUGUUGAAAAAAUCUUAAAGCAUUUCAGUAUGGAUAAUGCUCAUAUGCCAAGCACUCCUAUAGUUGUUAUGUCUCUUGAUCCCAAAAAGAAUCUUUCCCAUCUUAAAAAGGAUGAUGGAGAGAUACUUGGGUUUAGAAGUACCAUAUCUAAAUGCAAUUGAUGUUUUAUUGUACCUAGCCCAAUGCAUUUAACCAAACAUUGCAUUCUUUGUAACUUGUUGGCAAGAUUUAGCUCAGCGGCACUCAAUUCCAAUACGACGACAUUGGAACGACAUCAAACAUAUCUUUCGAUAUCUUUGCAAAAUGAUGAACUUGGGGCUAAUUUAUUCAAGUGGACCAAUAGAGAAUUUUGGUCUUACCGGUUAUGCAAACUCAGGUUCGCUCUUUAAUCCCAACAAAGCUCAUCUAGAAGCAAGAUAUAUUUUCACUUAGAAUAGCAUGACAAUUUUAUGGUGAUCGACUAAGUAGACUUUCGUUGCACCUCCUCUAAUCACUUAGAGUUCCUUGUGUUAGAUAAAUCAAGCACAAAGUGUGUUUGGUUACAGACUAUUAUCCAUUAUAUUCAAAGCACUUAUAAUUUGACUUUCACAACAGAUGUUUCAACAAUUAUAUAUGAGGAAAUGCUGCUUAUAUUGCUCAAAUUGGAAUAUAUCAAGGGAGAUAGAACUAAGCAUAUCUCCUCCAAAGUUCUUUUACACUCAUGAGUUGCAACAAGAUAAGAAAAUUAAGGUUAAGCAAAUAUACUUUAUUGGUAAUUUUGCUAAUGUUUUUACUAAGUUUUGCCCGCAUUAAAUAUUUGAGAAGUUAAUCCACAAUAUUAGCACGUGUUAACUCAACAAAUUAAAUUAACAUAUGGUAUUUGAGGUAGCAUUUUGCUAAGGGGAGCAUAUUUUGAAGAGAAGAAUUUUGCAGUUAUAUUAGAUAAAUAUGCAUUAUACUCUUUUUCUUUUUACCAAGUUUUGUCCAACUAGAUUUUGCUGAUAAGGUUUUAAUGAGGCCGUUUUAAAUACUUGCACUAUCACUUCUUAUCUUGAAAGUUAUUUCUUAUCUUGAAAGUUAUAUAUGUAAUUAAAGUGAUGAAUUCAAGGGGGUGUUGUAAAUUAUUGACUCCACUCUUUAAAAUCCCACAUUCGAAUCCUUCCCAUUUGCAUGUGCUUAAAAUUUUAUUAUAUUUGCAUGUGCUUAGAACACCCACUCUUUAAUUUAUAUUGUUUUAAUAUAAAUUACGAAAAAAGGAUAAAUAAUAGCCAAUAUAAAAUUUUAUUAUUUAUUUAUUUUAUAACGCCGCUAACUUUAAAAUCAUCUUUACCGCCUGAAGGGUAAAAAGGGAAACCAAAAAAGUCUAUCUCAUGUCCAAACCCUUCCCCGACAUCAUUUCCCGCCACCAUAAACACAAAGUAGGGUUUCACUCAAAUUUCACACAAUUCGAAAUCCUCACUCAAAUCAAACCCAUUCACUCUUCAUCAAUUCAUUUCGAUUUUUCUGAACUCUCUCGCAAAUUUGAAAACCUCAGAUCUAAUUUUAUUUACAAAAAUGGCCGGCCAAUCUGAUCCUCACGUCUCUCUGUUUUCUCCACCAGAGGUUUCUAUUGCUUCACUAAUUUACAUUUUUUUUAAAUAAAAUUUUGGCCUUAGUUUAGAAGUUUUGAUGUAAUUGGUUUUGGAUUUUUUUUUUCUAAUCAGGUUGAGUUUAUGGCGGAAGAUGAAUUGGUGGAGAUUGUGCCGAAUAUGAGAAUGGAUCCUCUAAAUUUUAUCUGUGUAUUUCCCGAAUUUACCAUCUUGUUGGAGUUGAGCUUAACACGCUGUUCUUGUUAAUAUUGAAAUGAAUUGUUUGUUGAGUUUGCAGGGUGAUUUUGGUCCCUUUUACCCCCAAAUACCGGUCAAAGUGCCAUUGUGGCUUGCGGCUGCGUUGAAGAAGAGAGGGAAAUGCACAAUUCGGCCACCUCAAUGGAUGUCAAUUGGUGAGCAUUUUAAUUUGAGUUUAUUUUGUGUUUAUUCGAUUUAAUUUUUUUAUUUGGCAUUUUCUGGUGUCUUAUAAUCUGGGGCCAAAAGUAAGAAAAGGAAAUAUGUUCAGCUUCAGAUGUAUUGUUUCUCAUUUGUUGUCAUAUUUUUUUUUCCAUGUGGUCUAGAAAAUUUAACAAAGGUUUUGGAAGGAGAAAGAGAAGAUCGAGGGACAUUUCAGGCUGUGCCUUUCCAUUACAUCGAGAUCUCUAGACUUCUUUUUGACCAGUGAGCAUUAGUUAUUUUGUUUGUUUGUUUGUUUGAUUGGUUGAAUGCUUUCAAAUGUGACCAUAUUAAUGACGACUGUAAUUUUUGUGGGUGGUAGUGCACGUGAUGACAUUCCUGAUAUUUAUAUGGUGAGUUUGAAGGUCUUAAACCUUGUUUGAUAAAGCAUUUCAGUUUUUCCAAGGAUGUUAACCUUAGUCUUUUUCCCCUAGGUGAGGUCCCUUAUUGAGGACAUCAGGGAUGUACGACUGCAUAAAAUUGAGACGAACUUAGAGAAAUUUAGUGCUACAUCUGCAGUGAAGGUAGGUUUUUUAUCUCUUGUCCUGAAUCUGUUGAUUGUGAUCACUACAAUUUGCCAUUUUGCAGCCUUAUAGAAUUUAUUUUGAUCAUCAUUUAAGAGAUAUGACAAAAAUGAAUAUAUGUAAAAACAGAAGCAAACAAUUUGAAUUUUUUAAUGCUGAAAAAAAAGGCUGAAGAGCAUGAAGGGACAAGUUUUGUGUUUGAAACUUGGGGGAGAGCAAGAAGAAAUCCUCUUUAUGAAACUUGAAGAAUCGCACUUCUCCCAUUUCGCUUGUCAAAAUAAAACUCAAUGCACUUUUUCCCCCAUGGAGAGGAAUUAUACAGCAGAGAUAAUGUGUAAAUUAUUAAAACUUCCCUUGUUAUGUUUAUGAUCUUGUGGAGCCAGCUUUACUCUGAAGAUUAGCAUCAAGCCAAUUGAUAGACUGGAGUAGACGUCAGGGUUGUUAUGUUUAGCGCAUCUUCAAUAAUUAUUUUGAUGAUUAUCAAGACAUUGUCAGUGAGAAAUUAUCAAAAUACUUGCAUAAAUUUCCCCUGGGUUGCAAAUCAUGAAACAUUUAUGUGAAUCAUGUGUCCAUUAUUUAUAGCAUGGACUGUUGAACUGCAUUUAUAUUUGUUUUCUUUUUGGUUACCUUGCUUCUAAAAUGUCUAAUAUGGUAUUUCAGAUUGCCCAUCUGUCUGCAAUGGAAGUGAAUGUAGUUCGUCCAUUUGUUGUGAGAGCCCUACAGGCUUUCUAUAAGCAUGAUAAUCCAGUACUGCUGGUGGAUUUAGAUAGUGUAUCUGAUAGACAGUCACACGUAACUAGACAGCGACAAUUGCCUAAUAAUGCACAAAAAGUAUGGGCUCACACUUUCUUUUUUCUCCAUUCUCAAUCUCAUUUUAUUUCUCACAGAUUUUAUCAGUUGACAGUCUGCUGCCGAUAUAAGAAUAAUGAGAUUUACCCAUUGAAAAGGCAUUUAGUUAUUUGACCAAUUCUUUUGUUCUACAGCAACCUCUGAAGCGACGGUAGUUGAUCUCAAUCCUCUAAUCUCCUUCCAUCUGAACUGGAAAAUGAUUGAUUUCAGUCAACUGGCAUAGAAGGUACAGCUUGAAAUAUUUUCCAAUGGAUCCUUUCUUUGAUCAAGUGCGUUGCUCAUUGUAAUUGUCAUAACACAGUGUUUCUUUAAGGGAUGUUAUAUUUAUUGAUAUCUUUUUUUUUUUAAUAUUACAAAUAAACAUUCAUCUACGAAAAAUGUUAAAGAUUCCAAUGGAUAACAUGGAGAAUUGCCUUUUAUUAAGUACAAUCAACACGGUCCUGAAUUUGUUAAGUUCUGAGUUUAGAGACAGUAUUUGCCUCUUGCACAUGUAUAUCAUUAAAUAUCAAUUACCCAUGUUAGCAUUAGUCAUUAAAGGUUGUAUGUGAAAACCAAAUUUUUGAGUUUAAAUAAGCAAGAGGCUACCGUGGUGUAAAAAGAAAAGAUUAAACAGACAAUUGCUUUUCUGGAGGUUAGAGAUGUGUUACAGAGCUCAUACAUAUUGUGAAUAGCCUAGAUGCAGGGAAAGACAAGAAUAAAAUGUUGGUUGAGGUAGGAAGAAGACUUGAUAGGAGAAAGAUACAGCAAGGGUAGAGUUGAAUUGUGGAUGGUGAGCUGAAAAUUAGUUAUUUUCUUACCUACUUUCUGUUUGUUUCAUGGUUUUUUCUUUUUAUUUUGAGUUCGUGUUAAUUUCUUGAAAACAAGGCAAAAGCCUGCAGGACUUAACCUGAGUCGGUUUUGAUGGAGACUAUUAUAAGUUUAGUUAAUUAUCAUGGAUUGUCGGUUUCUCUACCAUUUCUGCACUAGAGUCCAGGUCCACUGUGUCUAGAGACUGGAUGUAACUCUGGAUAUUUCCAUUACCGGUAGAAUUGAAAAUUUUGGGGCUAAAGUUUACUUUUUAUCGUGUAAUCUUAAUCAUUGGAUCUCUCUGAAGACUGACAGAGGGUUCCAUGAAAUGACGUGGCACUGGCACAUGAGGAAUGCCAAAAUGUCAAGAUCUGUUUGUAAUUCCCCCCCCCCCCCNNNNNNNNNNNNNNNNNNNNNNNNNNNNNNNNNNNNNNNNNNNNNNNNNNNNNNNNNNNNNNNNNNNNNNNNNNNNNNNNNNNNNNNNNNNNNNNNNNNNNNNNNNNNNNNNNUUUAUCUUGGUUCCUGAGCAAAUCAAUAGCUUGAAGAAAUUAUUUUUUUCAAUUUUGGCAAGGAAAAGGAAUGCUGAUUGAAGUCUAAUAAUCCACUUUGAUGACUAUGAAACUUUGAUGAUUAAUGUGCUUUAUGAGAAAUAUUUCUCAAGGCUAAUGCAAGACAAAAAUUCAAAGCUUCUUAUAUAGAUUAUAAAAGCCGUAAUAAGUUGUUGAAAUGUUGGGAAACAUUGUCAUUUCUUUCCCCCCUUGAACUAGACUUAGUGAUCCUGAAAUAUGUAUUUGAUCAAAUAAAUGCAAAUUGGACACACUUAAUUUUCUUAGACAUAUUAGAUUUAUGUUCAAAACAUCUAGCAGGUAUUUUUUUUUUUAUGUUUUUCAAUGCUUUCUCGUAAUACCUUUUGGCUGUUUCUCUCCUCAACCUUCUAGUUGUUUUGUCAAUUAUCCAUUUUACACGUCUUUUGAGCAUAAAAAGGGGUUCCCUAGUUCACAUAUUUCUUGGGGAUUAUAUACGCAGUAGUUGCUUGGCUGUUGGCAUCACGGUCUUGGUUUUGAAUAAUUGUGUUAUAGAGGAAUUGUAGCUUUCCUAAGCUACUUCUAGUUAGAAACCCUUCUAAUAAAUUAAAUUUUGAAAAGAAAAACGUCACUUAUGCAAGCGUGAGACAAUUGGGACUUGGAAGGUUACCUUCGUUUAAUAAGAUUUAUGUUAUUAAAUUUUGAAAUUUUUUUGAAAAGAUGUCAGCAAUCCUUCUAAUAAAUUAACUUUUUGAAAAAAAAAAAAUUGUCACUUAGGCAAGCGCGAGACAAUGGGGAGUUGGGAGGUUACCUUCGUUUAAUAAGAUUUAAGUUAUUAAAUUUUGAAUUUUUUUUAAAAAAAAUGUCAGAAACCCUUCUAAUAAAUUAAAUUUUGAAAAAAAAAAAGUCACUUAGGCAAGCGCGAGACAAUUAGGACUUGGGAGGUUACCUUCAUUUAAUAAGAUAAAAUUAGUGUCAAAUGUCCGUUUAAUCAACCAUAAAUCAUUGAAGAGAAUCCAUCCCGUCUUAUAUUAAAAUAGGAAGAAGUCUGGAUUUCUUGUCAUUGUGCAAGAACAUACCUCAUGGUCCUUUCUUUGAACCCGCCCUUAGUUAUGGAAAUUAUAAAAUUAGUGUUAAUUUGCACAUGCCGUGGGACCAGUAGGCUGCUUGUGUUUGUCAAUUCAUUUUAAAUUCACACGCACCCCAUCCCAUAAUUUAUUGAGACGGAUUGACAUUUUUGACAAGCUCCUAGAAAGAAUAUUCCUCCAGAAAAUUCUGAAACAUUACAUGUGUCAACACCCUGUAAAGUGACCUGCAGGUUCAGUUAUGUAAAGGAUUAGAACGGGCAACAACUACCUUGUGGCCUUUAAGUAAUUUUAUGUUCCAACUCUUGUUUGUCUGCCUUCUCACUAACUUCCAAGUGUUUUAAGGAAGUGACUAGUAACAUGGGUACUAAAUUUAGAUUGUUGUCGCCGAAUAUCAAACUAUUUUUAGUUAUGAAAAGUGGCGUCGAUCUAAUAGCACAACCGACUCUCGAGUAUUUUGCAGUUAAAUAAGUUCAACGAAACCAUACGUCAUAGGACUUUGUUGUUUUUGUUUUGUUUUCCUUUUUUUUUUCAACAUUGAUUUUUAAAUUAAUCAUUAUUAGAUUACUCCUUUGAUUCGUCUCUUAUUAAAAUUAUUUGUUAAUAAGUAUAAUGCUAGCUGUAAACCUCUUUGCUCAUGUAUAAUGCUAACGUUGGUUGGUGUGAGUGGUUCGGUACUCUCACUCCUUAAGAUCGACACUCUCACUCUUUAAGAGAGGUCAGGGGCUUAAGCCCCACUCUCGUAUGAAGUCACUAUUUUGACCAACACUUUAUAUCUUACGGACCGAUCCGGUGCGAAUAUGGAUUAAUAUGAGUUGUGAUACGGGCUUAAAAGUGUCUUCCACAGUUGGGAUCUACUCAGGACCACCUUCAUGGUUUCGACAAAAAAAAAAAAAAGUAUAAUGCUAAUGUUGCAGAAAUCAAUCACUGGAUUUUCAUCACUUCUGUUAAUUUUUUGUGUGGCAAUAGACUUGCUUGGAAAAAUAAAGGUUGAAGGAGAGAUCGGAAGCUGGGCUUAUUGUGAAUUGGAUAUGUUUGAAAAUGAUGCUCUAGGUGUCAAACAGAUCAAACUUGAAUACAAUUUUAUUCUUUAUUGGCCUGUUGCAUUGUCGUUUAUCAAGGGAAUUGGUCCAUUUUGAAGGCCACAGCCUGGCCAAGAGCCAGCGGAUCAGGUUUUAAUCUGUUUCCUAAUUAUUUUAUGAAGAUUAAACAACGGGCGUUUUGUAUUGACUUAAUGAUUAAUGUUUGCCUAAGCCAAAUUUCUAAUACAACAACACAAGUUAAAUAUGAGAACAAUAAAUUAUCUGGUGGAAGUCCCCAAUUUUGUAAGGUAAAAAUCAAAUGAAGAUCCCAUUUUAGUUUCAGAAUUAAACCUUUUCAGUGUUUUUUCAAAUGAGGGAAUCUAGAGAAUUUGAUCACCUCGGAAAAAUUGAAUUUACUUAGUUUAGACCUUUAUCCUCUAACUCUGAAGCUGCCAAGAACAAUUCGUAACUUUUUGUUCUCUUUUUGGUGAAAAGUCAUCUCAUAUUUAAUCUAUCCCUAAAAAAGAAUUGACAUUUUUUUUACAUUCUAUCUUACGUGGGGCUGGGAACAGAUAAACUUGUCAAUUAUGAUGAAUGGCUCCACAACUUCUUCAUAAUGUAGAGAGCAUUAUAAAUUGAAUAAUGAUAUAUCCAUAAAUUUUUGUAUAAGUUUAUUUUGUACAAAUGAAUAUGGCUUUAAUUCAUUGGUUGAAUUAAAUAUCUCUUAGCCUACAUGAUUUAUUUAUAUUAUUUUAUAUUUUCAUUCAACCAAUGAAUAAAUAACACAUCAGUUUGUAUAAAAUAAAUUUAUACAAGAGUUUGUAGCUGUAUCAUGACUCUUAUAAAUUUAGGGUCCAUUCGUGAUUGUUUUUAAGAGGUUCAAAAGCAAUUUUUAAAAGUUAAAAAAUAAUUUGGGUGUUUGUUAAAUUUCAUAAAAAUCAUUUUUGCUAAAAUCAUCCUAUCUUAUAGUAGAUUUUGAAAAAUAUGAAAAGGGUAACUUUUUAAAUUCUGAUUAUGAGAAUUAAUUUUACACUUAUAACAAUCCUACAUAUAUUCUCACAUGUAUUAUAAAAAUUUAAAAUUAUACUUACUCAAUUAAAAAAUAAAAUCAAGAAAUUUAAAGAGAAUAAUAUUAUUACCAAUAACACUAAGAUAAAAAAAUAAAAAAUAAAAUUUAUAAAAAAUAUUUAUUUUAGUUGACAAUUAUUAUUUAUAGACAAUAAAAAAAUAUUUUACAUAUAUGUAUAAACGUAUAAAUAAAAUUUAUUUAAUAUUAUGUUCGUUUCAAUUUUGUAUUCUUACAAUAAUUUAAUAAUAAGAUGUAUUAAAUACAUACAACUACUUUUAAAUGAAAAUAAAUUUUACUGAAUAUUUAAUUUUUUACAAUUAAUUAUUUUUACUGUACAAUUAAUAAUAAUUAUUUUAAAAAUUAUUGAUACUGUAUCUUAAUAUGUGCAUAAAAAAAAUUGAAAUAAAAGAAACCAUAUAAUCACAUCAGAUGGAGGGAAAGGUUGACCCCCCAAGGUGGAUUCCUAUUUUUGACCUUCAACAUACAUAUCAACUGCAAAGGCACGAAAUGCACCUUGUGUUGCCGCGGAAUAGAUCAAGAGAGCAGAUAAGUAGAACGUACUCAUUGGGAUCCCUUUGGACCGGCCUUUGUAAAACACGGAGUUGGUUGGGUCAAUCGUGAGGCCUAUGCAUCAUCAUCAUUGAUAGCCGUGAGUCGUGGCGUCGUCCCCAUCAGUCAUCAUCUAUUACGUUAAAAACCGAAAGUAAGAUAGAGAUUCUGCCAGAAGAGCGUGUGGGCCCAGGGCACCGUGUGUGGCGCGUUUGUGCAUUUUUCCCUCAAAAUAUUAUUCAUGUCAUUAAUUGAGCAUAUUAAUAUAUAAAAUUGAUUAUUAUUUAAUAAGUCAAUAUAUUAUAUAAUUAAUAAUAAAUACUUUACAUUAUUUGAUUAAGAGUAGCAUGUAUAUAUAUCAUCAUUUUGUUAAAGUGAAGAUGAUAUUAGAAAAAUGAAAAAAAAACAUAGAUUUUCAAUACACUAAUAGAAAAAAAAAGUUUUUCAUGCAUUGGUAUAUGUUAUUUUCUUUUGUAUUUUAGUAACAUUCUCACUUUGUUAAAAAGUACAAAAUAAUAUCAUGUUAUAAUAUAUUCAUAGUUUGUAAUUUUUUUUUCAAAUAUCAUGAUAAUUGUUUUAUUUUUUCUUUAAUAUUUUGGAUUCAUUUCGCAUUUUUUACUUGUUAAUAGAUUAGAUAACUAGUAACAACGAUUAUUAUAUUUAUAUAUAUAACAAAUUGAAAUUACUAGAUAUCAAGUAACUAGAUGAGGUAACUAGUAACAAGUUACUUUGAACACAAUUGAAAAAAAAAAAAUUACUAGAUGUCCAUCCUAAAUUUACCCCCUUAUAAAAAAUACUACAAAGUGUUUGAAUUUGUAUGAUUCUCCACUCAUUGUUUACAAUGUAUAUCAAUUGUCUCAAAAAAAAAAAAAAAAAGAAGAUAGAAUUAUCCUUACAAAAUAACUACUACUAUAAUUUGUGUUUCCUUUUGUUUUGUCGUUUUUAGUGAAUAGAUGUUACAAAUUGUAUAUAUUUUGUGUAAAAUUUAACAAAUUCAAAUAUUUCUAAUAUUUUUGAUAAUUGUGUAAACUUAUGAUGUAAGGUUGAUAAUUAGUUAUUUUCAUCGAAAGUUUGCUGUCUAAUAGAUAGGAUUAACCUGCCAAGUGCCAACUGAGGCUAACAAAUGAUAGCCGUUGAUUCUCAAAAUGAUUUCAAAGGUCCAUACUAAAAGAUUGGCUGAUAAUGAACGCAUUGCCAUUUACAGCUACGGAGUUGCAUCCAAAUCACGAGUCAAUUAUGAGAUUUUUAUUAUUACCUUAUUGAAAAAAUAAAUUAUUAGUACUACUGUUAUCCGACGCAAUAUAAAUAGUUCCGUGUAGCUCACGUCAUCUUCCAUUUCUAUUUUCUAGCUAUGGCUGUACACGUUCCACCGUCCAAGUUGCUUGGUGACUUGGUCCCCAAGUAACUUGCCGAAAUUCUGAUUAUGCCCUUAUAUUAAAUUUGGUAAAACAUUUUCUUUAUAAUAGAAUAUAGCAGUAGACACACUCAUUUAAAUUUGGUAAAACUUUUUCUAUUAAAUAGCAAUGAGAUAGAAAAUUCUUGAACUAUCUAAUAAAAAUAUAUCUUUUCUAUUUAAUCUUUUAUUCUUUUUAAUUUUUUGGAUAUCCAGCUAUUAAAAAAAAAAAGAAUAUCCAGCAAGACUGGAAGUCACUUUCCAAAUUAAUGCCAAAAAAUAAAAAAAAGAGACGCAUAAUUCUAAAGAUAUUUCUGUUGUUUUUCUUAAAACAAGCGAAUGAACAAACUAUCACUUACCGUCCAUGUACAAUUCUCCGGCCUUAUCCAUUCCCUCGCAAUUUUCGCCUUUAUUGAAACAAAAUCCAAUUAAACGAAAAAAAAAGCGAGGUCAUUUCUGUAAUUCGAUCCCCAAAACUUUUAUAUGUACUCGCCUUUCCCGUUGUCCUCUCCUUUCAUCCUUUGGGUUUUGCAGCAAUUGAAAUAACAACCUUUUUUUUUCUUCCCUUUGGAUCACAACUGGAAAACACAAAAAAAUUCAAAUUUUCAUAAGCAAAAGCAGAAUCAAAACUGUAUUUAACAAAAAACAAUAAUAAAAAAGAAAAUUCAAAAACAUCAAUUCAAAUUCCUUUCUGUAGUUUUGAGUUGGCAAACUCAUCAGCCCUUUUUUAUUGGUGGAGAAUCACAGGAUAUGAUGCUGUCAUGAAAUCACGGUGUGGGGGAAAGAAAGUGAAAGCUGGGGAAUUGGCGGGGUCGAAACGACAGCGGCGGAUUGGCGAUGGAGUUGUUGUGCACGACGACGACGGCGACUGCCGCGGGGGAUUUGUGGGCCAGGGGCAUAGGUGGAGGGUUCAGCCACGAGAGCGAGCACGAUUUGGCUCUCAUGGUCAGCGAUUUUUUGGAAAAUGGCAGUGCUGGCACCGAUUCUCUCUGUAGCAGCGACUCCGAUUCCGGUUUCUCCGAUCUGGCUCACCUCGCCGACAAAAUUUCGGUAAUUUCAUUUUUAAAUCGCCACGACUUAGCCAUUUUUGGCAGUAGGCAAUUUUAGUUAUGAACAAGAAAUAUAUUUUUAUUAUAAAAUUGAAAAUUUUCUUCUGCUCUCACGGAUUCAUCAACAACAUACAUUUCAUUUUUUUAUCUUAUAGAUUUAGUUGAUUUUGAACUGUAAUUGAGAGGUAAAAAAAAAAAAAAACGCUGGUGUUGCUUUAUAUAUAUAUAAUCAUUCUCCAGUAGCAAGUCACAUUGUUUUUCUACAAUUCAACACCAAAUUGUUAACAACUAUAUAAAAGUCCAGAUUUUAUUGAAUAUGAAUAUCCAUAUGGAAGAAAAAUUAUGUAUAUAUUAUGAUGAUAGCAGCUGGUAUGUCAAUCUGAUUGUGCCGGUGUACCGUCUGUUUAUGCUAAGAAAUAGUGUGCAAUCUAAUAAUGGUGGGCGUCGUUGUUUUACAUAAUAGUGUGUAACCACAAUUUUUGGGAAAACCACAAUUUUAGUCUUUGAUUUCUGCUUGGGAGAAUUUUUUUGAUGUUGAAGUAGUUUUUUCAUGAUAUUACAGUUUUACAAGCGUUCUGUGCCUCAGUAUGAGAUGGACCUGACAUUGGUGGUUCAUUCUUUAAUUCUAUCAAUCAAAGAGACAGAUCUUCAUGCUGUGAAGUCAGACCAGUGUAAUGCCAGUUGCAUCAGGUUUGUUCUGGUCAAACUCUUGAGACUUUCGGGCUAUGAUGCUGCGGUGUGUUCCACGAGGUGGCAGGGUAGUGGCAAGGUCCCCGGAGGUAUGCUAUAAAAUGUCCAAGUUGCAAAUGUCUUAUAUUUAUCAUUUUACAACAAUGCUAUGCGUUUCUAGAUAUAUAGAUUGUCAAGUAAUGAAUUUGGAUAUGCGAGUUGUACUUUUUGGAAAGUUUUGGGAACCAUAUACCAAAUCAACCCUACAUGGUUAAAGAUAGAGUGAAUUUACUGAUCCAUGUCAGUAGUUCAAAUAUAUCAUAUUUUCCUUUGAAUAAGUCUAAAUCUGCUUGUUUGGGAUUUCAUUGUAUUUUCAUGGCAAGGAAUGAAACUUUUCCCUUCUUGCAUUACAAAUGAUAUUAAAUGUUUUUAGCUGAACCAUAUCCGAUGGUAAACUUGUGGUUAUGUUAUGCAGGCGAUCAUGAAUACAUUGAUGUGGUCAACUACAAUACUGCUGGGAGCUCUGAGCGUUUGAUAAUUGACAUUGACUUCCGAAGCUACUUUGAAAUUGCUCGGGCUGUUGAUUCUUACGAUAGAAUAUUAAAAUCACUUCCAGUUGUUUAUGUGGGCUCUUUGAUAAGGUUGAAACAGUUUCUCCAAGUUAUGGUUGAUGCUGCUAGAUCUUCUCUAAGUCAAAACUCAAUGCCUCUUCCUCCAUGGAGAUCUCUUGCUUAUUUGCAAGCCAAGUGGCAAUCACCGCACCAAAGAGAUUUUAAUCCAGAUGAACAGAAUAUCACCACCACUUAUUCUCUUGACCAUAAACAGUGCAGAGGACAUUUAAAGAGGCUGCAGUCCUCGCUUCAUUCUGAAGUGGAAGCAGAGCGGUUUUUGAACCCCAUAAACAGUGAUAAUACCCGUUGGUUGAAGCUUGAGAGGCGUCGGCAUUUCUCGUUGAGAGCUCUUUGAUAGGUAGAAAUUUUGGCCCAGGAGAUGAGAGUUCCUUCUUUUUGAGUGUAAUUUAUUUGCGGCUUUCUGUUCAGAGAUUCUUUUUACCUAAUAUUUAAUAAGAGUGGACCAGAAUGAAGGGCAGGUGCUUAUAGCAGACAUCAUAACAAUAAAGUAGCAACCAUAUGGUGGAAACUUCUUCGCACUUUAUGCAUCUUACAUUUUGGUUUACUGGCGGCAAGCGGGUCGGUAUCAAGUUUUUGGAGCUGUUUAUGGGUUUUCUUUAUGCCUAACAGUGCCAACAAACCAGUUGUUACCACUGUGCUGCUGCAACAUUCAUUAGAUUGUUUUCGGCUUUUAGUACCACCUUGAAUGUAUUCCUUGCCCCUUAUUAUAUGGGUUUAGGAAAUUUUGCUGUUAUAUAUAUUCUUUUCUCUUUGCUCGCCAGCCCCCCACCCCCUCGUUUCUUCUUACGUCUUAAAAUGUUGAGCAUAUCUUUUUCGCGUUGAGGAAGUGCAUCGAUUUAAAACUGAAUUCUUAUGUUUGUUACAUUACGGCUGGAAUAGAACAUGAUCAAAUGGUACCUGAAUUCUUAAUGCAAUUGUGUUGGGCCGUCUGGAAGUUUAUUUUUUAACAGUAUUUGCUGAUUGGACUUUUUGCAAUUGGGGAAGGGGGGUUUGGGAUAAGGUAUUCACACAUGAUUAUUGGACAACUGGACUCUUAUCAACUGCUUUUAGAUAGAUGCUCAGCUCUUUCUUAUCUGUCAUGACAUGAAUAAGCUUUUGGUUCAUCAAGCAUGCCUUUGGUGGUUUUAUUUAUUUAUUUUUUAAUUUUUUGUUUUGAGAAUUGGUGGUUCUUUGUUAAAACGUGAUAGUAUUGCCAAGUUCGUCCCUUCCUUUCAACCAUGUGAUCAUAAUGACGUAGGCUUCUUUCAAAUAUGUUUUUUUUUUUUGAGUUGAACUUUUGGCGUAAUAGGGUAGAGAUGACUUCAGUUUCCAAGUCUUUGGAUGCUCAAGUGUUGAAGGCUAGAUACUUCAGACGAUCAGAUUUUUGGCUACCCAACUAAUUACACUAGUUUGUACGAACUAAAAAGUAAUCUAUCAAAGCAACAAGCAGCCUUUACGUGUCGGAUCAAAUUAUGGAUGACCCAAAAUCUAUAAAAAAUAUAGGUUCAAUAAAAACUUUCUGCAUAGAAUAAUUUAGAAUUCUUAAUGAGAAUUGCCUAAGUGCUUAAAUGUUUUAGUGAAGUGUCUAAUUAUAAGAUACAACAAAGUGCCAUAGGCACGAUUUUAAAAAAAAAAACUUAGGUCCAUUCUUUACAAAGAAUAACCAAAGUUCAUUCUUUAUAAAGAGCCACUUAAGUCAAUUUUUUAUAUAAAAUAACAUAGAUCCAUUUUUUUUUACAAAUAAUGAUUUAGACACUUAGAAAAUAUUUCUAAGUAGAAUGGCCAAAGAGCAAGUCUUUAACAAAGCGCUAAAGGUAUGAUUAAACAAAGAAAAACUUAAGUCUAUUUUUUUAUAAAGAACGACUUAGGUCAUCUCUUUAAAAAGAACAAUCUAAGUCUAUUAGUUGCAAAGAAUGACCUAAGCACUUAGAGAAUAUUUAUAAGUAAAAUACCCAAAUAGCGAGUUUUUGACAAAAUGCUAAAGGCAUGAUUCUUCCAAGAAUGAUUUAGAUCUAUUCAUUGUAAAGAAUGAACCUAGAUACUUAUUUUACAAAAAAUGAUUUAGGUCUAUUACUUAUAAAUAAUGACCUAAACUUAGAGAAUAUUUAUAAGUAAAAUGCCCAAAGAGUGAGUCUUCACAAAACAAUGAAAGUAUGAUUAUUCAAAGAAUGGCCUAGGUUUAUUUUUUACAAAUAAUGACUUAGACACUUAGAAAAUAUUUUAAAGUAAGAACCUUCGUACCAACAAGUAUUCUAUAGAAUUUGCCUAUAGACAAACAUGCAUUUUAUGGAAUAAGCUUAUUGGCAAAUAAACAUUUUACGGAAUGUGCCUUUGGACAAAUCAUUAACUUUAAAGAUAUUAUUAUCAUUACCAAUUAUAUUAAGAUAACAAAAUAAAAUUAAUAAUAUAACAUAUUUAUUUUAAUUAUCAAUUAUUAUAUAUACACUAUAAAAAAUAUUUUAUAUAAUUUUAAAAAUAAAUUUAUCAAACGUUUAACUGAUUCUCUUCAUAGUUGGUUAUUUCUAUAGCAAGCUAACAAUAAUUAUUUCAAAAGUUACAACAUUAUCAAGUUAGCCCUUAAAAGUACAUAAGUAUGGAGAAAAAAAUAUUCUAGUUAAAUUAUGUUGAUAGAAAAUUAAGUUAAGAAAAUAAACCUAUUGCUAGCUACAUCAUAAAAUGCAUAUACCAGUCAAUUUUUACGAGUGCAAAGAUGCUUGUGAAAUGUGCACUUGCAAGGACCAAUAUAGAGUGUUGCAAAACACAAUAUUGUAUGUCUGUAGGCCCAUUUUAAAUACACACACCUUUUUUUGAGGAUGGAUGUCUGUAGUAGAGAAAAUACUCUUAUCUAGUUACCUUAUGAUUACUUAUUGAUAACAACUAUGUCGGACUGCUCCCAUGCAUGUAGAACCUCGUAUUGGCUGCGGUACAAACAACCUUCCAUAAUAAUAUUGUAAGAUAGAGUUGAUCCAUAAUUUAUUAAUUAAGUAUCGGUUUUCUUCAGAUUAGUAAUAAGCCUAGGAAAAUAGUGACAUAACCAUGCAUUGAAUGUAAUAUAUAAAUAAAGAUGAAAUCAUACAUACAUACAUACAUACAUACAUGAGAAAACUACACCAAAUAAUAUUAAAGGAAAAUAAUUGUUAUACUCAUUGAGAUCAUCAUCGCAAGAGCAAAAUGUGGGAAAAACUUCUUAUACUUGGCAAAAUAAACGUCAUUUGGCUGGUAAAGCAAUCUAGUUUUCAAUAAGCAUGCAUAGAGUACCUAACUAGAAAGGUAUAUGGUGAUUGACAAUCACAUCUCGUGACUCAAUCAACCAUAUACUGUGCACACAUAUAAUUAUAACAUAAUGAUAUAUCAUACUAUUAAAUAUAAAUGCUUCACAUGAUACAUAAUAGUAAUAACGGAAAUCUAAUUACAAAUUAUGGCUCAAUUAAUCUUUUGUUGGGACUAUUGUUGAUUCCUAAGAAUAUGGAUUUCUCUUAAACACAGUGUUCAAUUAACUAUUAGAACUAAUAUAAAAAAGUUAUAUGUAUAAAAUAAACUAAAUCAAAAUUGCUCAAAUUUUUCCACUUUGGCUUAUCAUUUUUCUAUUUUUUUAAUUUUUUCUCUCGGCAUACUCUUUUUACUUUUCUAUUUCUCUUAUCUUUUCUUCUUUCUUUCUCUUUUAUUUCUUUUCUUUUUGUUUUCUUUUUCUCUUUUUUUCCUCUCUGUCUCUUUUCCUAAAACGAUGCAAAUUAAUGAUAGCUGCUUUCAAUUUUUCAUUUUAAAUGCUCAUCGAAUUAGGCAAGCUGAUGGCUAAAAUAAUGAAGCAGGCAUGUGAAAUAGAUGAAGCAAGUAGGACUAUAGUUUCAGUGAAGUUAGCAGUUGAUAUUGAUGAAGCACGCAGCUAAUAUUGAUGAAGCAUGUAGCUUGGUGGCUCAAAAUUAAUAAACCAUUUGUGGCUGUCAAGCACAUGUCUUAUAAUUCCUUCCAACUAAUAAAAAUUGUGUUUGGGAGAGGUACUGUUUGGGAUAAAUAUGUCGACGAGACCAGGAAUGACGAGCAGAUAUCGGAUGGCAGAGUUCUGCGAACCGGUGUGUUCCGUAAAAGCCUGGUGCGCGGAAGAACAGGAGCAGAAAUAUCCUGCUCGUCCACGAUGUUGUCAUCCGCGAGGCCAAUUUCCUAUAAGAGGGAUACGGCUAUUCCGGCUAGAGGUCGAUAGGCGAGGAGACCCGGUCGACGGCAGUUGGCAAGACAUGCUCUCCAGCCCGAGAAUCUAGGCACGACAGCCACGCUUUCCCCUGAGCCGUGGCGUAACACGCAAGGUCUCACAGAACCACGACAGCCACGCUUUCCCCUGAACCGUGGCGUAACACGCAAGAUCUCACAGAACCACGACAGCCGCGCUUUCCCCUGAACCAUGGCGUAACACGCAAGAUCCCACGUUUGCCCAUAACGCAGCAGUCAGAGCCCCAGACCGUCUCGAGAAAAGCAGAAAACGGGGAUUCAGAGGAAGCCUAUAAAAAGGUAGCCAACGAAGGUAAAAGGGUUGGCAUUUUUGAGAUAAAAGAAAAAAACCACGAAAAAGCCAUCAAGACCCGUGGCAAGCGUUCCCCGAACCUUGAUAUCUGACUUGAGCGUCGGAGGGUUUGCGCCGGGAGAACAACCGGCGUACUCUGACUUGUCUGUGUGUGCAGGGAUAUCUGGAGAAGAAGCAUUACUAGGAGACCUCCUGGUCGUGGGGAAGUUGAUCGAGCAGUGUGUGCAGGGAUUAGGAGACCUCCUGGUCGUGGGGAAGUUGAUCGAGCAGAGAUCCUGGUCGUAUAACGAGGAGAACCGGAAUCUCGCAUCAACAUUUUGGCGCCGUCUGUGGGGAUCCAGAGCAAAAAGCUUCUGUUGAUAGCAAGAAGAGGGGUGAAGUAAGCGAAAAGCAAUGGAGACAGGAGGAAGUAGUGCACAAGGGGGUGAUAUAAGGCUUAACGAUUUCGUGACGUUGAGGGAGAUAGCCAGUGAAGCGCGGGAAAAAGCCAUGUUCGACCGGAUGGAACGGAUGGAAAAGCAAAUGGAGACCCUGACAGAUGGAAAAGCAGAUGGAGACCUUGACAACCAUCCUGCAUGAGCUGCGGAGCGAGCGAAGGGUAACCCAAGAGGGAAGGGUGAGAGGCGGUGGAGUGGCUCCAGGUCCCGAUAGUGCGGGGAGAAGUCAAACCCUUAUAACCAGAAGGUGAACAUACGGCAAUUCAGGGUCGGAGACUGGGUACUGAGAAGAGUGAAUCAGAGCACCAAAGAUUCGACUCAAGGAGUGCUGGGACCGAAUUGGGAAGGGCCAUAUAGAGUCAAGCAGAUAGCGGGACCCGGAGCUUACAAGCUGGUCCGCGCGGACGGCCACGAGGUGAAACGCCCAUGGAACGCAGCACACCUCCGGAAAUACUUCCAGUAAGACUUGUUCACAUUUGAAAGCUAUUUUCGCUCAUGUUCAUUAUCGUUUAUCUUUCACGCUUUAUGUCCGAACAAUUUCAUGUAAGUCAAAUCCUGCCAUUAAUGGAACGUCGCGGAAUUUCAUUCGCUCGAAACCGAGAAAAACCCAAGGCAUGCAAAGGCUCGCCAAGUCUCAAAGCCUGUCUUAUGGCGAGACCGAAGCCAAGCGUGCCAGGAUCUGCUCGACCGCGCGAAGGCAAACCGAAUCCCAGGCAUUGAAAAAUCUUCAAAGGCAUGCGGCCCAAACCAUGAGCCAAGCCGGAACCUGCUCGUCUAGGCGAAGACAAGCAGAUUCUCAAACGAAAAUUAAUUCAUAAUUACAACACAAGAAAGUAAUCAAAAAACAUUUUUAUUAAUCUGUUAAUGAUUAACAGAGGGGAUAAUCUUCAUGAACAUUGUCCANNNNNNNNNNNNNNNNNNNNNNNNNNNNNNNNNNNNNNNNNNNNNNNNNNNNNNNNNNNNNNNNNNNNNNNNNNNNNNNNNNNNNNNNNNNNNNNNNNNNNNNNNNNNNNNNNNNNNNNNNNNNNNNNNNNNNNNNNNNNNNNNNNNNNNNNNNNNNNNNNNNNNNNNNNNNNNNNNNNNNNNNNNNNNNNNNNNNNNNNNNNNNNNNNNNNNNNNNNNNNNNNNNNNNNNNNNNNNNNNNNNNNNNNNNNNNNNNNNNNNNNNNNNNNNNNNNNNNNNNNNNNNNNNNNNNNNNNNNNNNNNNNNNNNNNNNNNNNNNNNNNNNNNNNNNNNNNNNNNNNNNNNNNNNNNNNNNNNNNNNNNNNNNNNNNNNNNNNNNNNNNNNNNNNNNNNNNNNNNNNNNNNNNNNNNNNNNNNNNNNNNNNNNNNNNNNNNNNNNNNNNNNNNNNNNNNNNNNNNNNNNNNNNNNNNNNNNNNNNNNNNNNNNNNNNNNNNNNNNNNNNNNNNNNNNNNNNNNNNNNNNNNNNNNNNNNNNNNNNNNNNNNNNNNNNNNNNNNNNNNNNNNNNNNNNNNNNNNNNNNNNNNNNNNNNNNNNNNNNNNNNNNNNNNNNNNNNNNNNNNNNNNNNNNNNNNNNNNNNNNNNNNNNNNNNNNNNNNNNNNNNNNNNNNNNNNNNNNNNNNNNNNNNNNNNNNNNNNNNNNNNNNNNNNNNNNNNNNNNNNNNNNNNNNNNNNNNNNNNNNNNNNNNNNNNNNNNNNNNNNNNNNNNNNNNNNNNNNNNNNNNNNNNNNNNNNNNNNNNNNNNNNNNNNNNNNNNNNNNNNNNNNNNNNNNNNNNNNNNNNNNNNNNNNNNNNNNNNNNNNNNNNNNNNNNNNNNNNNNNNNNNNNNNNNNNNNNNNNNNNNNNNNNNNNNNNNNNNNNNNNNNNNNNNNNNNNNNNNNNNNNNNNNNNNNNNNNNNNNNNNNNNNNNNNNNNNNNNNNNNNNNNNNNNNNNNNNNNNNNNNNNNNNNNNNNNNNNNNNNNNNNNNNNNNNNNNNNNNNNNNNNNNNNNNNNNNNNNNNNNNNNNNNNNNNNNNNNNNNNNNNNNNNNNNNNNNNNNNNNNNNNNNNNNNNNNNNNNNNNNNNNNNNNNNNNNNNNNNNNNNNNNNNNNNNNNNNNNNNNNNNNNNNNNNNNNNNNNNNNNNNNNNNNNNNNNNNNNNNNNNNNNNNNNNNNNNNNNNNNNNNNNNNNNNNNNNNNNNNNNNNNNNNNNNNNNNNNNNNNNNNNNNNNNNNNNNNNNNNNNNNNNNNNNNNNNNNNNNNNNNNNNNNNNNNNNNNNNNNNNNNNNNNNNNNNNNNNNNNNNNNNNNNNNNNNNNNNNNNNNNNNNNNNNNNNNNNNNNNNNNNNNNNNNNNNNNNNNNNNNNNNNNNNNNNNNNNNNNNNNNNNNNNNNNNNNNNNNNNNNNNNNNNNNNNNNNNNNNNNNNNNNNNNNNNNNNNNNNNNNNNNNNNNNNNNNNNNNNNNNNNNNNNNNNNNNNNNNNNNNNNNNNNNNNNNNNNNNNNNNNNNNNNNNNNNNNNNNNNNNNNNNNNNNNNNNNNNNNNNNNNNNNNNNNNNNNNNNNNNNNNNNNNNNNNNNNNNNNNNNNNNNNNNNNNNNNNNNNNNNNNNNNNNNNNNNNNNNNNNNNNNNNNNNNNNNNNNNNNNNNNNNNNNNNNNNNNNNNNNNNNNNNNNNNNNNNNNNNNNNNNNNNNNNNNNNNNNNNNNNNNNNNNNNNNNNNNNNNNNNNNNNNNNNNNNNNNNNNNNNNNNNNNNNNNNNNNNNNNNNNNNNNNNNNNNNNNNNNNNNNNNNNNNNNNNNNNNNNNNNNNNNNNNNNNNNNNNNNNNNNNNNNNNNNNNNNNNNNNNNNNNNNNNNNNNNNNNNNNNNNNNNNNNNNNNNNNNNNNNNNNNNNNNNNNNNNNNNNNNNNNNNNNNNNNNNNNNNNNNNNNNNNNNNNNNNNNNNNNNNNNNNNNNNNNNNNNNNNNNNNNNNNNNNNNNNNNNNNNNNNNNNNNNNNNNNNNNNNNNNNNNNNNNNNNNNNNNNNNNNNNNNNNNNNNNNNNNNNNNNNNNNNNNNNNNNNNNNNNNNNNNNNNNNNNNNNNNNNNNNNNNNNNNNNNNNNNNNNNNNNNNNNNNNNNNNNNNNNNNNNNNNNNNNNNNNNNNNNNNNNNNNNNNNNNNNNNNNNNNNNNNNNNNNNNNNNNNNNNNNNNNNNNNNNNNNNNNNNNNNNNNNNNNNNNNNNNNNNNNNNNNNNNNNNNNNNNNNNNNNNNNNNNNNNNNNNNNNNNNNNNNNNNNNNNNNNNNNNNNNNNNNNNNNNNNNNNNNNNNNNNNNNNNNNNNNNNNNNNNNNNNNNNNNNNNNNNNNNNNNNNNNNNNNNNNNNNNNNNNNNNNNNNNNNNNNNNNNNNNNNNNNNNNNNNNNNNNNNNNNNNNNNNNNNNNNNNNNNNNNNNNNNNNNNNNNNNNNNNNNNNNNNNNNNNNNNNNNNNNNNNNNNNNNNNNNNNNNNNNNNNNNNNNNNNNNNNNNNNNNNNNNNNNNNNNNNNNNNNNNNNNNNNNNNNNNNNNNNNNNNNNNNNNNNNNNNNNNNNNNNNNNNNNNNNNNNNNNNNNNNNNNNNNNNNNNNNNNNNNNNNNNNNNNNNNNNNNNNNNNNNNNNNNNNNNNNNNNNNNNNNNNNNNNNNNNNNNNNNNNNNNNNNNNNNNNNNNNNNNNNNNNNNNNNNNNNNNNNNNNNNNNNNNNNNNNNNNNNNNNNNNNNNNNNNNNNNNNNNNNNNNNNNNNNNNNNNNNNNNNNNNNNNNNNNNNNNNNNNNNNNNNNNNNNNNNNNNNNNNNNNNNNNNNNNNNNNNNNNNNNNNNNNNNNNNNNNNNNNNNNNNNNNNNNNNNNNNNNNNNNNNNNNNNNNNNNNNNNNNNNNNNNNNNNNNNNNNNNNNNNNNNNNNNNNNNNNNNNNNNNNNNNNNNNNNNNNNNNNNNNNNNNNNNNNNNNNNNNNNNNNNNNNNNNNNNNNNNNNNNNNNNNNNNNNNNNNNNNNNNNNNNNNNNNNNNNNNNNNNNNNNNNNNNNNNNNNNNNNNNNNNNNNNNNNNNNNNNNNNNNNNNNNNNNNNNNNNNNNNNNNNNNNNNNNNNNNNNNNNNNNNNNNNNNNNNNNNNNNNNNNNNNNNNNNNNNNNNNNNNNNNNNNNNNNNNNNNNNNNNNNNNNNNNNNNNNNNNNNNNNNNNNNNNNNNNNNNNNNNNNNNNNNNNNNNNNNNNNNNNNNNNNNNNNNNNNNNNNNNNNNNNNNNNNNNNNNNNNNNNNNNNNNNNNNNNNNNNNNNNNNNNNNNNNNNNNNNNNNNNNNNNNNNNNNNNNNNNNNNNNNNNNNNNNNNNNNNNNNNNNNNNNNNNNNNNNNNNNNNNNNNNNNNNNNNNNNNNNNNNNNNNNNNNNNNNNNNNNNNNNNNNNNNNNNNNNNNNNNNNNNNNNNNNNNNNNNNNNNNNNNNNNNNNNNNNACUAAAAAGAGAAAUAUGCAUGUUCAAAAGAAGGCAUUUUUAACCUGCUGUACCGUACAUCCGCCUUGGCCGUACAGCAGUUUUAGCAUAUUCCAAAUCAUUUCCACCAUAAUUCCAACCACCCAUUUACAAAAUUAAUUCUAUAUAUAAUUAAAAUCCACCUCCUCGUGGGAUCGACACUCGUCACCAUUGAUCUAUACUACAAUAGAUUCGUGCGCUUGCGAGUACAUUAAAAUUUGCACAACAAGUUUUUGGCGCCGUUGCCGGGGAGGUAAGUAAUUUUAAUUCAUAGAAUUAAUUUUUGUGAAUAAUUUCUUUUUCUAUUAAUUCUGUAAUUUAAUUUUCAAUUUAUUUAUUUUUUCUUUGUAAUUUUUGUUUAUUUUAUUAAUUUAAUUUUUUUUUCACGUAUUUAUUUUUGUGUAUUUUUAUAGAAAGGUUGUAAUAGCGCAAUAAGGUUAGUAUUGUAAUUUCUCUCUUCUUUAUUUUAUUUGUAUUUAUUUUGUUCCAUCUUCAUUUUCAUUUUAUUUAUUUUGCAUGCAUGGUCGUAGGUCAUUAUUACCUAAUCUUGAACCUAUAGACCUUGAACUUGAGAAAACAAUUCGCACACAAAAACACGUUAAAAAUAAAAUGGAUUUACAAGCACCACAGGAGAGGCCAUUUAAGGACUAUUUUAGUCCCUUAGCUAAUUUGAGCACAUCAUGCAUAAGAUACCCAAAUGUAGCUGCUAGGAGUUUUGAAUUAAAACCUAGUGUGCUAAAUUGUCUCCCCACAUUUUAUGGCCUAGAAAAUGAGGACCCAUAUAAUCAUCUGAAUGAUUUUCAUACCAUUUGUCAAACUUUUAAAUAUGAAAAUUUUUCAGACGAUGAUGUUAAACUCAGAUUAUUCCCAUUUUCUUUAAAGGAUAGAGCUCGUUCAUGGCUUAAUACAUUGCCUGCCAAUAGCAUUGCAUCAUAGGAACAAAUGAUAACUAAAUUUUUGAAUAAAUAUUUCCCAGUGCAUAAAACCAAUGCUAUUCGCAGGGAAAUCUCAGAGUUUACCCAGAGAGAAGACGAGCAAUUUUUCGAAACUUGGGAGCGAUUCAAUGGGCUACUCUUGAAGUGUCCACAUAAUGGGUACGAGAAAUGGCACCAAUGCCAAUACUUUUUGGAAGGAUUAUUGCCGAAUGUGCAAGAAUGGCUAAUGGCAACAAGUGGAGGAGAGCUAAUUUUAAAAAGUGCAUUAGAGAUUUGAGAUUUCUUCCAGUGACACUGCUGUACCGUACAUCCGCCUUGGCCGUACAGCAGCAAUCUUUCCUCUCUUAGAUUUAUGCAUUACCGACAUGUGCUGAAAACACCACAUUAUUUCUCCAUCUAGAGCAUACAUAAUGUAACAUUACCAUUCAACUUACUAUUUAAGGCUCUAAAACAGAUUGAUUUAUUUUUAACAUCUAGUUGUAUUAUAUACCACCCUGCCCAAUUAGAGCUUGCUACAAGAAUGCAUCUGUAUUGUGUUUUUUCUUUGGAUAAGAAACAGGUAAGCUCUUCUGUUAUCAUGUUCAAUCUAGACUUCAAAGUGGGAUUCUGAAUAGCCAACCAUUGGUUGUAUUUCUAAUACAUAAACAUGUUUACGAUGAGCCAGAAUCAUCCAGAUGAUCUUUUCUUGGAAGGAUAACACAACAAUGUUCACUAACAAAGUCUGAAAUGUUGAUGUCAUUAAUUACCAGCCAACUACUGUAGAUUAGUUGCCACAAGGAGCAGUCAUUUGACACAAUCUAGACACCUGAGAUUUAUAUACUCCAACCAAUAUAAUCUUCAAAGAUACACAAUGUAUCAGCAUAAUUGAUGAAAAUAUAAGAAACUAUCCCAACGAAUAACUUAAAGAGAUCCACUGAGUGCCUGCUAAAUUUUUCAUUUUUUAAGUACCAUCUAAUGCUAUAAUCGUUUAUCAGGUUGUAAAUGCAAAUGUAUCGUUACAACGUCUUGAGGAACUACUUUUGGCUGAAGAGAGAAUUUUGAUGCCUAAUCCACCACUUGAACCAGAGCUCCCAGCUGUCUCGAUAAAAAAUGGAAACUUUUCUUGGGAUUCAAAGGUAAAUACUUGAUCAUUUUUCCCUUUUUUUACCAGUGAUAAGGCAGUUCAAAGGUUGCAGAAGGCCGCAGCUCUGGUAAUGCUCAUUCUUAGUAUUAAUGUCAAAUUCUGGGAUCUUUUUAGAUGAUACCAGAUUUCAUUAGAUUAAAGCAUAUACAAAGUUUGUAUUAUUUCAAUAAUGAGAUUAAAAAAACAUGAGAGUUCAUUUUGAGGCACAAAUAAAAAAUAAAUGCAUUUGGUUGGUACUUCGGAUGAACUUUAUUAUGAUACUACUAAGGAAAUUAUGAUACUACUAAGGAAGUGUUAUAUGAGGCACCCUGCAUUUUCCUUUGUUGAAAAUAUGGAAGUACUUUUUGAUUGGCUAUUUGGAAGGCAUUAAUGAUUUAUUAGUCAUAUUGUUACACAAAUGUAUAGCUUUAAGAGGUUUUGAAACUCAUGUUUUUUCUGGUACAGAGCCCCACGUUAUCAAAUAUCAAUUUGGACAUACCAGUUGGCAGCUUAGUUGCAAUUGUUGGUGGAACUGGAGAAGGAAAGACAUCACUUGUAUCAGCAAUGCUUGGGGAGUUGCCUCCUUUGAAAGAUGCAAGCGUUGUUAUCAGAGGGACUGUUGCCUAUGUUCCCCAAAUUUCAUGGAUUUUUAAUGCUACAGUGAGUUGCAGCUUGCUUUUUUUAACUGAUAUUUGAUAAUUGUCUUAUACUUUCCAUCUCUCUAGCUUCCUAGUGAAUCCAUCAUCUGUUUUCACCAUGCAAUCUUUUGACCUUCAAUGUACAUUUUCUCAGUUACGUAAAAAUAUAUUGUUUGGUUCUGAAUUUGACCCCGCAAAAUAUUGGAAGACUGUUGAUGUCUCUGCAUUACAGCAUGAUCUCGACUUACUUCCUGUAAGUAAAUAUACAAACAUUUAUCUUUGCAAUGACUUCUGCUUAUUCCAGAAAGUGCUGUAACUCUCUUAUACUUAUUUCUCCAGGAUCGUGAUCUCACAGAGAUUGGGGAAAGAGGGGUGAAUAUCAGUGGUGGGCAAAAGCAGAGAGUUUCUAUGGCUAGGGCUGUCUAUUCCAAUUCAGAUGUCUACAUAUUUGAUGACCCUUUAAGUGCUCUAGAUGCUCAUGUUGGACGCCAGGUAUUUUUAUUGCCUACUUGCCUGAGGCUCUUCUUUAAGAGCAGUGUGUUAUGUUUUAUUCUGAGGUUAAUAAACUGAUUGGAGCGAGCAGUGUGUUUUGUGUUUUGAACCUAAUUUUUUCCUGUGGUGUUUGUGUGGGAAAAAUUCCUUAAUUAUAAAGUAAUUUUUCCUUGUUUGUUAAAAGGAGACCGCCAAUUAUUUGUAUAUCCUCUCAAAAUUAUGCAGGACUGGUGCUUGAAUAGUUCUCUUAGCUAUUAUUAUCAAAAGCAUGACCUCUGAAUAUUUAUUGACAAGUUCAUUGAAGUGCACACCACAUUGAUCUAAUCUGAAGUUAUUUCCAGGUCUUCAACAGCUGUAUCAAGGAAGAGUUGCGUGGGAAAACAAGGAUCCUUGUUACAAACCAACUACAUUUUCUUCCUCAUGUGGACAGAAUUAUUCUGGUUUCUGAAGGUAUGAUUAAAGAGGAGGGAAGCUUUGAGGAGCUCUCGAAACAUGGCAGGCUAUUCCAGAAACUCAUGGAAAAUGCAGGGAAAAUGGAAGAAAUGGAAGAGCGGGAAGAAAAGGAUGACAGCAUAAACUCUAACCAGGAAGUCUCCAAACCAGUUGCUAAUCGGGCGGUCCAGGUCAAUGAAUUUCCGAAAAAUGAAAGCUACACCAAGAAAGGGAAAAGAGGGAGAUCCGUGCUUGUCAAGCAAGAAGAAAGGGAAACAGGAAUUGUCAGUGGGAGUGUUUUGACAAGGUAUUUUAAGGGUGUUAUUUUCAGACUCAUGCAUUGUGAAAUGUUUUCAAAUCUGCAAUUGCUUCAAAUUUAAGUCGUAGUAAAUUUAGCUUACAAGAGGAUUAAUCCUUUCCAGCUCUCCUUGUAAAAUUUAUGUAUGACAUUAUUAGCGGCCCAUGACUAUAGCAUGAAAUUGAAAUUCAUCAGUAAGACAUCUUCGGCUGAAUGUGGACCUUUAAUGGAGCUUAAACUUGAAUAGAUGUCAUCUCAUGCCAGGAAGCACUGACCUUUCUGAAACAACCCAACUCUACUUUGACAGUUAUUCAGAUUAUUACAGAUGGGUCCACAGUUCUGUAAGUUUUUCUAGUGGGCACUUAAUAACAUGUAUUUUCCACAGAGUAGACCCUUUAGUUCCUCCGUGCAGUGCAGCAUGGAGCUCUCAGAAUUCUCACAACAUACACCCCAUUGCAAUAUCAGGAAUCUGUUUUUAGUCUAUUUCUUGAUGCUCUUCAGUACUUAUUUUAAUGAAUUGUGAAUUACCCAAAAAUAUCUUUGCAAAAAAUCCUAUGGUGGUCCCUUGAAUCCCCUAAAUUCAAAAACCAAGCACCAGGUGCUAUUUAUCUGGAAAUCACUUCUGCACUAACUAGUAUCUUAUGACUUAUCUUUUGAUCCAUUUAUACUAUUUCUAUUUGCAGGUACAAAAAUGCAUUAGGAGGUCCAUGGGUAAUUAUGAUACUUUUUGCAUGCUAUUUGUCAACUGAAGUUCUUCGAAUUUCAAGUAGCACUUGGUUAAGUUUCUGGACAGAUCAAAGCACUUCAAAGAAUUAUAAUCCUGGAUUCUACAUUGCCAUCUACACAAUUUUGGCUUUUGGUCAGGUGGGUUGGCUGUUAUUAGAUGGUUUGCAUCAAUUUUAUUUUUACCUGGAAACUCAUCCUUUUGCUUUAACUAAUACUAUUGUCUACUUUCCAACCUUCUUAACCGGUUAUUCCAAGAAUGAUAUUUUUCUUCUGUUUGAUUUGACAUAAUAUUUUUUUCCUUUUCUGGAAACAGCAAACGCAGUUAUAGCCCAAUCUAAAGACAGAAAGGGCUUGUUCUUUGUAACCUUGUAUACUGGCAUUUUCGUUAUAGUGGAUGAAGUAUGCUAAUACAUCUUUCUCGUCUCCCAUCAAAUUAAUAGAGAAUGAAAAGGAAAUUUACUUCUUUUGUAAUUUUCUUCCCUGGCAAGAACCAAAACUGUAUUGAAGGGAAAAUUUACGUUACUGUAUAUCAUUUUGACAACAUAAUCCUUAUUUGCUGAAUUCAGGUGACUGUGACACUGCUGAACUCUUAUUGGUUGAUCAUUUCAAGUCUGCGUGCAGCCAAAAGAUUGCAUGAUUCCAUGCUAAAUUCGAUUUUAAGAGCUCCAAUGCUAUUCUUCCACACUAAUCCAAUUGGACGCGUAAUCAAUAGGUUCUCAAGGGAUCUAGGUGAUAUAGAUCGCAAUGUUGCUAGUUUUGUCAAUAUGUUUAUGAACCAACUGUGGCAGCUCCUUUCAACUUUUGUUCUGAUAGGCAUUGUGAGCACUAUAUCACUAUGGGCCAUAAUGCCACUUCUUAUCUUGUUUUAUGCCGCUUAUCUAUAUUACCAGGUAAAUUCAAUAUUUCAUCACUUAAUUUUAUUUCAUUUAUUUAUUUUGCUUUUUAAAUAUCAGGAACUGUCUUUACUAUCUAAUAUCUGUCUCCUGUUCCAAAUAUGCACAACUAUCAAAAGAGCUGACUUGCUCCAGUUGUUUACUUCCUAACAUUUUGGCACUCCUCAUGCAUUAAUUUCCUUUAAUUAUAUAUUUUUAAAAACAUGAAUUGUCAGAAAGUUUUAGUUAGCUGUCCAAUCCACCAUACUACAAAGUUUUUCUUGUUUACAACAUUUAAUAAACAUCUCCUUUUUCAAUUUACAGAGUACAGCUCGCGAAGUGAAACGCUUAGACUCCAUUACCAGAUCCCCUGUUUAUGCUCAAUUUGGAGAAGCACUAAAUGGUUUGUCAACCAUUCGUGCAUUCAAAGCAUAUGAUAGGAUGGCCAAAAUCAAUGGAAAGUCGAUGGAUAAUAACAUCAGAUUUACCCUUGCAAAUACUAGUUCAAAUCGUUGGCUCACCAUCCGGUUGGAAACACUAGGAGGCAUCAUGAUUUGGUUGAUAGCAACUUUUGCAGUCAUGCAGAAUGGAAGAGCAGAAAAUCAGGUCGCAUUUGCAUCUACGAUGGGUUUACUUCUCAGUUAUACUUUGAACAUCACCAAUCUGUUGAGUGGCGUAUUGAGACAAGCAAGCAGGGCUGAGAAUAGUUUAAAUGCCGUUGAGCGUGUUGGAACAUAUAUAGAUCUUCCUUCUGAAGCUCCGGGCAUGGUAGAGAGUAAUCGCCCCCCACCUGCUUGGCCUUCAUCAGGAUCAAUAAAGUUUGAGGACGUCGUCCUACGCUAUAGGCCUGAACUUCCUCCAGUCUUGCAUGGGUUAUCAUUCACAGUUUCCCCAAGUGAGAAAGUGGGAAUAGUUGGAAGAACUGGUGCCGGAAAAUCUAGCAUGCUUAAUGCUUUAUUUCGAAUUGUAGAACUGGAAAGGGGGGAAAUAUCCAUUGAUGGUUGUGAUGUCUCUAAGUUUGGGUUAACUGAUUUGCGAAAAGUUCUUAGUAUCAUACCACAAUCACCAGUUCUUUUCUCUGGUAUUCACCUUUUUUAAGUCUCUAUUUCAUUUAAACAUUCCUGCAUCAACCUGAUUUUAUCUGGUGGUUGAAUUGAUAUUGCAUCAGUCGUGAAUUUGAAAGAUAUCUGUAAAGUAAUCUAUACCUUUGUGCCUACAUCAUAUUACUUUACACCCUUCCUUCAAAAACUUGACAAUUAUGAUGUUCACUUUAUUUUACAAGGAACUGUGAGGUUCAAUCUUGAUCCGUUUAAUGAGCACACUGAUGCUGAUCUUUGGGAGGCUUUAGAGAGGGCACAUCUGAAGGAUGUCAUCAGGAAGAAUUCCUUUGGUCUGGCCGCUGAGGUAUAAAGAUAAGCCAUUCUUGGGAAGUAGAAUUUGUUGUAUUUCAUUCUGGAUAACUUUAUGCUGCAAGAGAAGGGAAAAAUAACAUGCGCUGAAUAAGAUGUAACUUUACUUGUGUAAAGGUCUCAGAGGGAGGCGAGAAUUUCAGUGUUGGACAGAGACAACUGUUAAGUCUUGCUCGAGCACUGCUGCGAAGAUCAAAGAUUCUUGUUCUGGAUGAAGCAACUGCAGCUGUUGAUGUCAGGACAGAUGCUCUUAUCCAGAGAACCAUACGUGAAGAAUUCAAAUCCUGCUCAAUGCUAAUUAUUGCACACAGAUUAAAUACCAUAAUUGACUGUGAUCGAAUUCUUGUGCUUGAUGCUGGGCAGGUAUGCUCGGAGACGUUAAUAUUUGCGACAAAUAUGUGUUAUGGGAGAACAUUGAGCCUCUUAACUCAAUGAAAUCCGGAAAGAAAAAGAACCAUUUCUUGUCUGUCUAAAUUUAAUCCAAUUUUUGCUAAUUUGUCAUUUAAGAUCGUUCAAACUUUUCUUCAGGUUUUAGAACAUGAUACUCCAGAAGCACUACUAUUGAGAGAGGACAGUGCAUUCUCCAGUAUGGUUCAGAGUACAGGGCCUGCAAAUGCUCAGUACUUACGUAGCCUAGUUUUUGAAGGCAAAGAGAACAAGUCAGGCAGGGAAGAAACAAAGAGAGAGGAUAACCAGAGGAGAUGGCUGGCCUCUUCCCACUGGGCUGCAGCUGCUCAGUUUGCUUUAGCUGCUAGUCUGACUUCUUCGCAAAAUGAACUUCAAAGGCUGGAUAUUGAUAACAAUGAUAAUAUUAUCGGAAAAACAAAAGAUGCAGUCAUAACACUGCAGGGAGUUUUGGAGGGGAAACACAAUAAAGACAUAGAUGACACACUAGAUCAGUACCAAGUUCCCAGGGAUAGAUGGUGGUCCGCUCUCUAUAGAGUAAUUGAAGGUACAUAAUUUUAGCACCCUUAUAUGACACAGCUUGAUCAUUCAAGUUCAUCUGCAAAGGUCCAUUCUAUACAUCACAUACAUCAGCAUAAACAUGUGCAUAAUUCUACGACUGUUGUCAUGAUUUCAGUAUACAUUUGUUGCUAGAAAAAGAAGCUAACUAGUAAACUUAUUUAACUGUAAGAUGACCUUUAGAUUCUCUAAAGAACUUGCAAAAUUAAUUUUCUUGUUCCAGGUCUUGCUGCGAUGGGGAGAUUGGGCCAGCGCAGUCUUCAACAAUCGGGGUGCGAUUUUGAAGAAAGCUCCUUAGAUUGGGACCAUGUUGAAAGUUAGUUCUUGGAAAAUGUUGAUAUUUCUAUGUCCUCCUUUUUAGUGCUUUCGUUGAAGGUAGACAGUGGUAUUAGAGAUUGUUACCUUUUUCCUUUCUCUUUUAACAAUUGUUCACAAAAUCCUUGACUCUAGAGUCUGGUAUUAGUGGGACUUUGACCCACAUUGUAUUAGAGACAGCUUGAAAUGUUAAUAAAAUGCCCAAUUUAUUUAUAUAAUUUUAUCUAAACUAAGAUAUUGUACUGUAAUCCUGCACAUUUCACUCAUACGGCCAUACUGUCUAUCUCGAUUAUCUGAUCCACAGUAAUUACUUAACAAGCUAACUUAGCAUUCAAAUGUUGCUAGGAAGUAAAUCAAUAGGAAAAGGAACGAUCUACUUGAUUUACCAGUGGCAUAUAAAUCGUUCAUCUAAUAUUAUCAACAAGGAAAAAUCUGCUAGUAUAAACAUCCUAAUUUAAUCGACAUACCUGAACGACUUCAUGGAAAUCAUACGUGCUGCUUCACAUCAUAAUUUAACAUAUUUAAUUCUCCUGGUCUUCUGGGUACUCUGGUGCAUUGUGACGAGCUGCUACUUUGAUGUGGCUGUGAAGAGCCUCAAAGGCCUUGGCAGAAGCAUUUGAGAAUCCCAUCAAUGCCUGGAAUACAUUGGGGAGGCUAGUUUUCAGGUUGUUAAGAGUCAUGGCCUGGGUAAUCCGGGCUGCAUUCAGAUACUUGGCCUUUUCGCUUUCCACCCGCUUCUUCAAGGCUUCAACUUUGGCAGCCUUGAGGAUUAAAGGAUGCUUUGGGCUCAACUCAGGGUGCUCAACUCCAACAGCAAAGUUCCCUUCAAACCUCUGCUCCAUCUCAGCCAUUGAAUUAAACUCCUUCUGCAACCUUUUCUCAAGCCUAUCAAUUUUUUUGUGCAAUUUCCGUUCCUCUAUCUGCUGCAGGAAUAUCGCGUGGAUGGCUGAUAAGAAGCUAUUAAUGGCCUCUGAGGCUACCUGUAUGCACAUCAGAUUAACAAAGGUUACUGCCUCAAGUGACUGUUUCUCCAACAUUCCCACUUAGCUUCAUUUUAGAAAGCUGAAAUAAAAUUAUAAAACCAAAUUGACCACAUAGUUUUCACUGUUCGCUUGGAUGAUCAGCACCUCAGACAUAUCUGUUGCUCAAACCCAGAUAUGGCUAUGUUGAUGAUGCAGGACAAACACAUCAAUGCUAUGUAUCAGUUAUUAAAUCCUAACUUUGCAUCCAUGAGACAGAAAACUAUUGCUCUUGUUUAGUUAUCAUGCAAACCAAGUGCCAAGCUAGUAUAAUACUUAUUUAGCGACAGGAGAAGCGGAAGAAGUAAAAGCUGUAUUGAGUUUUGACAUUAAUCUACAAAAUUUACAUGAAUAGUUCCAAUCUUUUAGUAUUCAGGAAAUAUAGUAAUGUCCAAAAGAGUAUAAAGCAAAAGUACCUUCUCAGGUAAUUUGUCAAAAACAAGCUGCCAAUUUUCACAGAGCCUACGAAUUGUGGAUGAGCAAUUACUCCGUUGAUGCUCAUCCACAAGGCACUCAGUGAGUUUGAUCCAUCCAGAUAGGGUUCUUACAUAGUCUCGUUGAAAUUUUGUAAGUUUGCAGAAGCUGUUGUACCACGAAGUGACCUCAGCCUCAAGCUGAGCUGUGGCCUGGUGAUGAUAAUCAGUGGUAAAGUCCAUGCUUUGAUUAUCAGUGACAUGAUUCAAGCGCUGCGAAAUAUGGUUCUGAACUUGAAGACAUUCAUACAUCUUUCUCCACAUUCGCAUCAGCCUAUGUAGGAUUUAAGCAAAGAAAACAAGGUUAAGAGGAUGAAACGAAAGUAUCCAUUCUACAUGCUGCUUAGAACAUUAACAUACUGAGUUUUCAUCAAUGUCAGAGAACAGCUUAGACCAGUUGAGAAUUUUAUUUCACAAGUACACAAUCACCGCAGAGUUAAUUUUAGCUUGUUCAAAGAUGGUUCCAUGAUAUGCUUUUUUAUUCUAAAUUAUGGAAUCUUACCAUGCAAUCUCCCUUCUUAUUAAACCUUUUAUAGGGAUGUCAUCAAACCUCCUAUUCAUAGCUUCACACAAUUGGAUUUGGAAUAAACUCAAUAUUAUAUGGCUUCCUAAAUGCCCAAUAGGUUCAUGAGGUGUGGAUUCCCCCCUUAUGAUUUAAUUGGCAUUAAUACGGAUUAUUUAGCCCGUGAUGCAUGUUGAUACGGAUCCAGAUACCCAAGUACGUCAAUUUAAUAGAUUUUCUCUUCAAUUUUUUCUCUCCAUUGCAAUUCCAAUUUUAGAAUUUAUUCUCGCCAUUUUAAUUUAAGUAUUAGCAUAUUCCAAAUCAUUUCCACCAUAAAUCCAACUACCCAUUUACAAAAUUAAUUCUAUAUAUAAUUAAAAUCCACCUCCUCGUGGGAUCGACACUCGUCACCAUUAGUCUAUACUACAAUAGAUUCGUGCGCUUGCGAGUACAUUAAAAUUUGCACAACAACAGCCUCAACCCGUUUGAGCUGGCCAGGUCGGAGUGGGAAAUGAAUGCCCCAAGAAACUACAACACAAACAGACACUUGGUUAGAAACAAGCCAAUAAAACAAGAACAACUAUGGAUACAAGGCAUCUGGAGCGAGCAGGCAACCUGGGACCGUGAAACGGGGUGGGACCCGAUAAUCCUUCCCGUCCAUUUGUGCGACCUGACCCCAAGGACCCCCAGCAAAAAAGAACUUUCUCUUCCAAUUCCCACCACCACCAGUAGGGAGGUCGGUUAUAGGUUUCCUGCUCUUGGUGCUAGAUUGGAAGUAGUACCAGCCGGCAUCUUUGGGGCUGCUCUUUAGCUGGUACAGGUGCUUCACCUCAUCAACCGUGGGCUCGCUUUGGCAACAUCUGUCCCACAAUAUGAACAGACCAGAGAGCACUCUCCACCCAUUGGGAUUCAGCUGAUGCAAGGGACAAUUUAACCCGUUAAGUAUACAGGUGCUUCACCUCAUCAACCGUGGGCUCGCUUUGGCAACAUCUGUCCCACAAUAUGAACAGACCAGAGAGCACUCUCCACCCAUUGGGAUUCAGCUGACCAGGAGCUAGAUUUAGCCCGUUAAGUAUCCGGGCAAAGUAAGGUUGCAAGGGGACCUUGAGAGGUAUCUCGAAGCUGUCCAGAUACAGGGUAACAUAUCCCCUAGGAGGCCGGCUGGGAGCAUCCUUCUUUCCCGGGACCUUGAGAGGUAUCUCGCCAGGAAUGCUAUACCUCAGCCGGAGGUCCUCGAGCUCAUCAAACGUGGUCGUGCACGUCAUGUAAUCAAUAGCGUAAUCCCGCGAUAGGGCUCUACCUCCUAUUGUACUCCUCCCCUCUGGUCGCGGCGCUCCUGAUGGGGACGCCUCACCAGAAUCAUCUCCUCGACCCUCACUCAGAGUAUCCUCGGAGCCAGAAGAUCCAUCCUCACCAUUACUCCCGCUCGUAGAGGUCGUUUGGGGAGACAUGCUCCUAGUACUAGUCCUGACACUAGACCUAAUAGGCUCUAAGAGGAUCUCGGGGUCAAAGGCGGGAUCGGUGAGCAGACUAGGCAGGAAGUCCAACCCGUCGUCAUCAACCUCAAUGACUUUCUCUUUACCUUUCGACAUUCCCUAAACUCUAACCACAACACCACCAACUACUACCCAAACGAAAGAAAAAAGAAGUUAUCUACAAACUAUCCGAGACUGAGGAGAGAGAAGUAAUACCUGAAGUACUGCUUCAAUCGGAGAAAGGCAAGGAUGGGGACUUCGUGCCGGAACUUCUUUGCCGGAGAAACAGAGACGGAGACGGAGACGGAGUGAAUGGUGAAUAUGCCGUUCGAGAGGAUUUGGCUUUCCAAAUGAGGACGGACUUUUGGGCUGCCAGUAUAUAACUGCGCCGAAUCCCGAGGGCCUCAUAACCGUCGGUUUGAAAUUCAAAUGGAGGGGGGGAUUUCUGCCACGUCACCUCGUCCGCAAUUAAAUGCGACAUGACUCUUGGCAGCCUUUUCUAAUCCCACGCGAGCGAGUACUAUCGAGUUUCCACUGCUGGUCCACUACAUUACCCAACACCAGAAACUGGGGGACCGGUGUUUGGGAGGGAUACUGUUUGGGAUAAAUGCGUCGAAGGGACCAGGAAUGACGAGCAGAUAUCUGAUGGCGGAGUUCUGCGAACCGGUGUGUUCCGUACGGCCAAGGCGGAUGUACGGUACAGCAGUGAGAGGUAUCUCGCCAGGAAUGCUAUACCUCAGCCGGAGGUCCUCGAGCUCAUCAAACGUGGUCGUGCACGUCAUGUAAUCAAUAGCGUAAUCCCGCGAUAGGGCUCUACCUCCUAUUGUACUCCUCCCCUCUGGUCGCGGCGCUCCUGAUGGGGACGCCUCACCAGAAUCAUCUCCUCGACCCUCACUCAAAGUAUCCUCGGAGCCAGAAGAUCCAUCCUCACCAUUACUCCCGCUCGUAGAGGUCGUUUGGGGAGACAUGCUCCUAGCACUAAUCCUGACACUAGACCUAAUAGGCUCUAAGGGGAUCUCGGGGUCAAAGGCGGGAUCGGUGAGCAGACUAGGCAGGAAGUCCAACCCGUCGUCAUCAACCUCAAUGACCUUCUCUUUGCCUUUCGACAUUCCCUAAACUCUAACCACAACACCACCAACUACUACCCAAACGAAAGAAAAAAGAAGUUAUCUACAAACUAUCCGAGACCGAGGAGAGAGAAGUAAUACCUGAAGUACUGCUUCGAUCAGAGAAAGGCAAGGAUGGGGGCUUCGUGCCGGAACUUCUUUGCCGGAGAAACAGAGACGGAAACGGAGACGGAGUGAAUGGUGAAUAUGCCGUUCGAGAGGAUUUGGCUUUCCAAAUGAGGACGGACUCUUGGGUUGCCAGCAUAUAACUGCGCCGAAUCCCGAGGGCCUCAUAACCGUCGGUUUGAAAUUCAAAUGGAGGGGGGGAUUUCUGCCACGUCACCUCGUCCGCAAUUAAAUGCGACAUGACUCUUGGCAGCCUUUUCCAAUCCCACGCGAGCGAGUGCUGUCGAGUUUCCACUGCUGGUCCACUACAUUACCCAACACCAGAAACUAGGGGACCGGUGUUUGGGAGGGAUACUGUUUGGGAUAAAUGCGUCGAAGGGACCAGGAAUGACGAGCAGAUAUCUGAUGGCGGAGUUCUGCGAACCGGUGUGUUCCGUNNNNNNNNNNNNNNNNNNNNNNNNNNNNNNNNNNNNNNNNNNNNNNNNNNNNNNNNNNNNNNNNNNNNNNNNNNNNNNNNNNNNNNNNNNNNNNNNNNNNNNNNNNNNNNNNNNNNNNNNNNNNNNNNNNNNNNNNNNNNNNNNNNNNNNNNNNNNNNNNNNNNNNNNNNNNNNNNNNNNNNNNNNNNNNNNNNNNNNNNNNNNNNNNNNNNNNNNNNNNNNNNNNNNNNNNNNNNNNNNNNNNNNNNNNNNNNNNNNNNNNNNNNNNNNNNNNNNNNNNNNNNNNNNNNNNNNNNNNNNNNNNNNNNNNNNNNNNNNNNNNNNNNNNNNNNNNNNNAGCCAACGAAGGUAAAAGGGUUGGCAUUUUUGAGAUAAAAGAAAAAAACCACGAAAAAGCCAUAAGACCUGUGGCAAGCGUUCCCCGAACCUUGAUAUCUGACUUGAGCGUCGGAGGGUUUGCGCCAGGAGAACAACCGGCGUACUCUGACUUGUCUGUGUGUGCAGGGAUAUCUGGAGAAGAAGCAUUACUAGGAGACCUCCUGGUCGUGGGGAAGUUGAUCGAGCAGAGAUCCUGGUCGUAUAACGAGGAGAACCGGAAUCUCGCAUCAACAAAUUUCAUCCUCACAAUUCAUAUAUCUGGCGAAAGAAAUACAAAGACUAAGAUCACGCCUGAUCCUCAAUCUCCCAAUUGGCCUCCUUUGCGGUGUGACUCUUCCACAACACCUUGACAAUGAGAUCACAAGGCACUGACCAUAGAGAAACUCAGAAGCAGGGAUGGAAAAUUAUGGGCUUAAGCCAAAGCUUUUUCAAGCCUAGGCCUAAGCUUAUCUCAUUGGUAAUAGGUCCAAAUUUUUUGAAACUCUGUCUAAACUUGGUCGAGCUGGACUUAGGAUUUCAUUAGUUUCUGAAAUAAAAUUUUAAUAAAAUUGAAGGUUAAAAAAAUCACUUAAGAUGAUUAUCCAAUACAUAAUAGACCAAUAGUCUAAUACAAAAAAUACUAGCAACAAAUGCUUAUAAAUUAUAAAUUAUGCAAAUUGUAAAUUAAUUUUUUAAAUUUUUUUUAAAUUAUAAAGCUUGGGCCAAGCCUGGACUUCUUCCAUAAGCUCUUUACCAGGCCCAUUUAUAGUGGGCUUUAGAAUUUUUGACUCGUCCAUGGUCUUGUGAUGCAGGUCGGGUCGGCCUAGGCUUUUUCCCCACUCUACUUGGAAGUGAUAAUGGAGCAUAUUAAACGCACAUGGUGCAAUGAUAAGGAGUGAUCUCUCUGUUCUUACAUGGUUUUAUUUUUUAUUUUUUUAUUUUUCAUCUUAAUAAUUUUUACUAUAAGUCAAAUAUAGUUAUAUGGAUUUAUUUAUGCCUAUUUAGUAAUAAUUGAAACAUAUUUGAAACUUUGCAUCAACCAUUAUAUGCAGUGGCAGACCCAAACAAUUCAAAUAGGGGGUUUUAUUUUAUAAAAUAUUAAUUUUAUUUAGGGUGCUUAAUUUUUUUAUUGUUCACUUGAGAACAUUUUAAGUCUUAAAAGCUCAAAUUCUAUUAUUUUCUUUUAAAUUUUAAGUAAUAAUAAUAAAUUAUUUAUCUUUCGUGUAAUGAUAGACAUAUAAAUAAAGUUAAUAUUUAUUUAUUAUUAUUAUUAAUUUUAUCCUAAAUAAUAUGUCAUUCAUUAAGUAAUUGAUAAUUCUUAAAUGAAUUAUAUAAUCUUAUCAAUCAAUUGAUAAAUGUCAAAUUAUUUGGGAUAAUUUUUUAGGGUCCGCAUUUGUGAAAGAAUUAUUUUUCUAACUAAUUUCUACAAAAUAUCUAAAAAAAAUAAAAUGAUGUGAUUAUUAGAAUUUGAGCCAAGUCUCCAAAACUACUAAACAAAAACAAUACUCUUACCACUAAAUUACAAAUAUUUUGUUAUAUAAAAAGUGUGCCAAAAUCUUUUUAUUAACCUCUUCUAGAAGAGACCUAGGUACAUUUAAAAGAAAAAAAAAAUUACCUAGAAAGGGGCCAUGAUCAUUUGUAAUUCUUUCCAAUGAAGUCUCAAAUAUAUUUGGCAGUUUUUGAAAACAAUCAUUUUAAAAAAAAUGUCAAAUAUUCUAUCAUUUGUUGUAGUGUCACCAUUUUUUGUAGCAAAUCUAUCUUAAUAUAACUCUGGAUUACUAAUUUUUUUGCUUCUCAUUGCUUUGAAUGAAACCUCAUUUUUUCUAAGCCUAAACUUGGCCAAAUGACCCUCUAAGUCUCUGUACUAGGGAAAAAGAGUAGGAUUACCUACUACUAUUUUUUUAAAACAAAAUAGACGCUCUUAUAUUACACCCUAACUAAUGUACCACUCUCUAUUAAACCAUCAUCGAUGUAGUCGAUAUUACAAAAACCAUUAGACAAUUGUUAUAUAUAUCAUUAUAUGGUAGUUGUACAUAUUAUUCACAUAUAUAAAUUUUACGAACACUUAAACUUUUGGAUCUAAAGUGAGAGAUGACAAAAUCUAGAUUCGAAUGUAAGUGUAUCCACAUUCAAAUUUGCAAGUAAAAAAUAUACAUAUUCAAAUGUAGUUUAUAUCCAUGAGGAUUCUGAGUGGAUGCUCUAGAUAUAUGGAUUUGCAUAUUGUUAGAUAAAAUUAAAAAAUAAUAAAUUGAUAAUCUAAUUUUUUUUUUCAAUUUUAUCAUUUUUUUGAUUAAUCAUUUUCCAUAUUUAUUUACAUUAUGAUGAUCUUCAUCUUCUUCUAUGAACAACAACAGCAACAGUUCAAUUACUACUACUACUCUGAUUCUUUUAAACCUAAUUUCAUUUCACCAUCGUCAUGGAUCUUCAAGAGAAAAUUAUCCUUCCUGUUUCCUCCAUUUCUUCCCAAACCCAAUAUACAACCAUAAAUAAUACACCCUUUUAAUAUUUUACUUCAUUUUACUAUAUAACCAAAUUGAUCAAACUUUUGGAGCUAAACGGCCGAGAAAUUGGCCCAUGAUUAGCAAGAAAUGGGGUGACAUGACUCAGGAGCAGCAACGGCGUGGGGAAUGAGAUGGGCGAGAAACAACAACAAAAGGAAGAAGAAGAAAAUGGACGGCAGGUUGCUACCGAGCAACAGCACCAAAAGGAGGCUAGUGGUGGAGGAGACGCGGUUUUAGGGAUUAGGGCAUUGGAUUUGGAGUGGCGGGAUUUAUUCUCAACACUUAGAAUAAUGAAAUUGACCCUCUUCUUCACUUAUUUUGUCUUCCCUUCAUUUCUUUCCAUUCAUUUCCUCUUCUACCAUUUCUUCCAACCAAACAUGAGCUAUGUAUUGAGAAGUGAGCUUGAUUAAUUACUAUUUAAAAAUAUAAAAAAUUUUCGGUACUCUGUUGUAUACAGUUUCAAAAAAAGAAAAAGAAAUGAAAAACACUUUUCGUUCUAAAUUAAUUUUCUCCCCUUCUUUCCUUCUCCUCCUUUCUUCUCCUCAUAUUUCUUCAAAUCGAACAUGCCACUAGUCAUGGCUGUAAAAGACAUUUGAUUUUAGAAUGAAACAUGAUAAAUUCUUGUAUUACUUAUUAUUUUUUAUUUUUAUUUCCUAUUUAUUUACUAACAUCCGCCUUGGCCGUACAGCAGUUUUUUGAGUGGUUAGCAACUUCUAUUUUUUUGUCCCGUGCUUCUUAUUCGUUGCGGGUUGGAAAAUAGAAAAAUUGGGUGAAUCAAAAACCCCAAGGAGGUUCAUGGCCAAGGGUAAAGAGGUCCGAGUAAGGGUUAUUUUGGAAUGUACUAGUUGUGUUCGAAACGGUGUUAAUAAGGAAUCAAGGGGUAUUUCCAGAUAUAUUACUCAAAAGAAUCGACACAAUACACCCAGUCGAUUGGAAUUGAGAAAAUUCCUGCUGUACGGCCAAGGCGGAUGUACGGUACAGCAGGUCGAAAAUGUAUUUGAUACAAUAAAAAAGAAAAAAUUAAAAUACAAAAUCGAAGCGAUUCCUCAAAGUUACAUGGCAUAGUUUUUAGUAUUUUUUUAAUAUUAGUUGAUUCAAGAGUUGCCCACUCAAUCUGUUGAUUCGGAAUCGUGGGAUGGGUCGCUGUAAAAGACGAUGAAUUGGUUUCUUUUUCUAUCCCUGCCACUCAUUUUUCUUAGUACCUUCUAGAAUACUUGAAGAAUCAAAACUUUCAAUUGAAGGUAUUCUUUCAAUGGGUAGAGCAUUUUUGCUUAUCUUCGUAUCGUCCAAAAGUGGAAACUUAGGGAAGUGCUUUAUAAACAUAUGUAUAAAAAGAACAUAUUUCCUUUAGCUCUGUCAUGCCUACUAUAACUAGUUAUUUUGGUUUUCUACUAGCGGCUUUAACUAUAACCUCGGCUCUAUUUAUUGGUCUGAGUAAGAUAGGACUUAUUUGAAAUUAAUUGAAGGAAUAAUUCAUAAAAAGAAACCCUUCUGUGGUAUUCCACAUAUUGUCUAGUUCCUUACCGUACCACGUUAAUUACCAAUUAUUGGUUAUUGAGAUUCCUAGGCAAGGCAGAUUAAUAUUUAGGAAUAGAUAUUACCUCUCUUUUCAACCUUUCAAAUAAAAAAAAAAUAAAUAAAAUUCAAAUGAUUGAAGUCUUUCUAUUUGGAAUCGUCUUAGGUCUAAUUCCUAUUACUUUGGCUGGAUUAUUCGUAACCGCCUAUUUACAAUACAGACGUGGUGAUCAGUUGGACCUUUGAUUAAUUAACAUCUCUUUUUUUAACUGACCCCUCCCUUCUUUAAUUUAACUGCUGUACCGUACAUCCGCCUUGGCCGUACAGCAGUAGAAACAUGACUUUAAUUAGUCGAUUUCUUAGUGAACAAGGAAAAAUAUUAUCUAGACGGGUGAAUAGAUUGACCUUAAAAGAACAACGAUUAAUUACUAUUGCUAUAAAACAAGCUCGUAUUUUAUCUUCGUUACCUUUUCUUAAUAAUGAGAAACAAUUUGAAAGAAGUGGGUUGACCGCUAGACCUCCCGGUCUUAGAACCAGAAAAAAAUAGGCUUACUCUUCAAUUAAAUAAAAAUUCCAAUCCGAACUCAAACACAGAUGGAUGUUUUGUUCAAAAAAUCUGUGAAGCAGCCGUGCCGUAAGAAAAAAAAAAAAGAAUUGGGAAAGAAGAAUAAAUCAUGCCAUAUAAAUCAAAUUUUAAAAACCAUACCCUACUUAUAAAAAAUUAUAUUGAAGGACAAAACUAGUAAAAGUUAAUUAUUUGUUUGACAACAAGGUAAGUUUUGAUAUAUUUUAAACAUAAGAAAAUAGAAAAGAUUCUGUAUUGAUAACUUUUGAGAAAGCAUGAUUGUUGGUUAAUAGAAAGAAAUAUAUAGGUAAUUAAAUUUCAAUAUGUUGCUACAAAUUACAAGCAUGGCAGAAAAAUAUUAAAAUUAAGAAAAUGCUAUUUAUACACAAUAAAGCACAAACCUUUACACAUGACACGCAAACGAUACCGUUCAAAUAAUUGAAAAAAACAUUUCAAUUGCCAAAUGAAAAAGUCACCACUUACGUUUUAAAUAAUGAAAAAAUGCACUUCAAUUGCCAAAUUAAAAAUCAACUUAUACAGAUCAUUGAUUAGGUCCCGGCAACCAACGCCUUGGAGGAGACUCCCGUUACCUCACGGCCUAUUUUGGGAGAUGAAUGUUAUUUUUUGGAAUUUAAAAUUCAGAAAUUGGGAGCCGAAGAGAUUUAUUUGGAGUAGCUGACAAAUAGUUGUAUGUUUCCAUAUUUGCGCUUAGCAUUAGGAAUACUUUGAGUAAUGUUAAUAGUUGUAUGAUACUAUAAUUUAAUAGGUGUCAGAUUGAUGAAAUUAUUAGCUUUUAUUAUAAUUUUUAUUCAAAUACAGAAACGAUGAAUUUGGAGAACGCAUCGAAGUUGAACAGCAUAAGCAAGCUAAGCAGAACAGAUUAGAGGGAAAUAUUGAAGAAUUUGAGAAUAUUUAGAAUGGGAACAAGAACUGGAUGCGCCGUUUUAGAGUGCUGAUGAAAAGAUGGGAUUUCAAUAUAUGUUACAUUUGUUUGUAGGCGAAGCGGCGAGUCAAGAAGCAAAUCUAGUAAUUUAUUAAAGCCGCAACCGAGCAGAAAAGUAGGUUGCAAGGCUAGAUGGAAAACGGACAGUUCGAACUUUUGUGUUAUUUGGCAAUCGAAGGGUCUUUUUCCAUUAAAGUAGACGGUGCCAUUUGAGUGUCAUGUGCAAAGUUUGUGCUUUACUGUGUAUAAAUAGCAGCAGCACUCUAAAAUUAAUCACAAAACAUAGAAGCACUUUAUUCACAUUAAUUUAUAUGCACAUAUCGACAAACAAUGAGGGAAUUUUGAUCAAUUUUCGCAUAUUGUAAGUAAACCCUUUGAAUGGAUUGCCUUAAAAAUGUAACAUUUAAAUCAAUCCGUACUAAUAUCCAAAUUUCUAAAUCGAUUUUGUUAUAAUGAUAAAUGAGCUUAAACAAAACCAUAAAUAACUUUUUUAUUUUUAUUUUUGUAAACAUCAAUCCGAAAAGUGAGAGUUUAAUUUAGUAGGCGAGAUUAUAAAUGAAGAAGUAAAAGAGUGAACAUAAACAUUUUCAAUCCCACGGCCACACCAACAUUUAUCUUACAUUUAAUAAUAAUCAGCAGGUACACUUUGUAUUAUUACAGAAGUGAGGAA
This 109288-nucleotide long non-coding RNA is filed under the name Citrus sinensis (sweet orange). RNAcentral's name for it is "long non-coding RNA (CSIN_LNC003279)". Lineage: Eukaryota; Viridiplantae; Streptophyta; Magnoliopsida; Sapindales; Rutaceae. The record is from RNAcentral.